UUCAUCUUCAACAUAUCUCCAGACCUGAUCAAACAUUGACCCCAUCCCCACUGUUGGUUCAGUAGGCAUUUCAUGGACUACACCUACCGGUAAGCUUUCUGUUGCCACCUCUUCAAAGCUUCCCUUGCUUUUCAAGGAAUCCACUUCCACCAACAUUUUAAACACUUUUUUCCGUACUUGUAGCUGGGAAAGUAGUUCUUGGAGCAGUAAACUCCGCUACAUGAUUUCUGAAUUUCUCGAUCUGCACAAUUUUGAACUUCUCUGACUCAUGUCUCAAUAGUUUCCGCCCUUUUAAUCCAUAGUUGUACCUUGUCCAAGUGCUUCAUUGAUGUCUGAAGCUCAGCAACCUGAACCCUUCUCACGACAUCAUUCUUUAAAGCGGUCAGUUCUUGCAAAGAACGAUCCAGAUUCCAGAGCUUCAAGGUUUUGUCCGAGCUUGCUGAUGUAGUUUGCUUGUUGACUAAGGAACCCCCAGCAGCAGAAGUUAGCUGUGGGAUCGCAAGAUAUGGAGACUGAGAAAAUGUUCCCCAUGGCUUGCAGGAAUACUGAAAAAUGAAAAGAUGGUACUUUUGUUUGGGAGAGGAAUUAGGUAAGUGUUUUGUUUUGUAAACAGGAUGAUAUGUGGAAUGAAUUAUUUCAAUGCCUGUACGUCUACGUGGUGUCGGUCGGGCUCACCAGAAACUUCAAUGUCACUUUAAUCCGAAGACCCAAUAAUUCACUCUAGACUUCCAGAUACUUUUUAGGAUUCAUGUUGUGAAUUGAGUUCUCGUAUCAACAAGGAAAUUUGCAAAUAGGGUUUCCUUUGAGAUUUAAUGUUUUAUCGAGACAAGUUUCAGGUCAUUUGAAAUUAAAGGAAUUGGAUGUUUUCAUUUUUUUAUUUUUUUUCUUUUCGCAUCAAGUUAUGUGUCGGUCGGGCUCACCAAAAACUUUAUGCCACUUUAAUCAGAAUACCCGAUAAUUCCGGUUUUACCCCCGAGUAUUUGGCCUUUAUUCCAUCUUUGCCCAUUUGUCUUGCUGUGGAGAUGGUGACACGUGGGACUCCCAACCUCCUCUACCUUGGCCACAAGUCUAGUGUUUCUAAAUUGGUGUCUCUUAUGUGUCUUAUUUCUAUCAUUUUGAUAUAUGUCCUCAACCUUAACCUCAAAUUUAAUAGUGUUAAUCUUUCAAGAAUGAAUUAAAAAAAAGUAAAAAUUGAUAAUUAAAAAAACAACGCAUUCUCGAUGGUCAUUCACCGCCAGCAAAGCCUCUUUUACUCUUCCCUCUCUUUCCGAUGAACUCACCCACUGAUUAUUAAUUUUACUCUUGGGUUUCCUUUCCCCUCUUUGUGUGUUCACUUUCCCUUUCAUAUAUAACCGUCAAAUCCUCCCCAAAUUUCUUUCAUUAUUUUCAGGAUUUGUUAGAACUUUUACAGAAGAUAUGUUCUAUUGGGAUUUUCAACCAAAACCCAGAUUAUAUCCCUAAUCAAUGACAUUAUUCCUAAGAAAAUUAGCAAUAGAUUCUACCCAAAAAUUAAUCUGACAGAAGUUUGAUUUGACUGUGGAUAUUGAAAGGGAAUAUAAUUAUUUCAAUCUUGGGCCAAGAGAGAAAGAGAGAUAGAGGGAGGAUCCGAGGGGAGGCUUUGGCGGCAACGAGUAAGAGUGUCCAGAGUUGGGUUACUGGCGGCUAAUGAGGUUUAUCUGGUUGCGUGGACAUCAUUUGCUAGUUCUUUGUUUUUUUUUUCUUAAGUGUAGAUGGAAGAGGCUUUGGCGACAUGAGUUGGGGUAGCCGCUCCUGGAAUGGGGUUGGCCGGCGUGGGUGACUGUCUGGGUUGCUAGGGCGGGAGAUUUUCGGGAUCCGGGGUGGGUGGGAAGCGGUGGUUGCAAAUUUCUUUAUUUUUAGUUUUAAUUUCUUAAUUUUAUUAAAAGUUAACGGGGUUAAGGUUAAGUUUAAAUGGUUGGACACAUGUCAAAGAAAUAAGAUAUGAGACUCAUAGGAGACACCAAGUUAGGGACAGCAUACCCGUUGCCCUCUACCUUUUUUUUGUCGCUCACCGCUUCAUUGCAAAAAAAUUAAACCAUUUCCCUUUCAAAUUUCAAGUUUGAACCACCGCUAGCACAGUUUUCCUGCACCUCAGCUUUCAUCUGAUUCUAUUUCUUCUUCUUCUUCUUCCCUAAAACCCUCUAAUUUCCCCAAAACCCACCCUUCCAAAUCCCCCACUACCCCCUCAUCCCUCACAGAGUUAGAUUCCCCCCAAUCCUUCCAACCCAACGGUCCAAAUUUUCAAACUUUCCUCCCAGUAUGCAUCCAUUUCCCAUUUUGAAUUUUGAUCAUUUAGGUCAAAUUUUGAACCUUUAGACCAUCUCCAACUCUUGGGCUAAAAGCCAAAUUUUUUAGCUCGAAAAAUUUAGCUUUUAGCCCAUAAGCAGCUUUUCUGCUCCAACUCUUCUGGCCUAAAAUUUUAGCCCAGAAUUAUUAAAGAAUGAACUUAGGCUAAUUUUUUCUUAAAUUUAUUUAAAAAAAAAUUAUGUAGACUAUAUCGUAAAUUAAUUUUAUGAAAAUUUUAAUCUAAAAAUAUUUAAAUUUCGAUAAAUAUUGAAAAAUCACUAAAUCGAUACAUGUGAAGCACAUACAAAACACAUGUGAAGCACAUACACAUGUGAAUCACAUAACCUUCACUCAUCCUCUAUAUAAACACAGGUUGAAUAUUAAUUGAUCACACAAUCUUUCAACCUUCAAUCAUCCUCUAUAUUCACCAAUCUUUCAACUUUCAAGGUAUUUUUGUUUCCUAAAAAUCCUCAAUAUCUCAUUAAUGGGUGAUAGAAGAAGGCGUAGUAGGACAAUGAAAAUGUGUGGAGUUCCAUAGUUUCUGAAUUUUAUACACCUUUUUCUAGUCGUGCUCAUUUGAUUAAACUUUUAGACUUCUCUUUUUAUUUAAUCUUGCUUAAAGGGGAACAUUUUUAUUUAGCUUAGGUUAGCUAAGUUUGGGUUGAAAUUAUUUGACUAUGAACCUUAUACAAUUUUUAUUAACCCAUUUGGACUAGGAAAGUGAGGACAAAUGGCUUUCUUGGAGUGGCAAAGUUUGCCACGUAGUUCACUCACCAUGCCGACCCAAGGACACUAAUCUGAUCAUUAGCUUGUUUGGUGAAAAGUAUGUAGCUUAGAUGUUAUCACAUAGGGCUUUUAGAGUGCUUAGUAAGCACUUUAGGGUGAUGACUAUUGAAGCCUAGGUUGACAACUAAUCAAGCCUAUAGCUAAUGUGGAAUGGUGGAUUAGCAAUUGAAGUUGAAACUUAUAACCAAUGAGAACAACUUUUGCCGCCUUAUUUAUGGUAUAAAUAGGAGCAAUGCUCAAUCUGUGCUUUUUUUUUUCCUUUGGCAAAAUGCAAUACGUACCGUAUGUAGAAAGUGUGUAAGAGAGUGUUAAAGGAGAUAAGCAAAAGAAGUACUCAUGGAGUAAGAAGAGAGGAUUCGAGGUAGGGGAAUUUGGGGAAUUAAUUGAUUGCAUUUGUUACUUGUAUUACGUGAAAUAUUGUUAUGUGAACUUGAGAUAUAUUCAACUAUUGACUUAGAUGUGCUUUAUUAUGUGAUAUAUUCAACUAGUGAUCAUUAUCAUUUGUCAACGAAGUAAAGGAGUUACUUAUGUUAUGGGAAAAUGUGGAAAUUAUAGCUUUUGUGUAGUUGAGUUUGUUCAUUGUGAAACCAGUUUCAGGCAAGCCCAAUGUGCACAGUAGAAUAGGAUAUCGACGGGAAUUGUCGAUGUGGGUGAUUUGGGUUGGAGAUCAAUGAAUCAGAUAAGAUGACUAGCAAAAGGGGUUAUGAACUUGGGUUAGUUGAUGUGGGUUAUUCUAUAUAUUAAAGCACUCGGGGCCACAAUAGUAAAAUGCAUGGUAUGGGACAUGCAGGUCUGGUUGCUUCAAUAUAUAGAUUAACGGGUUGGGUCUUGCAUUACAUUACUCAUAAAAUAUUCAUAACAUUAAUAAUAUUAAUCACUUGAGACUUUGGGCCCCUAGUGAGCUUUUAGCUCACCCCUUAUUAGUUGUGUUACAGGAGAUGAGACAUGAAUCUAGUGGUUGACUUGGAAGAAAGAGACUGCUUAUAAAUAGUUUUAAACUUUUUAAGGAGUUGUUGUCGUUUUCUUUUAUGUGUAAGGACUAUGUAAAUUAUUUUGUUUAAUGAAACAUUUUAGUUCAACACAAUCACAUGUUAUUACCUUUAAGUUACCCAUUUUAUUCAUGUCCAAAAAAAAAAAAAUUAGGGUGUGACAAGAUGGCACAAUACCAACCAAGCCUUGACAUUAAGGGUGCAUAAAUGAUCAACGCAUAAGUUGAAUUUGAAAACUCGCUUAUGCAAUAUGAGCACCAUGCCGAAUCUAGCUAUCGUGGUUCUGUCACGGGGCGGUCAUUUGUGCAGCGUGAUAGAGAAGAGUGUCAUGACCGAAUGAUGAAAGAUUAUUUCAUCGAGCGUCCGAGAUUUCCUGCUCAUGAUUUUCGAAGACGGUUUUGAAUGAGGAUAGAGCUUUUUGAAAACAUCUUGAACGUAGUUGUUAAUCAUGAACGUUAAUGUGUUCUUGUGUUAUGUAAUAAUUUUAAGUGUACUAUGUUGGUGUAUUAAUGUGUUCUUGUGUUAUGUAAUAAUUUUAAGUGUACUGUGUUGGUGUAUUAAUGUGUUCUUGUGUUAUGUAGUUAUUUUAUGUAAUAAUUUUAAGUUUUCUUGUGCAAAAUUAUUGAAGGCAUCUGGAUGUGCAAAAUUAUUGAAGUGGCUUCUUGUGCAAAAUUAUUGAAGUGUCUUAUUUUGUCUAGUACGUUGUCAAAAUUAUUGAAUGUCGUUUGAAUUAUUGAAGGCAUCUAUUGUACAUCAAAGUGUGCAAUAAUAAUUACAAUAAUUAUUAAAGGCAUCUAGAUUAAUAGAAACAUUAAUUAAUAAGCCAUAAAUUUAAUACACACGACAAUUAAUAAAGCACAUAAACUUAAUACAAACGACAAUUCAUAAGCCACAUAAAUCACAUAAACUUAAUACAAUCGAUAAUUCAUAAACUAUAUAAACUUAAUAAUGAUAUCCACCAUCUUCACUUGGUGGUGGACUUGGGAUAUAGGGUUGAGAUGAUUCAUCAUCUUGAAAUAUACUCUUUGUGGCAUUCUAUCGUAAAAUUUCCUUUUGCUUACCACACAAGAACUUCUUCCUCUCUGGAGUGUAUUUGUUGAGGUCCUCCAUCAUGCAAUUAAUUUUGAACCUAUUUUGCUCACUAUCCCCUUCUUCCUUCAUUUUCAAACGCAUUUGGGCCGCUUCUUCUUGGCGAGCGCUAUGGGUUUCACUCAAUCUUGCAAAUCCUGUAGCAAUGUGUCCACUCAUUAGAUCUUGAGACUUCCCUUUUCUCUUUGCUUCCUUUUGCUUAUAUCUUCCCGGAGGCCUUGCAAAAGGAGUUGGGGUCAUUUCAUCGACACCUUCAUUGACACCUUCAUCUCCGGCAUUUGUCGGUGCAGCUUCACGUUGAAAUAAUUUGUUGGUCCGCAUCCGUUCCCCACCUCGGACAAUCCUUGAGGACGUCCCAAGCAUGUUGCAACUUAAAAACUUGAUUUUUUGGUGUUACUCUUGUCUUGUAAAUUUCCAUUGCUUUGUCACCCUAUGCAAAAUAUACACAAAAACAAUUAGUUGCAAAAUAAUAUUAUGUACAUGACAAAUUAAAUAUCAAUAAAAAAGCUCACAAUUUCUGCGGUGCUCCUUCCAAUAGCCAUGCUAACCACGGCUCUCUCCAAGCUUCCUUUCCAUAAAGUGCAUGCUUUGUUAAUAGUCUUCCACCGAUCGUAAACACCACCACCUUCCCUCCCGCCAUCGUUUUCAUGAAACUUUUCAAUGAUUUUAUCCCACAAAACCUUUUAUUUUGAUUCGUGCCAACUGCACCAUCUUGGCUAACAGAAACCCAUGCCAAGCAUAAAGCAACAUCUUCCUCACUGGUCCAAUUACGACCUCUAACAUGCUCUUGCCAUGUUGAACAAUUUGGAAAUGGUAGAAAGAAAAAUUGGAAGAAUUGUAGGAGAAAAUUGAGUUUUCUGUGGAUGUUUGAACAAAUACAUAGGUAUUUAUAGAGUUUUUGGGUGAAUUUUGAGUUAAAUAAUUUUUUUUAAUUAUUUUAGUUGUUGGAUUUAAAUUUGGGAUGUUAUAUCUUUUUUUUACCGUUAGAUUUGAUUAUAUUCGAUCGUAGCCGUUGGAUUCAAUGUAUUUUAAAAUAACAUUUUUUAAAAAAAACAAAAUUUGAGUCUGGACCGUUGGAUCAACCAAUGGUCCAAAAAUGUGAGUCGUCCGAUGAACAAAAGAGCCGUUGGGCUCAUAAUUGUGGCCAACAGUGGCCUUGACAGUGGGUCCCACCCUGUCGAGCGUUGAAGGCUGAUGCUUGCGUGGGGUGAGUUGCGUGCAUUACCGGGCCGAUAGUAGGCUGGGCUUGGGCGCGUCCUUGUGUUCCUGGGCUAUUUCUUAGGGGGUAUUUGGCCUUAGUUUGGCAUUUAGCUUUUAGCCCAAAGAUUUGGCUUGGGUUGGGUUCGGUUGGGUUUGGGGGGGGGGGGGAAUAAGUGGGGAAAUUUGACAAAUAGCCCAAGGUUGGGUUUAGUCUUAGUUAUUGUCAUUGCUUAAUGUAGUUGUAAUUUAAAGUUUUAUUUUUUUAGUUUUGUUAUUUCUUGUGCAGGAUGUCGUUGCAAAUUUCCGCCGUCUUCAGUCUUGACGAAAAUGUACCUGCAAAAUAAUCAAUACCUUUGAUCAAAGACCUAAGCCUCACGCACCAUGAGGUGGGGCGUUAGGUCAAUGAAUCUCCGAUACCUAAGUCAGUUUAUUUGAGAGAGUAAAGUGUUUAGGGCUUUUUUAAGGUAGCAAAAGCGUGUAGAAGCAAUAUGUUUUUAUUUAAAUAUAUAUAUAUAUAUAUAUUUAUGUAUUUUUUUCUUUUGUUUUACUAAAACCAUUAAAUAUAUAUAACCUAACUUUGAAACGUGAGAAAGCUUCUCACAUUAAAUAAUUGGAUGGAAUUCCUUUUCUGAAUAAAGAAGAAGAUCAGGUACCCAUUCAUUCUUUUGUUCCAUUUUGAUUAUUUACUUUUUGAUUUCGUCCAUUUUAAUUCUUUAAGAUUUUCAUGCCACUGAUUCUCUCAAACUUGCAACGUAUACUUUAUCUUUUUGUACACAUAUAUAUAUAGGUUUCCUAUAUCGAAGGAAUAUAUAGAGAAACAAUAGAGUAUAUAUUUUCUCACCACAAAAAAAACAAAAAAAUUAGCUUCCUUUUGCACCACUGUCAAACCAACUCUCCUAAAGAGCCUACUAUUGCACAAAUCAAAGCUUCACAAACUUGGAUUGAAAAUGAUUUUCUUGCUUAGAAUUAUAUUCUUAAUGGAUUGUCUGAUGACCUUUAUGACUACAACUUUGAUUAUGGCGUUGCUAAAGAUUUAUGGGAGGCACUUCAGAAAAAAUAUGACACUGAGGAAGCUGGGGCUAAGAAGUUUGCUGUUAGUCGUUAUUUGAAAUAUCAGAUGGUUGAUGAUAAAUCUAUUGAGGCACAAUCUCAUCAACAACAACAACAACAACAAAGCAUUUUCCCACUAAGUGGGGUCGGCUAUAUGAAUCCUAAAAUGCUAUUACGCUCGGUUCUGUGUCAUGUCCUCCGUUAGAUCCAAGUACUCUAAGUCUUUUCUUAGGGUCUAUUCCAAAGUUUUCCUAGGUCUUCCUCUACCCCUUCGGCCCUGAACCUCUUCCCGUAGUCACAUCUUCGAACCGGAGCGUCAAUAUGCCUUCUUUGCACAUGUCCAAACCACCGUAAUCGAUUUUCUAUAAUUUUUCCUUCAAUUUCGGCUACUCAUACUUUACCUCGGAUAUCCUCAUUCCUAAUCUUAUCCUUUCUCGUGUGCCCACACAUCCAACGAAGCAUCCUCAUCUCCCCUACACCUAUUUUAUGUACGUGUUGAUGCUUCACCGCAUAAUAUUCUGUGCCAUAUAGCAUCGCCGGCCUUAUUACCGUCCUAUAAAUUUUCCGUUAAGCUUCAGUGGCAUAUGGCGGUCACACAACAUGUCGGAUGCACUCUUCCACUUCUUCCAUCCAGCUUGUAUUCUAGGGUUGAGGUCUCCAUCUAAUUCUCCGUUCUUUUGCAAGAUAGAUCCUAGGUAGCGAAAACAGUCGUUCUUUGGUAUUUCCUGAUCUCCGAUCCUCAUCCCUAACUCAUUUUGGCCUCCAUUUGCACUGAACUUGCACUCCAUAUAUUAUGUCUUUGAUCGGCUUAGGAGAAGACCUUUAGAUUACAACACUUAUCUCCAAAGGUUAUGCUUCGCAUUUACCCCUUCCUGAGUUUCAUCUAUCAACACUAUAUCAUCUGCGAAAAGCAUACACUAAGGAAUAUCAUAUUGAAUAUGUCCUGUUAACUCAUCCAUUACUAAUGCAAAAAGGUAAGGACUUAAGGAUGAACAUUGAUGUAACCCUACAGUUAUGGGGAAGCUUUCGGUUUGUCCUUCAUGAGUUCUUACGGCAGUCUUUGCUCCAUCAUACAUAUCCUUUAUAGCUUGGAUAUAUGCUACUCGUACUCAUUUCUUCUCUAAAAUCCUCCAAAGAAUGUCUUUUGGGGCCCUAUUAUACGCUUUUUCUAAAUCUAUAAAGACCAUGUGUAAAUCAUAUUUUUCAUCUUUAUAUCUUUCCAUCAAUCUUCGUAAGAGAUAGAUUGCCUCCAUAGUUGAGCGCCCUGACAUGAACCCGAAUCGGUUGUUCGAAACUUGUGUCUCUUACCUCAAUCUAUGCUCAACGACUCUCUCCCAGAUCUUUAUUGUAUGACUCAUUAGCUUAAUACCCCUAUAGUUCAUGCAAUUACAAAAAAUUGCUUAUGAAAUUAUUUCUAAAGGCAUGGUUUUAAAUGAUCAAUUUUAGGUUGCCGUUAUCAUUGAUAAGUUGCUACCAACUUGGAAAAUUUUCAAGAACUCACUCCCCACUAGACAAAGGAUUUCUCCUUAGAAAGCUUGUUCACUCAACUUCGUAUUGAGAAAAACGCCAGGAAACAAGAAUUGAAGGAGGAAAUUCUGGUCAUAUCAAACAAUAAGAGGACUACUAACUUCAACCGGAACAAGACUUUAGCUGUGCUGAAGCCAAAUGGAAAGAGCAUGAAGAUUCAGAACAAGCGCCUCAACAACAACACUAACAAGGUUCAUAAUCGAAAUCCCUUUCAUCCUCACAAUAGGUACCAACCUCCCUCACGUGCUGCUUCUGAUUCAAGAAAAUUUGAAUGUUAUAACUAUCACAAGCUGGGCCAUCUUGCCCGGAAUUGCAGAAAUAAGAAAAGCCCUGCUCCACAGGAAAAUAUUCUUAAAGAGCAACUGAUUGCAAUGAUAUCAGAAAUCACCUUAGUUGAUGGAUCCAAGGGGUGGUGGGUGGACACUGGCGCUUCUCGCCAUGUCAGCUAUGAUCGUUCUCUUUUCAAGACCUAUCUUGUGGCUGAGGGAAGAAAGGUGUUGUUGGGUGAUACGUACUUAACUAAUAUUGCUGGUACUGGAGAGGUGGAGUUGAAGUUCACCAUUGGAAAAACCAUGAUACUGAAAGAUAUGAUGCACGCUUCAGCAAUAAGGAAUAAUCUGGUCUCGGGCUUUCUUUUCAACAAGGCUAGAUUCACUCAAACCAUUGGAACAGAUACACAUACUCUUACUAAAAAUGGGGUUUUUGUGGGAAAUGGAUAUGCUACUGAUGGAAUGUUUAAAUUGAAUGUUGAUGCUGAUAAUAUGUCUACUUCUACUUACAUGUUGUCUUAUUUUAAUACUUGGCAUGCUAGACUUUGUCAUGUUAACAAACGCUUGGUUAAGAACAUGAGUAACUUAGGCUUUUUACCCAACUUAUCAUUGAAUGAUUUUGAAAAAUGUGAAUAUUGUAGUCAAGCAAAAAUCACUAGAACUUCGCAUAAAUUUGUCAAUAGAGAAUUUGAACCAUUUGACUUAAUUCAUUCCGAUAUAUGCAAAUUUGAUAGAGUGUUAACUAGAAAUGGAAAACGUUAUUCUAUUACCUUUAUUGAUGAUUGUUCAAAUUACUGUUUUAUCUAUCUUAUGAAAAAUAAAAGUGAAGAUAUUGACAUGUUCAAAACUUUCUUGACUGAAGUUGUAAAUCAAUUUAAUCGUAAGAUUAACAGAUUUCGUAGUGAUAGAGGACAAGAAUAGGAAUUCACUGAAUUUGAUAAUUUGUUUAAGUCUCAUGGAAUUAUUCAUGAAACUACUGCUCCUUAUUCUCCUGAAAUGAAUGGUAAAGCAGAAGAAAAAAUUGAACUCUUUGUGAAUUGAAUGUUGCUACUUUACUUAGUUCUGAAGCUGCUUCUUAUUGGUGAGGUGAAAUUAUGUUGACUGUAUUUAUGUGUUAACUAGGAUUCCUAACUCAAAAACGAAAAUUUCUCGUUAUGAAAUUUGGAAAAAUAAGAAACCAAAUGUGUUGUAUUUCAGAACUUGCUUAUGUCCUAAACCUAAUCCAAAAAGAUCGAAAUUGGCUAGUAGAGCAUAUGAAUGUGUUUUUAUUGGUUAUGCAUGUAAUAGCAAAACAUAUAGAUUUUAUGAUUUGAAAAACCAUGUCAUAAUUGAGUCACUUAAUGCUGAUUUUUAUGAGAAUAAAUUUCCUUUUAAUCUUCGAAAUAGUGGGGGUUCUAAUUUUUCUAGAAUUUAUGAACCUACUGUUGUAGAACAUAGUGAAUCUGCAUUAGAACUGAGGAAAAGUAAAAGAGCUUGAAUAGCUAAAGAUUUUGGGCCUGAUUUUCAUAUAUAUGACUUACAAGAAGAUCCUAAUACAAUUCAAGAAGCUUUAACUUCGUUAGAUGCAGAUUUGUGGCAGGAAGUUGUAAAUGAUGAAAUGGACUCCCUGGAAUCAAAUGAAACUUGGCACUUGGUGGAUCUUCCACCUGGUUGCAAAACAAUAAGUUGCAAAUGGAUUCUUAAAAGAAAAUUAAAACCUGACGGUUUAGUUGAAGAUUUUAAAGCUCAACUAGUUACCAAAGGCUAUAGACAAAGAGAAAAUAUUGAUUUCUUUGAUACCUAUUCACUUGUGACUAGAAUAACAUCUAUUCGUGUAUUGUUUGCUUUGGCUUCUAUUCAUGAUCUUGUUGUGCACCAUAUGGAUGUUAAAACAGCUUUCUUGAAUGGUGAAUUAGAGGAAGAAAUAUAUAUGGAUAAACCAGAGGGUUUUAUUAUUCCAGGACAAGAAAAUAAAGUUUGUAUAAGUCACUUUAUGGAUUGAAACAGGCUCCUAAACAAUGGCAUGCAAACUUUGAUAGUUUGGUUACUUCAAAUGGUUUUAAAAUAAAUGAAAGUGACAAAUGCAUCUAUUAUAAGUCUAACAGUAAUAUAUGCACUAUAAUAUGGCUAUAUGUGGAUGAUUUGCUUAUUUUUUGUUCGAAUAUUCAUGUUGUGAGUAAUGUCAAAUCUUUGUUAUGUGCUAAUUUUUAUAUGAAAGACUUGGGUGAAGCUAGUGUAAUACUUGGUUUGAAAAUAACUAGGUCUGAACAUGGGUUUUCUUUAGAUCAAUCUUACUACAUAGAAAUUUUUUUAAGAAAGUAUAAUUAUUUCGAUUGUAAACCAGCAUGUACUCCUUAUGAUUCUAGUAUAAAACUAUUCAAGAACACUAGUGACAGUGUUAAACAAUCUGAGUAUGGGAGUAUUAUUGGUAGCCUUCGUUAUGCUACUGAUUGCACUAGGCCUGAUAUAUCUUAUGUUGUAGGAGUUUUAUGCAGGUUUACUAGCAGGCCUAGUUUGGAGCAAUGACAUGCUAUAGAGAGGCUUAUGAGAUACCUUAAAAGGACGAUGAAUUUCGAAUUACACUAUGGAAAGUUUCUCGAUGUCCUAGAAGGUUACAGUGACGCUGAUUGGAAUACAUUUUCAGAUGACUCUAAAGCCACUAGUGGAUACAUUUUUAGUGUUGGUGGAGGGGCUAUGUCAUGAAAGUCUUAAGAAACAGACUAUCUUGCUGUGUCAUGGAAGUCUUAAGAAAUAGACUAUCUUGGCUUGGCUCAGUCUACUAUGGAAUCAUAAUUAAUAGUGCUCGCUACAGUAAGCGAAGAAGUAGGAUGGUUGAGAAACUUACUGUUAGAUAUCCCUUUAUGAGAGAAACCGAUUCCAGCAGUUUUGAUCCAUUGUGAUAGCACGACGACAAUAGCUAAAGUGCAAAACCGUUAUUAUAACGGGAAAAGGUGACAAAUACGUCGUAAGCACAUCACUGUAAAAGAUUAUCUCUCUAAUGGAGCUGUAAGAGUGGAUCAUAUACAGUCUGAAGAAAACUUGGCUAAUCCUUUGACAAAAGGACUAGCACGCGAAAAGGUUUGGAAAACCUCAUAAGGGAUGGGACUAAAGCCCUUAGAAAAUAGAGUCAUUUGUGAUUGGAACCCAACAUAUAGACUGGAGAUCCCAAGAAAUAGGUUCAAAGGGUAAUAACAAGUCACAAGUGAUAUGAGUGAAGUCUUGCUAAUUUUAAUUUGGAAUAUUAUUCUAUGUCUAUCCCUAAGAAGCAUGACAUCUUGAAGCCUUUUUAGGUUGAUAUUUGUUUUUCUCUUUGUAAGGUCUAUACUCUAUGUUGAGUAGGAUAUCUAGCUGCAGGAAUAUCCCUGAUAAUCUUACCUAUGUGAAUGUGGAAGUGAGGCCGCUUCCUAUGAAAUCUUGGGCAAAUUUCUAGAGUGUUCACAAGCACAUGGCCAUAAUGUGUUGGCCUUUUGAACUUUACCUUAAUAAAGUUGUGUGUGUGGUGUUGUUACAUAUAGAGUUCAAAACUAUAAGUUACUCUAGUAUAAUCUGAAUCACUAACACUAUGUACAUGUUCAAGUUGAGAAACACCUUUACUUAUGCAUAGCUUUAUAAUAUGUUGCUUGAUUUACAGAUUUAAACAAAAACAAGUGAGGGAUUGUAGAAGCAAUAUAUUUAAAUAUAUAUAUAUAUAUAUAUAUAUAUAUAUAUUUAUCUUUGGUUUUACUACAACCAUUAAAUAUGUAUAACCUAAAUUGGUUUUUAACCUUAUCUUUUGCUAAGGAGUAAUCUCCUUCACUAACUUUGAAACGUGAGAAAGCUUCUCACAUUAAAUAAUUGGAUGGAAUUCCUUCUCUAAAUACAGAAGAAGAUCCGGUCCCCACUCAUUCUUUUGUUCCAUUUUGAAUAUUUACUUUUUGAUUUUGUCCAUUUUGGUUUCAUCCGUUUUGGUUCUUUAAGAUUUUCAUGCCCCUGAUUCUCUCAAACUUGCAACGUAUACUUUAUCUUUUUACACACACACACACACACACAUAUAUAUAGGUUCCUUGUAUCGAAGGAAUAUAUAUAGAAACAAUAGCGUAUAUAUUUUUCUUAAAAAAUUGAGUUCUAAAGCAAGAUAUAGAAAGGGUGUGAGUUCGAAAGUUUUUUUCAUUGUGCAACAAAGAACUUAUUAGAGGAAGAAGGUUUUGGGUUAAUUUAUCCUGAGGACGAUGUGGUGUUUGUGAACAGCUUGCAGACUUGGGGCAGAGCGGCAAAACGUCUUAAAGAGAGUGACUUAUUCUGCGACUCAUUCUAAGAAUCAUUCAUCACUCAAGGCUUCUACAUUUUUCGUGUAACUUUGUUCCUUUCUAUUUCAGUUUUCAGCAAAGCCUCUGAAAUUUGGUAAAAUAUGAGGUAUUUAUAGGGGAUAAGGCUGGCCAUAGUGUAUGGUUUUACCCUACACAUGACGACAUCCUAUUGGCUAAGGUAUUUAUGGAGAAAUAUUCUCAAGAUAUUAAAUAGGAAAUAAUAUCUUGAGAUAAUGGAGUAAUUAUCCCUAAAUGAUUUAAAUUAGGAUCACUUACCUGAUUGGAGUUAAUCUUCAAUUGCGAAUGUAUUAAAGAUAGGAUUUGGGUAAUUAAUCCUUAUCUUUAAUGCUUUGACUUUUCCUUGCCAAAGGCAGGUGAGCUGUGGGCGACUAAUAUUCAGCUGCUGGGACCUUCAGGGGUGUGAGCUGCGUGUGGGAGUAUAUGAGAAGUCUACCCAUUUAUUGAGGGCAAUCUUGUCUUUCUUGAAUAAAAGUCCACGUGUCGCCUUUAGAAUUUUUGGGAUUAUUUUAGGCUCCACACAAGACAUAUUUGAUCUUUCAGAUGACUACUUUGCGCAGCUUUCGAUAAAGUACGUGACUUUUUAUGACAGAGUUAUCUCAAUAAGGAACAAAGGAUAGGUUCAUGUAGAAUAUAUUACAUAGCAAAAGUUGGGGAUUAAGCUAUUUGCGUUAUUUGAUUAUAUUGUGGGAUAUUUGGUUAGAAUAUUGCUGAGUUUUAUGCUAUUUAUGUGAUUGUAUUUAUCCAUUAGGUUCGUUCUACCCAAAUACCAGAGUAUCAAUAUUUCAUAUUGUUGAUGCACAAAAUCAGUGAAAACUUUGGUACAAUAGAAAGUGUUAAGUUUGUGACCUUCGCUAGAUUGCUCCGGUCACUAGUGUGGAUAAGUAUGUAAAUGGAUAGAGAUAGGGAAGCAAACACAAGAUGUACAUGGUUCACCUAGAUUGGCUACAUCCACGGAGUAGAGGAGUUCACAUUAAUUGUGAAGUACAUAGGUUCAAGCUCUCCUUUAGUGAGUACUAGUGAAUGAUUUAGUAUAAAUGACAUUCGGAAAUAUUGUGGGAGAAUGAUCUCCUUUUAUGGAAGAGUUUCUAGCUUUGUUUUGACAUUGACACGUGUCAUGUUGUGAUUGGUUUUUUAUGUUGACACGUGUCGCGAUGUGAUUGCUUUUGAUGUCGACACGUGUCGCACUGUGAUUGGCCUCCUGGUUGGAGGGAAACUCUUCUGGGUCCUUGACGGUAUAACGUUGACUAGUGCUCAGUAGUUUCGGGAUUGAUCAAAUAUGGUUCAAACACAUAUGAUUUUAUUGUUGGGUAGUUCAAGUAAGUUUUAGCUUUGUUAUUUUGUACUUAUUUGGAAUUUGAUGGUGUUUGUAUGUUGUUGUAGGUGAUUACCAAAAGAUCUCUUGCAUAAAAUUCGUACCAAUAAGUUAUGCAUAUCAUUGUUGCCGAACACCAGAAUAAAACAUAUAUACCUAUAGAGUGUAAAUGUGGAUUAUAAUCUAUGAUCUAUAAGUGAACAGAAGAUUAUGAGUUGUAGUAGGUUGCCGCAUCUAUUUUAGGAAAGAGAUCAUCUUCGGAUCUCUUCCACCAAGACCAUCGGAUCAAGUGAUUAGGAUCUUUGAAAUUUCAUCCAACGGCAAAAAAUUAUUAUAGCUUUUAAGGGAUCAAAAUAGGUAGGUCGUUGGAUGAAAUUUCAAUGGUCCGGAUCACUUGAUCCGGUGACCUUGAUGGAAAAGAUCCGGAGAGGAUCUCUUUCCUCUAUUUUCAUGUUUCAAUUACUGUAUCAAACCUUUGAACUUUCCAAUUAUUGUCCUUUUUGUCGUCUCCCAUUCUCAAACUGUCACAUAAGUUUUGUGGAAUUUUUUCAAAAACUCGCUAACUAUUCCACCUAUGGAGUUUAGAUGCUCAUUGGAUGUGGUUGUUUUAGAAUGACAAGCCCUUAAUAAACAUUUUUAAUUUCUGAAAAGAAAAUGAACUAAAAUUCUUAGAGGGAACGGAUAACUAUUUUUAUUCUUUUUCUAGUGUUGUUCAACCACAAAUGAUUUUCCAUAUUCAAUAAGGCGUCUGAAACUUGAAGGAAUAAUUAACCCAGCACAAUUGUUCAUAGCAGCGACAAUGAGUUCCUUGGCAUAUGGAGCUUUUGAGAUAGAAGGAUUUGGUGAACCAUAUCAAGAAUGAAAACUUUGGCCCGUACAUGGAUUGGAUUUAAAGUCUCCAGCCAAAAGACUCUCUUGACUGAACACUUAGGGGACUCCUGUUGGUACCAUAUAUUGGGCCUCGUUACUGAGCCCAUAACCCAUGUAAGAGGAGGAAACCCUUACUCUAUAAAAGGGAUCCUCCUCACCCUCAUUCUAGAGCCAAAAAAAAAAAAAAAAAAAAGAAAACAAGAGAGUCUCACAUCCCUCACAACAAUAGAGGGCAAUACCUUUUUAGCCAAAUAGAGAGCCAAAUGGCAAGGGUUGCAUCCACAGAGAGCUCCCUUGCCGAUCUAUUGUAAUCCAGACAUUCAUACAGUGAAAUGGAAUCAACAUCAGUGUGGACGUUGCCCAAACAUUAGGGUGAACCACGAUACAUCUUUGUGUUCUUGUGCGUUUGUGUGAUUCACGGUCGGAUUUACGUUGGUCCAAGAUCCUUCGGAUUUAAAUUGGUUUUGCUUCACACUGUCUUGAUCAAGAGUGUGUGAAGCUUUUGAGAAAUGUGGUUGCCCUCCAUUGAUAAAGCUCUUGUUGACACCAUAAAUUGGUUUUGCUUCACACUGUCUUGAUCAAGAGUGUGUGAAGCUUUUGAGAGUUGUAGUUGUCCUCCAUUGAUGAAGCUUUGUUAUAUUUCCCAAUUUCCCUUUUUCGAUUUUUUUUUUGGGAAAACUGGAAAUUUGAAAAUGUAGGAGAGACAACAUAUACAAGCGCCACCUUGUAGUAGUCGAAGGUUUGGAUGAACCAUAUAAAUUGAAUUUUCUUCGAACAAUCUUGAUGAUGAGUGUGUGAAGCUUUCUACGAGUUGUAGUGUUUGCAUCGUUACAGAGGAGAAAUGUCUGAAGCAGAUGCAAGAGGGAUGAAUAGCUUGAUCUUCGUAUGCCAUGCACUGAAGUUGUUGUUGGCUUGCAAUAAGACUUUGUUGGUAACUAUAACUCUUGUUAGGUAUAAGUGCUCCCCUAGUUGAGUUGUAAAGCAUGAGGGUUUUUUAUUAUUUGUGAAUGCUAAGAGUUCACAUGUACAAGUUGUACCACUCGUAUUCUAGUUGGUAGAAUGAAUGGUGAGUUGCUUUCAUCACCUAGUUGGUGGUACGAAGGUGAGUUCCUUCAUCACAUUUCAUCACCUGGUUGGUGGCAUGAAAAUCAGUUCCUUUUUCACCUAGUUGGUGAUAAGAGCGGCAAGUUGCCAAAUAAUAUUAGAGUACGGGUUGUACAUUUCAUCACCUGGUUAGUGGUACGAAGGUAAGUUCCUUUAUCACUUAGUUGGUGAGAAUAAGGGCAAGGUGUCAAGGCACAUUGUAGCAAGUGUCGAAUGACACAAAGUAUGCUGAACCCUUUCGAAGCAUAAUUGGCUUAUGCAUGAAUGUGUUGGAAUGUAUGAUUGAAUGAAUAUACUGUGAAGCUGUUCGUUUAUUUGUAUAGUCUUGUUAACAUAUACUUAGACUUUGUUUCAUGUUGGAAGCAUUCAUGUUGAAGCUUUGAACCCAAGUGCUUCAUUGCUAGGAAUGUAAGAGGAUUAGGAUCGAGUUGUCUAAAUCACUUCUUUAUUGAAUUCAUGCCAAAUGGUCUUCGUUACAUAGGAUGCCGAACGACUGAAGCUUAACACUUGUACAAUGUGAGUUUACUUGUAAUAGUACUUCAAGUGAUCAGUGUUCCAUGGAUGGCCAAGGGUCUUGCCAUCAGAGCUUCUAAGCUUGUAGGAGCCAGGGCGACUGAUGCCAACGACUUCAAACGGUCCAUCCCAGUUUGGACUACGUGUUCUUUCACUCGGGACUUUGUUGCAGUGUAAUAUUUUCUUCAAUACCCAGUCCCUCACUUUGAAAAAACGAGGUUUGACCCUUGAGUCAUAGUAGUUGGAGAUACGCUGCUUGUAGGCGAUAUUCCUCAAGUGAGCCUGGCUUAUGUGUUCCUCGACUAGAUCUAAGUUGAGGGUAAGUUAUUUAUCAUUUUCGCUUUGCACAUAGUUCUGGACUCGGAACGUUGCUUGCUCAAGCUCAACUGGGACAAUUGCCUCUGUACCAAAAGCAAGUGAGAAUGGAGUUUCUCCUGUUGAAGCCCGAUACGAAGUGCAGUAUGACCAAAGAAUUUAGGGUACGAAUUUUGUCCAACAACCUUUAGCCUUCCACGCUGGUUUUUAAAGUGCGCUUAAUUAUUUUAUUAAUGGCUUCAACUUGUCCAUUAGACUGGGGAUGAGCUAGGGAGGCGAAACCUAAAUUGAUGUUGAACUUAGAGUAGAACAUCCUGAACUUAUUGUUGUCGAACUGUCGCCUGUUGUCAGUGACUAUCACAUUGGGAAUGUCGAAUCUGCAAAGGAUGUUCUUCCAUACGAAGUCUUCUAUUUUUACCUCAGUAAUGGUUGCCAAGUGUUCUACUUCGGCCUACUUUGUGAAGUAGUUAACUGCAAUGAUUGCAUAACGGACCUUGCCCUUCCCUGCAGGCAUUGGGCUAAUUAAAUCAAGUCCCCAUUGGGUGAAGGGCCAAGGGCUGAUCAUAGGAGUGAGCGGCUCAGGAGGGGAGUGAGGAAUAGUUGUGUAGCGUUGACACUUAUCACAUGAGCGAGAUAUUCUGAUGGCAUCUUGGUAUAGUGUUGGCCAGUAAUAUCCUUGGCGAAAAGCCUUGUGUGCUACGGAUCGAGAUCCAGCAUGAUCUUCGCAAACUCCUUCAUGUAUUUCCCGAAGGACAAUUUCCGCCUCUGUGGGCGUAAGAAAUCUUAGGUAUGGUAGGUUAAAACCCUGUUUAUAGAGUUGGUCAUUAAUGAUCAAGUAACGGGUAACCUUGUAUCAAAUCUGCUUAGCUUGGACUUUAUUUUUUGGGAGGGUACCAUGCGCAAGGAAUUUAUAAAUCGGGGUAAUCCAACUAUCCCCCUAUUGUAAGUUGCAGGGUGCUUGGUGCUGCCAACAAUUCGACUUGAAAUUUUCUCCCAAUUUUGUCUUCUAUUGCUGAGGCGAGGUGAGCCAAAUCGUCUGCAUGACUAUUUGCCGCUCGAGGAAUUUGGGUGAUCUGGUAGUGGAAGUGCUUGAGCAACAAUUGUGUUUGUGCCAGAUAUGCUGCCAUGAAGCUAUCCUUAGCCUCAAAGUUGUUGGUGACCUGGUUAACUAGCAAUUGGGAGUCACUGAAGAUAUCAAUUCGUUUAACCUCAAGGUGUUUGGCCAAACGUAAGCCUGCUAGAAGGGCUUCAUAUUCGGCCUCAUCAUUCGAUGCAUUGAAUUUGAAACGAAGAACAUACUCCAUUGCCACUUUGUCAGGGGUCGUAAGGACUAGCCCUGCUCUAUAACCUUGUUGGUUGGAUGAGUCAUCAACAUAUAGACUCCAUGUUGGGGCUGUUUGUUCUAUUUUCUGAGCUUCCGAGGGUAAUGAAACCACUUCUUUAGGCAUAGAAACAAUGUCAACAGGAUAUGUGAAGUCGACGAUGAAGUCUGCCAUUGCUUGGCCCUUCUCAGCUGGCUUUGGUUGGUAGGAGAUGUCAAACUCACCUAAUGCUAUCGCCAAUUUGAUCAUUCGCCCCGAAGUGUCAGGACUUUGGAGUAUCUGUCGAAGAUGAUGAUUGGUAACCACAAUGAUAGAGUGUGCUUGGAAGUAAGGGCGAAGUUUUCUAGCAGACAUGACCAAUGUUAGAGCCAAUUUCUCAAUGUUGGAGUAUCGUGUCUCUGCAUUUUGUAAGGCCUUGCUAACGUAGUUGACUGGUCGUUCGACAUUACCAUCAUUUUGAAUAAGAACGGAACUUACUGCUAAAGCCGAUACCAAUAGAUAGAUAAUAAGAGUGUCACCAACCUCAGGUUUGGAGAGCAGAUAGCUUUACUCAUGUAGUCCUUAAAGUUCUUGAAUGCCUCGGCACAUUCAUCAGUCCAUGUAAUGUACUUCUUACUUCCCUUAAGUGCUUUGAAGAAAAGAGCACAUAUGUCUGUGGCCUUAGAGAUGAACCUAGUUAAGGCUGCCACCUUGCCAGUUAGGCUCUAAAUGUCUUUUGAAGUUACCUGUUCCUUCAUGUCGAUGAUUGUUUUGAUCUUCUCGGUAUUAGCCUCAAUGCCUCGUUGGCUUAUCAUGAAGCCUAAGAAUUUACCAGAGCAUAUGCCAAAGGCACAUUUGUUGGGGUUCAACCUCAUUCGAUACCUCUUCAGAAUGGUGAAAGUUUCAGAUAGGUUGGUGAUGUGUUGGUUAUCAUGUUUACUCUUGACUAACAUAUCAUCAACGUAAACUUCCAUGUUCUUCCCAAUCUAUUCGGCGAACAUUGAGUUGACUAGUCUCUGAUAAGUCGCUCCUGCAUUCUUUAGGCCGAAGGGCAGGACUUUAUAGCAAUAUAGUCCCCUGUCAGUAGUGAAGGUUGUGUGUUCUUGGUCAAGAGGGUUCACGAAGAUUUGGUUAUAUCCUGAGUAAGCAUCUAUGAAGCUCAGAAGUUCACAUCCUACCGUAGAGUUUAUAAGUCUGUCAAUGAGAGGAAGAAGAAAAUUAUCCUUCGGGCAUCCUUUUUUUAGGUCAGUGUAGUCGACACAUAUUCUCCACAAGACCUUUGGAGCAGGAGACUUUCUUUGGUUGGAUUUUUCUUAACAAGGACCACAUUUGCUACUUAUGUUAGGUAAUUGACUUCACGGACGAAGCCGAUGCCUUUGAGUUUUUCAACUUCUGCCUUCAUUGCUUCGUAUCUUUCAGCGUCAUAAAAUCUUCGCUUCUGUCUCACCGACUUAGUCUUGGGGUCAAUACUCAAGCGAUGACAUAUGAUAUCGAGAGAGAUUCCUGACAUGUCUUCGUAUGACCAGGCGAAGACCUUGGUGUUCUCUUGUAAAAAAUAGAUCAAUGCCAACCGAAUAGAUGGUGACAAGGUGGUGCCAAUCUUCACCAUAUGAUCUGGAUAAUCUUUUGAGAUAGAAGCGUUUUCCAACUCUUCAGCGGGUUGUGCUUGCUGGGUGAAAGAGUCGUCUCGAGGAUCAUUGGGUUGACUGUUGCCACCGUGAAAAUCCAAGUUGGCUUCGUCUGGGCUGGUCUUUAUGACUUGGUCAUGUAUAUAAAGGGUUUCCUUGGGCACAGGUAAGUGUUGUUGCUUGACCAAAGUGUUGUAACAUGAUCGUGCACUAAGUUGAUCUCUUCUGAUGUAACCAUUGCCAUAGGGGGUUGGAAAUUUCAUCAACAACAUAUGUGUGGAUACCAUGGCCUUGAGAUCAUUGAUGCCUGUGCGUUUGAAGAUGACAUUGUAUGCUGUUGGGCAAUCAACCACCAAGAAGUUAGUGGUAAUGGUAGCUGUGUAAGAGCCUAUACCAAUGGUGAAAGGUAAAUGUAUGCUCCCUAAAUGUUGCAUGAUAUCACCGGAGAAGCUUAUUAGAGGAGAAAUCAAGCGAUCGAGCAAGUGUUCAACUACAUUAAAUGCCCUGAAAGCUUCAGCAAACAUGAUAUUAACCGAAUUCCCCGUGUCUACCAGGAUUCGUCGUACUUCAAAGUUGGCUAUGUGAGCUUCCACGAUCAGUGGGUCAUUGUGAGGGUAGAUGAUACCUCUUUCUUCCUCAUGGUAGAAACAUAUUGGAUCCCAGUUAGGCUUUUGAUACUUGCCUCUCCUAAUGUCUUCCAUGUAAAACACUUGAUGGCUAGGCCUUAAAGCUCGUUCGCUAUUUUUCAUGGCCCUGUUGGAAGAUUUAGAUAUAGGUGUGCCACCACUUAUGGAAUAUAUCACAUUCACCUGGUGUUGGUUACGGUUACCCCUUGGAGGGUGAAAAAGGAAUUGAUCAAUUUUUCCUUCACAUGCCAAGCUUCAAUAUGAUCACGAAGGGUGAUACACUUCUUGCCGUCAUGGCCGUUAUGCUCAUGGUAGUAGUAAAAUGUGCCUAUGUUCUUCGUGGGCUUAUAAUCUGAGUGCCUCGACUUUGGCUUCGGUAUCAGGUUUGCUAUGUUGGGGUAAAUGGCCAUGUAUGUGGCGUUCAAAUGUAUGUAUGCCUCAUACCUCGGGGUAGGGGAUUAUCGUGGUAAUACCCUUAGUUAUCGCAGUAGUGUCCCUUACUCUUUUUACUAAAAUGAGAUUGGUGAUGAUGGAAAUCUUUCCUUUUGCCCUAGAUUGAUAUGUCUAUUGACUUGGCAAAGUACUAAGUAAGGUAGGGGGAGGCACUGCUGCAGUUUGGAAGGUUGAGGUCUUCUCAUUUGGGUGGGUCUGGUUUCCACUUCCCACUUGCUAAUAGGGGAUGUUGUUGGGGGUUUCUCUUGGUAUGUCUUUGCCUCGGUGGAGGUAUGGUUAUAAGCCUGUGUUAUCACCUCAGAGUAAGUCUUCCAAGUGUUGGCAUUGAUCAUGUACUUAAAGAAACAGUCACGUAGGCCUGCCGUGAAGGCUUUGAGGGCAGUCUUGUUGUCUGCCUCGGCACAACGGGAAUACUCAUGGCUGAAGCGGCCAGCAUACAUAUGUAAUGACUCGUCUGGCUUCUGGCGAAUAAUGUAUAAGUCAUCCGCAGAGUGCAAAAGAUCGGUUUGGAAAAUGUGUUGAGAAAUAAACAGUUUCCUCAAUUCCUCAAAUGAGUCAACCGUCUCAGGUGGAAGACGUCAAUACCAAUUUAGAGCUCCGCCAGAGAGGGUGGAGGAGAAAAGAAGACAUCGCUCUUCGUCAGUGUGCAUCCGGUAUGCCAUGGUGGACUCAAAGAGGUUAAAGUGUUCAAUCGAGUCAUUCUUUCCAGUAUGGAGUUGCAAGCCAAGCUUCUGCUUUGUCUUUGCUUGGAGGGGGUGUCGAAGAUCCUCCUUGUAAGAGGGCCAGGCCUAGGUUGGUUCCAAUCAAGUAUCUCAGCUUGUCGUUUGGCCUUCAACUUGUUUACUUCCUUAAAGAGCUGUAGGACAAGAGGGUCCUGAGUGGAGUCAUGUACCACUGGAGCUUUCUUUCAUAAAUCUCCAUCUCCUCUUGGAAGUAGGAAGGUUUGAUCAAGAGCAUGUGAUUUUUCCCUGGACUCGCCGUACUGACUUCCAAGGUAUGUUUGUCAGAACAUCUCUGAGUCCCCUAUACCUUCGUGUUUCUCUAGGACUUGUUGCCCCUUCCACAAAUUGGUAGCCGGCCUGGGACAUGGGAGGGGACCGAGUCUUUCAGAAACCCUUGGGUCAUUGAUCUUCAAGCAUAUGUGGAGAGGAUUCUCUCGAUGUUACUUUAGGAAGUCUCAACAAUCACGAUAAAUGGCCUUUAAUCCUUCCAACCCUUCUGCAAUGAGGGGUUUUCCUCCACUUUUCCUGCUUCGGGUUGAAGCAACUGGGUUGAGAGAAGUCUCAUGUUGAUCAAUGUUUUGAUGAUUAGCUUGCUCCUCAUUAGGAUACUAAUGUCGAAUGAAGGUGAUCCUCCCUGUUGAGGGGCACCCAGAUGAUGGUUGAUGUCCACAGGGGUAACGAACUCACGUGUUUGAGUACGCCUAGUUUCGUGGAGCGUCUUAAAAAGUUUCUCAUACUGCUCCUGGAGGACCUCAUUCUUCAUUGCUAUCUUGUUGGUCUAAGCUUCUAGCUUAUCAACUUUAGCUUGAAGAGCAACCCUCUUUCUUUCCUUCUUUCGUUGCUUCGUACUAGGUGCAAGAGGGGUGUCAUUCUGUGUGCUGUGGCUUCCUUUGCUCCCUAUGUUAGAGAGGGAUGCCUGGUCAAAAGAGAGUGUACAAAUGGUGGAAACCAGCUUGACAAAGUUGAAGAGAGUGGGAAUAAGUGUCAUUCCCAUAGACGGCGCCAAAUGUUGAUGCACAAAAUCAGUGAGGACGUUGGUACAACAGAAAGUGUUAAGUUUGUGACCUUUGCUAGAUUGCUCCAGUUACUACUGUGGAUAAGUAUGUAAAUGGAUAGAGACAGGGAAGCAAACAUAUGAUGUAUGUGGUUCACCCAGAUUUGCUACGUCCACGGAGUAGAGGAGUUCUCAUUAAUUGUGAAGGGUUUACACAAGUACAUAGGUUCAAGCUCUCCGUUAGUGAGUACUAGUGAAUGAUUUAGUACAAAUGACAUUCGGAAAUAUUGUGGGAGAAUGAUCUCCUUUUAUAGAAGAGUUUCUAGCUUUAUCUGACAUUGACACGUGUCGUGUUGUGAUUGGUUUCUGAUGUAGACACAUGUCGCGCUGUGAUUGGCUUUUGAUGUCGACACGUGUCGCACUGUGAUUGGCCUCCUGGUUGGAGGGAAACUCUUCUGGGUCCUUGAUGGUAUAAUGUUGAGCAGUGCUCAGUAGUUUCGGGAUUGGUCAAGUAUGGUACAAACACAUAUGAUUUUAUUGUUGGGUAGUUCAAGUAAGUUUUAGCUCUGUUAUUUUGUACUUAUUUGGAAUUUGAUGGUGUUUGUAUACUGUUGCAGGUGAUUACCAAAAAAUCUCUUGCAUAAAAUUUGUACCAAUAAGUUAUACGUAUCAUUGUUGUCGGACACCAGAAUAAAACAUAUAUACCUGUAGAGUGUAAAUGUGGAUUAUGAUCUAUGAUCUAUGAGUGAACAGAAGAUUAUGAGUUGUAGUAGGUUGCUGCAUCUAUUUUAGGAAAGAGAUCAUCUUCGGAUCUCUUCCACCAAGACCAUCGGAUCAAAUGAUUAGGAUCUUUGAAAUUUCAUCCAACGACAAAAAAUUAUUAUAGCUUUUAAGGGAUCAAAACAGGUGGGUCGUUGGAUGAAAUAUUAAUGGUCCGGAUCACUUGAUCUGGUGACCUUGAUGGAAAAGAUCCGGAGACGAUCUCUUUCCUCUAUUUUCAUGUUUCAAUUACUGUAUCAAACCUUUGAAGUUUCCAAUUAUUGUCCUUUUUGUCGUCUCCCAUUCUCAAACUGUCACAUAAGUUUUGUGGAUUUUUUUCAAAAACUCGCUAACUAUUCCACCUAUGGAGUUUAGAUGCUCACUGGUUGUUUUAGAGUGACAAGCCCUUAAUAAACAUUUUUAAUUUCUGAAAAGAAAAUGAACUAAAAUUCUUAGAGGGAAUGGAUAACUAUUUUUAUUCUUUUUUCUAGUGUUGUUCAACCACAAAUGAUUUUUCCAUAUUCAAUAAGGCAUCUGAAACUUGAAGGAAUAAUUAACCCAGCACAAUUGUUCAUAGCAACGACAAUGAGUUCCUUGGCAUAUGGAGCUUUUAAGAUAGAAGGAUUUGGUGAACCAUAUCAAGAAUACAACAACAACAACAACAACAAAGCCUUUUCCCACUAAGUGGGGUCGGCUAUAUGAAUCCUAGAACGCCAUUGUGCUUGGUUUUGUGUCAUGUCCUCCGUUAGAUCCAAGUACUCUAAGUCUUUUCUUAGGGUCUCUUCCAAAAUUUUCCUAGGUCUUCCUCUACCCUUUCGGCCCUGAACCUCUACCCCUAGGCCUUCUUUGCACAUGUCCAAACCACCGUAAUCGAUUUUCUCUCAUCUUUCCUUCAAUUUCGGCUACUCCUACUUUUCCUCGGAUAUCCUCAUUACCAAUCUUAUCCUUUCUCGUGUGCCCACACAUCCCACGAAGCAUCCUCAUCUCCGCUACACCCAUUUUGUGUACGUGUUGAUGCUUCACCGCCCAACAUUCUGUGCCAUACAACAUCGCUGGCCUUAUUGCCGUCCUAUAAAAUUUUCCCUUGAGCUUCAGUGGCCUACGACGGUCACACAACACGCCGGAUGCACUCUUACACUUCAUCCAUCCAGCUUGUAUUCUAUGGUUGAGAUCUCCAUCUAAUUCUCCGUUCUCUUGCAAGAUAGAUCCUAGGUAGCGAAAACGGUCGCUUUUUGUGAUCUUCGCUAGAUUGCUCCGGUCAUUAGUGUGUGGAUAAGUAUAUAAAUGGAUAGAGAUAGGAAAGCAAACACAAGAUGUACGUGGUUCACCCAGAUUGGCUACGUCCACGGAAUAGAGGAGUUCUCAUUAAUUGUGAAGGGUUUACACAAGUACAUAGGUUCAAGCUCUCCUUUAGUGAGUACAAGUGAAUGAUUUAGUACAAAUGACAUUAGGAAAUAUUGUGGGAGAAUGAUCUCGUAAUCACGAAACUUCUAAGUACCGGAGUGUGGUAUCGUCUUGACUUGCCUUAUCUGUCUCAUAGGUAGAUGUGGCAUCUUCUCUGGAAGUACUCUUCCUCCAUCCAGGGGUGGUAUCUUUAACUGGUGGAGAUGCACAAGGUAAUGUAUCAAUUUCACUUGAAGCUUACUUGUAGUUUCAGGCUUGGUCAAGCGCGAUACAAACCAUGUAGUAGGAGUCCCCCAAGUCGCCGAGCUAGGGGAUCUGCUGAAAGAGGUGACAGACAAGGUAAGCAAUCAGAGCUCCAAGCAAUCAGUCCCAGAUCAGAACUUUGAUUUCGAGUUCCGGCUGAUUGUUCACAUUCUCCCUAUCUUGCAGGCAGCAUGAAGGAUAAAGAGAAGAAAAAUGAGAAGAGAUGAUAUGGGAUACUUUUGCUUUUGAAGAAGUAACUUUCCACAGGCUUAUUCUUGAACUGGGCUGGAGGGUUUUCUGGUUUCCUCCAGAGUAUAAGGCCGACUGAAGAAUUUGAGGGUCAAAACAAGUCCAUCAAAUCUAGAGUACGUUCGACCCUGCUGAUAUGGGAUACUUUUGCUUUUGACAGAGUAGUGGAUGUAUCGGCACGUGUGCUGUUACGCUUGUCUCCACAUGCUUCCUUGUAUCCUUCUCACUUGCCCUAUCUGUUCCUCAGGCAGAUGCGGUAUCUUCCCUGGAAGCAUAAGAUGUUGAAGAUGAGUACUCGAGAGCAAUGCCAGGUAAGUAAUCAGGUAAGGGGUUCCAGGCAGUCAGUUCCUGGACUGGAAGCUUGAUUCCAAGUGCUGACUGAUUGCUCUCUUUCUCCUUGUCUUGCAGGUAAGAACAAGGCCAAAGGAAAAAAGACAGGGAAAAAGCAUGAUAUGGGAUACUCUUGCUUUUAACCCUGAUGAUAUGAGAUAUUCUUGCUCUAGUAUAGCUUGUUUGCAGAGGUAUUAUCGGGGGGAAAGAAAGCUGAAUAUUUCGAAAGGCUUCGUUGGGAGUGCCCUCUCAGAUAUGAGGAAGGGUUGAGCAUUUUUGCAGGUCUGCCUGUCCGUUGGGGAUGGAGGUCGACAUAUAUAGGAGUCUCCCUAACAACAAGUAGUAAUGCUAUUCCUUUACCCUACUUGGUCAUAGCACGGUAGUGGGAGCUGCCAGCUUCACAUGUUUUAACUCUGUCAGAGCACUUUGAAAAAGUGGUCUGUGGUAUCUGGAAAGCUGAUGUUGCGUGUGAAGAUUACAGACAAGCUUUAUCCAAGGAGAUCCGGCUUUUGAAGUUGGAAAAAUGGUGCCUCUUCGGUUUUCGAACAAGCAAUCCUGUCGAGGAUCUGGCUCUCGAGAUUCGGAGAACGAUGCCUCUUCGAUUUUUGAGAAAGCAAUCCUGCUGGGGGUCUGGCUCUCGAGAUUCGGAGAGCGGUGUCUCUUCGAUUUUUGAGAAAGUAAUCAUGUUGGGAGUCUGGCUCUCGAGAUUCGGAGGGCGGUGCCUCUUCGAUUUUGGAGCAAGCAAUCUUGUUGGGAGUGUUUUCUCGAAUGUGAGUAAAGGUUGGGCAUGUUUGCUAGUCUACCUUGCCACGAAGCACAGAGGUUGACACACAGGGACUUUCCAAUUAUCCAGCAGUGGUACUGUUCCUUUACCCUUGUGGGUAAUAAUAUGGUAGCUAGACCUUCAAAAUUUAUGUGUCUAAACUUUGUUAGUGCUGUUUCUUUGCUAUUCUUUUACCCUUCUUGGUCAGAGCGAUGUAGUGGGAGCUGCAAGCUUCACGUGUCUCAACUUUGUCAGAGAACUUUGGCAAAGUUAUCUGUGGUACCCAUGAGCUAAUGUUGCGUGUGGGAAGUGGGUGAUUGAACAGUAAGAUUCAUGUGCUUUCUACUUCACCAGAAAUCUUCGACAGAAUGCCCAUAAUUUCCGCAAAGCUGAGUGUGCGUGUGACAGGUGCUGACAAGGCUGGAAAAGUAGGUGCCUCUUCGAUUUCUGAGAUCGGCCCUCGUGGUCUCUGAGCAGCCCAGCUUUUGAGAAAGCAAGCGCCUCUUCGAUUUCUGAGAUCGGCCUUCGUGGUCUUUGAGCAGCCCAGCUUUUGAGAAAGCAAACGCCUCUUCGAUUUCUGAGAUCGACCCUCGUGGUCUCUGAGCAGCCCAGCUUUUGAGAAAGCAAACGCCUCUUCGAUUUCUGAGCAGGCGCCUCUUCGAUUUCUGACCUUAAGUUCCAAAGCACACUUGAAUCUCCACCAGUAGAAGCUUCAUUCUUGCACUUCUAAGAUCUUGAUUUGUCCGACCUCUUCUUUCUUCAACACCUUUGAAAAUGUCUGGCCCCUCCGACCGUCGUUUUGACUUGAACCUUGUUGAAGAGGCAGCCACGCCUUCUCCAGACAACAUAUGGCGCCCAUCCUUCGUCUCCCCUACUGGUCCUCUUACCGUUGGGGAUUCCGUGAUGAAGAAUGAUAUGACCGCUGCGGUGGUGGCCAGGAACCUUCUCACUCCCAAAGAUAACAGACUACUUUCCAAACGGUCUGAUGAGUUGGCUGUUAAGGAUUCUCUGGCUCUCAGUGUUCAGUGUGCAGGUUCUGUGUCUAAUAUGGCCCAACGCCUAUUUGCUCGAACCCGCCAAGUUGAAUCAUUGGCGGCUGAAGUGAUGAGUCUCAAACAGGAGAUUAGAGGGCUCAAGCAUGAGAAUAAACAGUUGCACCGGCUCGCACAUGACUAUGCUACAAACAUGAAGAGGAAGCUUGACCAGAUGAAGGAAUCUGAUGGUCAGGUUUUACUUGAUCAUCAGAGAUUUGUGGGUUUGUUCCAAAAGGCAUUUAUUGCCUUCGUCUUCUGGGGCUGUACCGCGUAAUGAAGCUCCAAAUGAUCAACCUCUGAUGCCUCCUCCUUCUAGGGUUCUGUCCAGUACUGAGGCUCCGAAUGAUCCCCCUCCGGUGCCUUCUCUUUCUGGGGCUCUACCGACUGCUGAGACUUCUCCUAAGCAACCUUUGUGAAGGCUCCCUCUUGUUUGUUUAUUUUGACUCAUGUAUAUGUACAUAUUUGUAACUUAUCGGGGAUAUCAAUAAAUAAGCUUUCCUUCAUUUCAACGUAUUGUGUUAAAUACACCAAAGCCUUCUUCGCUAAGUUCUUUGAAUUUUUCUUUUGUUGAAGCUUGUAUGUUGAAGCUUUGUGAGUGGAGCAUGUAGGUUGAGGUAGUGUUCCCUUAAUUUCCCGAGUGAGGAAAACUUCUCGGUUGGAGACUUGGAAAAUCCAAGUCACUGAGUGGGAUCGGCUAUAUGAAUCUUAGAACGCCAUUGUGCUCGGUCCUGUGUCAUGUCCUCCGUUAGAUCCAAGUACUCUAAGUCUUUUCUUAGAGUCUCUUCCAAAGUUUUCCUAGGUCUUCCUCUACCCCUUCGGCCCUGAACCUCUGUCCCAUAGUCGCAUCUUCUAAUCGGAGCGUCAGUAGGCCUUCUUUGCACAUGUCCAAACCACCGUAACCGAUUUUCUCUCAUCUUUCCUUCAAUUUCGGCUACUCCUACUUUACCCCGGAUAUCCUCAUUCCUAAUCUUAUCCUUUCUCGUGUGCCCACACAUCCAACGAAGCAUCCUCAUCUCCGCUACACCCAUUUUGUGUACGUGUUGAUGCUUCACCGCCCAACAUUCUGUGCCAUACAGCAUCGCCGGCCUUAUUGCCGUCCUAUAAAAUUUUCCCUUGAGCUUCAGUGGCAUACGGCGGUCACACACAACACGCCGGAUGCACUCUUCCACUUCAUCCAUCCAGCUUGUAUUCUAUGGUUGAGAUCUCCAUCUAAUUCUCCGUUCUUUUGCAAGAUAGAUCCUAGGUAACGAAAACGGUCGCUCUUUGGUAUUUCUUGAUCUCCGAUCCUCACCCCUAACUCGUUUUGGCCUCCAUUUGCACUGAACUUGCACUCCAUAUAUUCUGUCUUUGAUCGGCUUAGGCGAAGACCUUUAGAUUCCAACACUUCUCUCCAAAGGUUAAGCUUUGCAUUUACCCCUUCCUGAGUUUCAUCUAUCAACACUAUAUCGUCUGCGAAAAGCAUACACCAAGGAAUAUCAUCUUGAAUAUGUCCUGUUAACUCAUCCAUUACCAACGCAAAAAGGUAAGGACUUAAGGAUGAGCCUUGAUGUAAUCCUACAGUUAUGGGAAAGCUUUCGGUUUGUCCUUCAUGAGUUCUUACGGCAGUCUUUGCUCCUUCAUACAUAUCCUUUAUAGCUUGGAUAUAUGCUACUCGUACUCCUUUCUUCUCUAAAAUCCUCCAAAGAAUGUCUCUUGGGACCCUAUCAUACGCUUUUUCCAAAUCUAUAAAGACCAUGUGUAAAUCCUUUUUCCCAUCUCUAUAUCUUCCAUCAAUCUUCGUAAGAGAUAGAUUGCCUCCAUGGUUGAGCGCGCCCUGGCAUGAACCCGAAUUGGUUGUCCGAAACCCGUGUCUCUUGCCUCAAUCUAUGCUCAAUGACUCUCUCCCAGAGCUUCAUUGUAUGACUCAUUAGCUUAAUACCCCUAUAGUUCAUGCAAUUUUGUACGUCGCCCUUAUUCUUGUAGAUAGGCACCAAAGUGCUCGUUCGCCACUCAUUUGGCAUCUUCUUCGUUUUCAAAAUCCUAUUGAAAAGGUCAGUGAGCCAUGUUAUACCUGUCUCUCCCAAAACUUUCCACACUUCGAUUGGUAUAUCGUCUGGGCCUACUGCUUUUCUAUGCUUCAUCUUCUUCAAAGCUACAACCACUUCUUCCUUCCGGAUUCGACGAUAAAAAAGAGUAGUUUCUACACUCUUCUGAGUUACUCAACUCCCCUAAAGAAGCACUCCUUUCAUGUCCUUCAUUGAAAAGAUUAUGAAAAUAACCUCUCCAUCUGUCUUUAACCGCGUUCUCUGUAGCAAGAACCUUUCCAUCCUCAUCCUUGAUGCACCUCACUUGGUUUAGGUCCCUUGUCUUCUUUUCCCUUGCUCUAGCUAGUUUAUAGAUAUCCAACUCUCCUUCUUUGGUAUCUAGUCGCUUAUACAUAUCGUCAUAUAAGCCGCUAACUUAGCUUCUCUCACAGCUUUCUUCGCCUCUUGCUUCGCUUUUCUAUACCUUUCACCAUUUUCAUCGGUCCUAUCCUUGUAUAAGGCUUUACAACAUUCCUUCUUAGCCUUCACCUUUGUUUGUACCUCCUCAUUCCACCACCAAGAUUCCUUUUGGUGUGGGGCAAAGCCCUUGGACUCUCCUAAUACCUCUUUUGCUACUUUUCGGAUACAACUAGCCAUGGAAUCCCACAUUUGGCUAGCUUUCCCCUCUCUAUCCCACACACACUGGGUGAUUACUUUCUCUUUGAAAAUGGCUUGUUUUUCUUCUUUUAGAUUCCACCAUCUAGUCCUUGGGCACUUCCAAGUCUUGUUCUUUUUUCUCACUCUUUUGAUAUGUACAUCCAUCACCAACAAGCGAUGUUGAUUAGCCACGCUCUCUCCUGGUAUAACUUUGCAAUCCUUACAAGUUAUACGAUCCCCUUUCCUCAUUAGAAGAAAAUCUAUUUUGUGUUUUUGACGACCCACUCUUGUAGGUGAUCACAUGUUCUUCUCUCUUCUUAAAGAAGGUGUUGGCUAAGAAGAGAUCAUAUGCCAUUGCAAAAUCCAAGAUAGCUUCCCCAUCCUCGUUUCUCUCCCCAAAACCAUGGCCACCAUGAAAACCUCCAUAGUUGCCUGUCUCCCUGCCCACGUGUCCAUUUAAAUCUCCUCCUAUAAAUAACUUCUCCGUCUGAGCAAUUCCUUGCACCAAGUCUCCAAGGUCUUCCAAAAUUUCUCCAAGGUCUUUCCCGAUUUCUAUUCGAACCUAUCCAUACCUACUUGAGGCCGUACCACUAAUCACAUUGAUAAGUUUUUGUCCUAUUACACUUGAUUCCAUGCUUAUCUCCUACUACUUACAUCCACACAUAUUGUGUCAAUGUCUUGUCCACGAUGAUGCCAACACCGUUCUGUUAUUGUGCCCGAAUACCAAAGUUUAACCCUGAGCUCUAGAUCUUGCCUUACGACCAACCACUUAGUUUCUUGUAGGCACAGAAUAUUUAUUCCUUCCCUACCAUAACUUCCACACUUCCAUAGAUUUUCCGUUAAGGUUCCUUAUUCCACAUUUUAAAGCAUUUGCUCUUGAACUCUACCCUUCUGUCCUAGCUUCUUCACCCUCCUCCGGUCUAAUAGGAUCAAAGUACUUCUUUGUGUGUCCGUGUAAAGUUGAGUAGGAGAUUGCCCCUAAAAAACUUUGAGUGGAGACGUUCGAAAGAAGUUUCUAUGGCCCCUUGCUAUUUAAAACUGCAUCGGGUGCCGAUGGAGAUACAGCGCCCUUGCUCACUAUCACUGUGCUCGGGCACACAGCGCGCACUUACGGUGACGCCUGCUUUGGCGCGAUUCUUCUUAUUAUUUUCAUAGGAUUCCGACGUAAUUAUGGAGUGCCGGCUGUCGGACUACCUGACGCCCUCCCCUUCUCCUUUAUCCGGGCUUGGGACUGGCAAUGUAAGAUAAACUUACAUAGGCGGAGUUUGAACCAUAUCAAGAAUGAAAAAGAAAAUUAAAAAAAAUGACAAUAAGCAAUGAAGUAUAUAAGGAUAUUUGUACCGUCUCUCUAAUAGAGGUACUGUCUUUCUAACAGAAGUAGUGUCCACCAACAUAUGUGGGUCACAUCUCUAUAUAAAAGAUGUUAGAAAUAUGUGGUAAGAGCAAUAUUGAGAGCUUAAUCUAUAGAGACAAAAACUUCACUAUAUUUCAAGGAACUCCACUAAUUUUUAAAAAAAUUCUUAAAAAAAUGGAGUAAACACAUAAAAGCAACUAAAGCCCAACCCAAAAACAUGGAAAUAAUGUUUUAAAAUACCAGCCAUACCCCUAAGGUUUUAAGGCUGCUAAUAGAACUCAGCCCUCACAACUCUAGCAAAAUUGAUAUAUAUCAUCAGCUGAACCCAACAUCGACUAUUUUUUGUUAUCCUUUUAAACUAUACUAUUACGCAUUUUUUGCUGGUAUAGAUCAUAUCCAAGUCUGAUUAUCUGUCAGGCCCAAAGACGCUGGUCUGUAGGAUUCCCAGUCACAACAUGCUUCCUAUACCCCUUAUCUUUCUGGUGUUUCUCAACGUGCGCUGCCCAUGUGUGUAUUUGAAUUGAUCCUGGACAAGUUUAAACUAAGCAAAUUGAUUAUGCUCGAGCAACAGCCGCGAAGGGAUGAUUCGAUUUGCUAAGAAUGCUAUGCAUGUGUGAGGAAAUGGGAACAUUUAUAUAAGAUGAAACGGUUUGACAAUUUACACAUAUUUACAAACAAUGUUAACGACCACAUAUAUGUACAAUCAUAUUUAAAACUCUAUUUUAUCCUAAUUCAAUUUACACAUAAAUCCUAAUCAGCAACUCUGAACUCUCUUGUCGAAAGGCUAGAUUCCCCCCCCCUUCACAUGUAUGUUUCUCCGCUAAAAAUUGAAAAAAAAAAGAAAUAAAAAGGAGAUUGUUAAAGUAAAUCUUGACAUCUAGUCAAGAUGAAGGAAACAAAGUGUUAGUUUUGAAGCCUUAAUUUUUCUUUAAUUAUACGUUUAAACAAAAAAUAUUGAUCUACGAAUAUAAGUGCCAUCAACGAAAUUAAAUUUUCAAUUGCUCAUCAAUAAUUAAAAUUGACAUAUGUUAAGAGCAACAUAUUAGAAGUAAGUAGACUUAUUGAAUUGCUUACCUCCCCAGUAACUCUUCUACCACAAUUCUCAGCAUGCAAGUAUGAAUAAAGGUUGCCGGAAUUAUAUACCUUCUGUUGAGUUGUAAACGGAGAGAAACAAUAAGCAUACAUAUAGGAAAAGAUUUAUAAGAUCUUCGAAAAGUGUAGAGAAAUGAUAACCUUGCACGUACACACAUUUCCUUGGAAUGGUUCUUUCACCAUUUCAAUCAACACAAAAAGGUAUAUGCAAUUUUUAACACCCCAGCCGCCAUUAUCACUUUUAUCUCAAAUGUUCACAUAAUGCGUCUUUCUUUCAAUUUCAUUUAAUUUGCUCUAAGGGAACUUCUUUGUCUCUAUGUAGUUAUAAAUCUAUAUUUCCAAAUCUUGCUCGCUUCAUUUGUGUGUGUUUAAGUUUCUUCCAUCGAACAAUCAUCUGAAUAAGUUUAUUUUUCAUGUCUACAUUAAUUUUCUGGACUUGCAUGCUCCUACAAAAGGCUUAUCGUGUCUAAAGAGUUAUGUGAGAUCCAUUUAUGUUAAUUUUCUGUCAACCAUUUUCGUCAGAAUGCAGUGUUAUUUCCCCACUUUUCUUCUAACAACCCGUUUAGAAAAUUACCUUUUUAUUAAUUGAAAUUACAAAAAUAUCCCUAACUACCAGAAAGUGUUGACUUCGUGACUUUGUAGCGAUGCAUGUUAGAAUUUUUCUUAUAUUUUAUUCCUGUAGCACUCAUCGAUACAAACCCGUAGGCGUGAUUGGAAUCCAAAUCGGAGUUAGACGAAGCUUUUUUAACUUUUUGAACGUAAGGGCAUUUGGUAAUUUCACAAGUGAAGAUUUUUCCCGACUUUGGACCUCUACAUGGGUGACACUUGGCACCCCAUUUCUGGUGCCCUUUUUCUUUCCCCUCCUGUGAUCUCUCUCUAGAACUCUUCCUCACUCUCUCGUAUCCCUCUCUUCCAUCUCUCAUCUCCAACGAACCAAGCACACACACACACACACACCCAUACCCACACCUACGAACAACCUCCAUAACGAUCACCACACCAUCACCAUCAUUUCCCCUACAAGUUCUACAAACCCAGAAGGAAUAGAAACCUUCGUUCUUCUCUUUUUCCCUCGUUGCAUAGUACCUUCACUAUGCAGAAAGUUGAUCCGGCGAGUUUUCGCCAUUUUCCAACGAGGGGAGCUCGAUAACUACUCCAAAUCUUUAUCAAUCAUGUUUAGAACUGUGUUUAGGUAAUUUUUGAGACAAUUUGGUAGUGUUUGGAUGCAAAGAUAGCUUGGAGAAAUAUAUUUCCAAUUUUUCGGCGAGAUUCCAUGGCUUGUCUGCCAUUUUUUUGCCGAUCCUGACUUUAACGCCAUCUCAUCUUGAUACAACUCGAAUCCUCACUCUCCUAGCUUCAUUUUAGCUUUUGAAUGGCGGGUUUUGGUUAAGCUUUGACCUUAAAACGGAGUCAGGGAGACUUCCCGGCCAAAACUUCAGUCAUUUUCUUCGUUAGUCCGGUGACUCGCAAGUGGAAACUGGGUUGAGCCUAAACCCACAACUCUGAAUUGGCCCAAAGGUUUGGGCCAAGCAGCCUAUUAGCCCAGGCCCAACCCAAUUCCCUUAGCCCAAGCCCAACCUUAAAGUCCAGCCCAAUAACCCUAACACGGCCCAAACUACCAGACCCAAGCCCAGAUUCGAGCCAGGUCCGACCCAACCUAUGUCUGAUACCCAGAUCCCUAGUCAGCGCGUGGGCACGUGUGAGAGGCUGUCUGGGCCUGCCCGUGGAGCACAUGUGCCUCCGCUGGAGGUACUGUGCUCGGCCGCCAUCAGACGGCACAACAGCGAUGUCAACUACGUUUGGGAACAUCAACUAGGCACGUAACAGCGUGUGGCCAUCCGGACAGUAGCCCCGUAGAGGCGCAUGUACCAUAAGAGGUCCCUUCUUAGGUUUUUCAAUGUGCCGAGUCCGAAUCUGUUGUCUGUUUCCCCAAAUUCGACCGUUUUAAUGGAGUUUUAUUAAAUGUACAUUCUUUGUUGUUUUGGUGCAACAGUUGGAAAUGAUCCAGUCCAUCCUAAUUUGAGCGGCUUUCCAGUAGUAGAAUACUUGUGAGUGGACCCCUUCUUAACAUAUAUGUUUUUAUAAAAUAUUAGCCUAGCAUUUAUAAUUUCUGAUAUAAUAUGUUUGAUAUACUUCGGAUUGAAUUAUUGAUUUGAAUACUCACAUUUAUGGAUUUAGUUUUACUCGGGUUAUGAUUUGGCUUGAGUAUAGACCAGAUGCUUUAAGAUUUAUUUACAUAAGAACAUUUCAUAUUUAUGAGGUAUGACUUUGAUGCUAGUGAGCUUCGAUUUGAUACACUUUGAAUUAUGUUUUUGGUUACUUUCUAGGGUUCCAUACGGCCACAAACACACCCUUAUAGAUGUCUAUGGAAUAGAGAUAUCUUAAGAAGGAGCGAGAUAUGAUUAUAUGAUAUACCCCCACGGCCGGCCAAAAAUAAUGUUGGAUGUUCACUAGCCAGGCUAGUGUGGUGUGAAUCUUGCUAAUACAGCUUCACUUCAGGUGAUGACAGGUUAUUCAACUUCACCUUCGGGUGAGGAUAGGUACUACCUUUGGGCGACUAUGAUACCCCUAGUUGAGUACAUCACGGCUACGCUUUACAGAAGUUUUACGAAUUUUUACAUGGCAUGCUAGGAUUUUUAUAAAACCUAUAUGUAGUAUUAUAUAUGUGUUUUCAAAAUAGGGGGUUAGUAUGUUAUGAAAUAAACUGGUUUUAGUAUUAUUAUAAAUUAUGGUCCACUCACCUUUUCUGUUUUGCGUCUCCUCAGGACAUAGCGACGAAGAGUACGACCAAGCAAGGCUUUUCCCCACCAGUGAUCAUGCUUACUUCUAUUUGCGUAUGGCCCUUAUUGACUCUUGUAAUUUGAUGCUCACCUUUCUUUAGCACUCUGUUUAUUGGUAAGCUAUGGACACAUUGCAUCUUUUACUUCAGAUCUGUAAUCGUUGAUCUUUCUGUUUUGUUCAUGUGGAUUUUUGCAUCUUUAUUAUUGUCCACUUAGCAUUUAUUGUUCCGUAUCAUUUCUGCUUGUUAUACAAUUUUUAGUUUAUGGGUCCUUUUAUAUUCUUAAUUGUUCCCUACCAUUUGUGUUUGUUCAUACAGUUUGGGCUUUCGUCAGUCUUUAGUGUCUGUCCGCACAUGCCAUCCAUGUAUCAUUUGGAUAUCUGGGUGGCCUGUCAUUUCUGGAAUCUUGAAGAACCAAACCUUAUGUAAUCCUACAUUUAUAAUUUCUAAUGUUUUAAUAUGCAUUCUUAUCUAAAUUCACACAAUGACCAAUCAAUAAAAUAGUAGAAAGAUAGAGCACAAAGACCAAUCAACAUGGAAGCAAGCUCAUUGAUCCUUUUAAAAGAGACAUACAUACCUCUGUUUCUUCUGCUCGCAUCCAAUAUUUAUUCCACCAUGUUAUAAACUGGAUAACAGUUGCAAAUAAGUAAAGUCCCAACAUGUUGCUCCCUAAGCAAUACCAAGUCCAUCAGUCUGCACAAGGCCUCAUUUUGCAGAAAACACAGCUCAAUUGAACCAUUAUGUAUGAUAAAUUAGUGAGGAUUUAAAGUAGGGAAGUAAGGACUAUUGCCUACAUGUGCACACUAAAGAGAUUUUUUGGUAAUCACUUGCAACAGUACACAAGCACCAACAAAUUCCAAAUAAGUAUAGAAUAACAGAGCUAAAACUUAUUUGAAAGAACUACCCAACAACAAAAUCAUAUGAAAUAUUGAAACUAUGAUAUUUGCGUAGAACAAAAAUUAGCAAUUUUCUAACCAAAUAACCCACAAUAUAAUCAAAUAAUGCAAAUAGCUUAGUCCCCAGCUUUUGCUAUUUAAUAUAUUCUACAUGAACCUCUCUUUUGUUCCUUAUUGAGAUAACUCUGUCAUCUAAAAAAUCACAUUCUUUAUCAAAUUCAACGACUGGGUAAUUAACAUAGGUUGAAAAAAACGUACUCACAUUGAAACGAAGAUCAUUUAGAAGCUGCGCAAAGUAGUAAUCUAGAAAAUCAAAGAUGUCCUGCAUAGGAAAUAAGAGCAAGUCCACCCCUAAAAAAAUGCGCCAACACCCAGCUUAUUUAAUCCAUUCAAGCCGUGUUUGUUUCCCUUCACUAGCCCUCAUUGGGACUACGUAGAAGUUUUACCAGUCCCAUGUUGUUACUUCAUGGGACUAGCUUUUAGUGAGUAAGCCAAUCGUCUCGAACUAAGACCGUGCUGACGGCUAGCGAGAGGACGUCAUGCGGAACCAUGGGACUAGCUAAUCCCUUCGUCGCCUUUGCUUGUUCCCUUACUCUCAUCUGGCUGCCCUCGCGUUCUCUCCCUUCUUCUCUAUCACCAACCCUGAAUCUGAACAAAACUUAUUCGAAUUUUCAAUAGGAGAACUAGGGGCUCCGUCGGUUGCGCCCUUGCUUUCCAAGUGGCGAUCGUCUCCGGGGCUCCUUCCUCCUAGACUUCAAUUUCGACGACAAAGGACUUCAGGCUCCAUCCUCGCUUGGACCUUUUUCCAUUGCUACUCUGCUCCGGCUUUGCCCCUCACAUCCCUCUCCCUGCCUUCCCAUAACCAGAAAACCCAGAAAAGGGUAAGGGGAAAGAACAGUGGCACAGAUAAAAUGGUAGAGAAAAAGGAGAGGGGAGGAAUGCAGUGGGCGACAAAAAAAAACUGAGAGAGAGGUGAAAUGCCAGAGAAAGAAAAGAGGGAAGGAUUGCAGUGGCGGACAAAAAAAAUGAGAGGAAGAGAAAUGGCAGGGAAGAUAAAGGAUUGUAGUGGGCGGGACCACCAAAAUGAGAAUUUAGAAUAAAAUAUUAAUUUAUCCCGAUAUAGUAUAGAUUAAAUUAAUGAAAAAAUUGUGAUAUAAAUUUUAAUUAUAUAAUACAUGAGUCCUGCUUUUUAGUCCGACAUUGCACCAAACGUUUCACUAAAUCAGUCCAGCUUAGUCUAGUCUAAGCCAAUCCAGCUUAAUCCCUGAAGCUAGUCCAGUCCGAGACAGUCCGGUGCAACAAACGCACCCUCAGUGAAUAGUGAUGGACUCAAAUGAACAAUAAUAGGUCAAAUGCAUCUUCACCCCUAACAAAAAAUAGCCUAGUCAAUUUUAUUAAAAUAUUAUUAUUAUUUAUUAUAAAAUAAUAAUAAAAAAUAAUUUUACUUUUAAUUUCUGAUUUUAUAAAAAAAAUAUUAUUCAUUUUUUAUAUAAUUAAUAAUAUUUUUGGAGUCAAAUUUCGAUGCAGAGGAGGAGAAUAAUCAAACCCUUUAAAAGUAGAAACGCUGCAAAAACCUAAAGAAGCUCGACCCCAAGCCCACCGUCCUCGUCUCAGAGAAGCUUGGAGAACCCAAAAUCAAACUCCUUAAGCAGUUUGCUAAUGUCGACUGCUCCUACAAUCUCAGCCCCGAGAAGCUCUGCACCAAGAUCUAGCUCUGCGAUAAGGUCGCCAGUAGGUGUUCGAGUCCAAGGUCACCUGCAAGGUGUUCGUGUCACCGGCGGAAGGUUGAAGGUUGUGGGAAGAGCUGGCAUCGGCAUCAACAACAUGGAUGGCUCGGUUGACAUUAAAUGGCCUGGCUAUUGGGUCUGUCGAUUCUAGGUCGGUCUGUUGCCUAGCUUGGGCUGGGUGUCAGCCUAUUAGGCUGUGGUGGAGUGCUAGGUGUCGGGUAAUCCACUCCCAGUGGACUUACUCUAACAAAACUGAAAAAAAAUAAAACUUUAAAUUAUAAUUACAUUAAGCAAUGAAAAUAACUAAAGGGAAAUGGAUUCUGUUAUGUUGGAAGGAUUUGGGGGAAUCUGAUUUUGCGAGGACGAAUGAGGUAGUGGGGAUUUGGAAGGGAGGUUUUGGGGGAAAUUAAGUUUUAGGGAAAAAGAAGAAAUACAAUAAGAGUUGGGUUGAUGUAAGGAUAGGAAAGAGAGCUGGGGUGUGGGAGAACUGUGGUAGUGGUGGUUGAAACUUGAAAGUUGAAAGGGUUAUGGUUUAAUUCUUUUGUGGUGAAGCGGUGAGGAAUGGAAAGAGGUGGAGGAAGUUGGGAGUCCCACGUGUCACAUAAUUCAUCUCUAAUUGACAGCAAGACAAAUGGAUAAAGGACAAAAUUAGAAUAACAACAAAAUAAUCGGGAGUAAAACCAGAAAUCCAUUGUAGCUAAGCAACAUUGAUUUCCCCACCAGUUAGUGUGUGCGUGUAUAUAUAUGGGAGACGAUCAAGGGACAAAUAUUUUUACAAAUACUUCUACACUAUUUUUAAGCCUUUUGAUUACAUGACAUCUAAUAGUUCUUAUUUAUUCAUUCAAUGACAUGGAUGCUUAUGUGGAUUUUAACUAAUAUUAAAGAUAAAAAACACUAAAAAAAAACAUAAAAUCUGGAAAAUUAAAACUAAAAUUAAAAAAGGUAGAAUCCCUAGUUGUACGCAAUCCUCUGCCUCCCCCUAUGCAGAAAUCGCAACUAACCCCAUUGCUCAACCUCCAAGCAGAGAUCCAGUUCGGUUAGCAGAGACCCAUGUGCUCCAUAGUUAUCAAAUGUUCCAUUCACAAUCAACAACUUGAGAAUCUUAUGCCGUAAACAAAUAUGCAAUGAUUUAAUGAUUUGGUACAAACAAAGAACUAAUGGGAUUGAAAUUUUUCGACAGGUACCACGAAAAAAACUAGUUGUUACAAGUUCGUUCUAUAUGCAUUCACCAUGAAAGAUAUUUUUUUUUCCUUUUGAAAAUUUGAAGUUUAGUGCAAAGGUUCUUAAUUGAACGUAAACUAUGCAGGUGCAGUCCUUGGUUCAUUUUCACUUGUGCUGAUACUUAUCGGUCUCGAUCGUGUACAUACUUAUUGACCGAAUAGAAAAUGAGCGGCAAACCAUGAUCGAAGAAUUUUUGGAAAACUACAGAACUCUCAGGCCUACAAGGUACUCAUAUGCUGAUAUCAAACGGAUUACAAAUAAAUCUAGAGAAAAGUUGGGACAAGGAACAUUUGGAACAGUGUUCAAAUGAAAGCUCUCGAGUGAGAUCUUUGUUGUUGUAAGAUGCUCAACAAUUCCCAAGGAAAUGGAGAAGAGUUUAUCAAUGAAGUGUCAACAUUAGGUUGAAUCCACCAUAUUAACGUGGUUCACUUGGUUGGCUAUUGUGAUGGAUUUAGACGAGCCUUAGUUUAUGAAUUUGCACCAAAUGGUUCAUUGCAAAAACUCAUAUUGUCAGCAGACAGCAAGAACCAUUGUCUUGGUUAGGAGAAACUGCAACAUAUUACUCUCAGAAUAGCCAAAGGAAUUGAGUAAGUUCACCAUGGAUGUGACCAACGAAUCCUUCAUUUCAAUAUCAAACCUCACAAUGUACUAUUAGAUGACAACUUCAACCCAAAAAUCUCAUAUUCGGUCUUGCCAAGUUGUGCUCCAAGGAACACAGUGCCGUUUCCAAGACAUGAAGUUGCAAAACCACAUUAGCAAAGGGGGAGACGGAGGUUUCCAGUGCCACACCCAGGCCAACCCUAUGAUGGGCCCAAGUCCUCCGUGCCUUUUUUUAAGGCCCAACACUAGUAGCUUUACUGCUGGUUUUUUGUUUCCAACCUGGCCCAUGGCUUGCAGCCCACCCCCAAGCUUUUUGCUCAAGGCACCCAACCCAAAUUUUUUUGGGCUAUGGUAUUUCUUUACCCAACGCUAUUAUUUAGCAUUUUAAAUAAUUUUAACCUGAAUUUUAUUAUUAUUUUUGUUUCUACGAUCAACCUCGUUUGGUCUCAAUCUAUUGAAGUAAUUAAAAGUGACUUGCAGUCCAUUAAUCUGAUAAUGAAUCCAAAAUUAUUGACCUGAUGAUCACUUUUGGACAUUAGCGAUUCAAUAAUUUAUUUUUAUACUUUGAACUGUUGACAUACUUUCGUAGUAACGUAACUUUCACACUUGAGUUCCCGAAGAACCUCAAAUCCACUACACUUAAAUCAGCAUAUUGCAUUUUGUGUUCUUGCAAGAACCUCUCUUUUAUAAACUAAAUGUUCAUAAACUAAAUUGCACAUGUAGUUUCAAAUUUAGUGCAUUUGAAACCCGAAGUUUUCUUAAAACAAUACACCCUGAAAACCCGACAUUUUUCAUGAAAACCAUGUCUUAGAACUCGAAUGUUCUAACUUUGAUGCUUAUGGAUGAUUCAUUCCCAUAGUACCAAUCACAAUCUUGUUCCCUCCAUUCAGUGGAUUGUUGAACCAUAACAAGUUCAAGUUUUCUGAUUUGGAUGUUUCUAAUAUAAACCAUUUUAUGUGGGGUACAAGACGUGAAUCUCCACUUGACCAUCAAGAAGCUGAGAAACCAUUGAAGCCAACAAUGGUAGCACCGAAUAAGCUUUUGCCAUGAUCUUUAUUCGAAGACUUAUGCCCGAAGCAUUGCAAACGGAAAUACCUCCCGAACAAGGAUUCCAUGGCUCUUUGGCUCGCUCAUUCAGACCAUCUAAUCAUGAAAGACAUUACCUAAAGUACAUCAUGAUUACGUCAAUGAACGAGUAUGAUUCUGAAGUUUAUAAAUCUGAUCGAAUUUUGACUAGAUAAUACUUUUCUCGUCCUUCCUUGCUUCUAGCUCUUUCUUGAAGCAACAAGUGUAGAAAAUGGAAGUUUACCAAAUUCUCGGAUCUAAUUACUACCAUAAAUGUGAGAGAAUGGUAUAGACCCGACUAGAGUAUACCAUAUGGCUCAACUCAGCUCGAUCAAAGCCUGCCGAAUGGUGAUGCCCUACUUUAGUAGGGAUGCAUCGAAUGGCAUACUCUACUUCGGCAAAGGCCUUCCGAACAGACCCUUCCAACUUCGGUUGAAGCCUACCACAUCCAAUUAUGGGUCUAUCUUUCUCACAAUCUAAUUUCGAGUUUAUUUUUACAACAUAUGGUAGAAUCAGGGCCAGCCAAGGUGUGGCAUCAUACCCGAAGCAUGAUUUUUAGCACUUAAGACCUAAAACUUCAAGAAUAAAGGAUAAUAUUCCCAAACCUUAACCCUGCAGAAUCUAAUUUUGUCUUGAUGGAAUUAAUCAUUGGUUAUGCACCUGUUUGGGCCCCUACCAAUGUUGUUGAGGAGUACCAUUCUAGUAGUCAAUAUGUGAGACUAAUUUUGCUCUACCACACAUCGUUGGAAGAGAAGAAUUUUGACAUGGAUGGCCUUGUUGGCCGAAUCCCCUUAGUAAACCAUUUACUUUGUGAACAUUUUUUAUGUUCUUGGAUUCACAUUUGGUGUUUGUUUUACUUAUGGAUAAUCUUAUUGAUAUUUUCCUCAAAUAUGAGUUAAUUGAAUCAUGUAUCUUAAUACAUGUGACCCAAUUCAAUUAAACACGUGAUUAGGUAGGAAUGUGGGAAAGUUAGUUGUCUGGAUGAAUGCAAUACUACACACACUAACUUUACACCUAAAUCACAUCUUUGACAACGACUUCAAAUCUAUCCAACCUGAUUAAGAGCAUUGGCACGCUCCUUGUUGUAUGAAUGGUACUGAAUUACCAUUUAAGGGACCUUCAAUUCUCCAUGUCGUUGAGUUUCUUAGGGUAUUCGAGAAAAUAAUGAUCAUCAAUGAAACCACUGAAGAAAAUAAAGUGAAAUAUCUUUGCACCACCUCAAAAAAUGAGCCUGAAGCUUUGAUUUAGGGCCAAUGGGUUGUCUCCCAACUUGAAACACACCAUAUGUGGCCGGCCUGGAGCCAGGUGAUUCAAGUAGUUUACUUGUUUUGGCACGACCUUUUGGGACACUUAGGUCAAACAAUGAUGCUACGACGCAUCUCCUUACCCGAAGUAAAGAUCUUGUGCCUACAAGCACACUUUGCCAAAACCCGCUCGUUUUGGGAAAUUUGAUUUCUAAAUCAUCCUUAACAAAGAUACGAAAUGACUCUCUUUUCACAGUGGAUUCAAGGCAAUAUAUGUGGACUAAUCCAACCAAAAUGUGGACCAUAUAAAUACUUAUGGUUUUGAUUAAUGAAUCGACAAACUGGUCACAUGUUUGUCCACACACAUUGCUGCUAAACAUCCUGGUCGAUUAAGGGUUCACCACCCUACUUAUCCCUUAAAGUCCGGGAGAUUGGAUAAUGCCUGAGAGUUUAUAUCGACGAUUUUCGAUAAAGUAUUGCAUGUAUUUUGGGUUUAUAAUUGAUCAUCGAAUUCCCAUGCCCAAAUAGCCUCACCUAGUGAUCAUAAAGCGCAAUUUAAAUGAUCGCCCAGAUUUUGGUGAACGUACCAAGUUUUCAGUUUCUGCCUAGGGUUAUGCAAUCUUGUACAUAGUUAUGUUGGUCCACUUUGAGGCUCAUUGCUACCCAACCUAUUUGGCGUUACAGUUGGUUACUGGAUACGAACCUGACAUUUCGUAUUUACUUAUUUUGGGUGUGCACUCCAUGUGCCAAGUUGCGCUACCGUAAUGUACCAACAUGGGUCCUCAAUGAAAGAUGUGAAUCUUUGUUGAUUAUGAUUCUCCUUCACACAAGCUCUCUUAGAGCCCUUGCGUGCGAUCUAUUUAUCGCAAAGUUAAGGGUACACUAGCUCUCUUAGAGCCCUUGCAUGUGAUCUCUUUAUCGCAAAGUUAAGGGUUGUCACUUCAAUGAAACAGUCUUCUCGCCAUUAGAGGGAGAUAAGAAUGACGCGAAUUUACGUGGACGUUGCCCCCUAUGUCUCAUCUUGAUCCCCAUACCACAUAAGUGUGAUAAGCAAGUGCGAUGAAUUCUAGCUUUCAAAAUGUUGCUCCAAACGCAUUCCUCUAAUCUAGCUGAAAUGAUGAGAUCAUAUACCAGUCGCAAACAUGCCUGCAAGGAUAGACAUAUUUAAUGGACGUCGAGUCAACAUCCUUGGAGAGUGUGCCACCCCUGUUGGAAGGUUUAGACACCUCUGUUGGAUGGUCUGGUACAUCGACGGAUAGCCAAUCAAUCUGUCCUGGCCUGAAACACGGCAAAUCACUCAGUUUGGAGGAUUCAUUUCCCUUGAAAAGGAAGACACGACAGAACAAUGAAUCCAUACUUGAUCCUAUCUCAAAUCAUUUUCAUCUCGUGAGAUUAAUCCGAAUUACUCCCGAGAUUUGAAGUUCUUGGUCUAGUAUACUAGUUGGGAUGAGAAAAUUGAAUUGAAAUGAGAUUACCAUCGAUGAUGUUUUCACUUAUAUGGUAGCUACCGACAUAAAUGAAAAACGACGAUAUUGAACCAUGUUCCGUUGAUUAAAUGACAACAUAGAACUGAUUAGACAAUCGAAAUUACAAUCCAGGUCAAAUUCCUCACCAAAGUCUGUUUGGACCUAUCAUUUCUACACUGCCCAAGGUAACCUUGUUGUGUUACAAGUGGGAAAGGAAAUGUAUUGAGAUGAAUGAAGUAGUGCGAUAUGAUGCACGCCUUAUGGCGCAAGGUUUUUCUCAAACGUCAUGUGAUUAACUGCAGCAUUAUGAAAUGUGGUUAGUGUUUCUCCAUGAGGAUAUGGAUAUGGAGAUUUACAUGUAAGUUCCUGAAGAAUUACAUAGACUGGUUCAAAUAAGUUCCAAAUCAUGGAACACCCUCUUAACUCUUUUGAGGCGUUCACUUAUAGAUUGAAUAAAUCCGAUGGAUGUGGUAUACCCGUCUAAGUGAUUAUUUGAUCAAUCAAGGAUGAAUUAUACCCUUGCAUGUUAAACUAUGAAGUCUUAUUCCAAAUUGCUAAAUUUACUGUUUAUGUUGUUAACACGAAUCUCACUAAGACUCUAGAAGAGCUUAAGAAAACCGCAUUGCACCUAAAUAUGGAAUUUAAGAUGAAGGAUCUUAGGACAACUCGUUUAUGCCUUAACCUGAAGUUCAAGCAUUGUUCUGACGGUAUUGGUCUAGCAGUCGAACUACGCCCUAAAGGUGUUACCUUUGAGUAUACCUAUGAUCGUCCAUAAGUUAUAUGCAAAUGAGACCCUUGAAGAGGUUAUGGAAUAUGAAAUUCCAUAUCUAAGUUCAACUUUACGCUUCGUUGUACUUAGCUCAUUGUAUUAGACAUGACAUCUCCUUCACUGCUGAUUUGUUGGCAAAGAUGCAACAUUGCGCCUACACGCAACCACUGAAUUGGUAUUAAAGACAUACCCUUAAGGUACUACGAUGGAAAAUCCCAAUGCAUCUCGAGGGAUCUAACCCCCUGAUCCUUGGAAUGAUGCCUGCCUUGUUUGUUAUGCUAACGCUGGUUACUUAUCAAACCCGCACAAGGCAAAAUCCUCAAAUGGUUAUGUCUUUACUGUUAAAGAUAUUGCAAUAUCUUGGAGGUCCACGAUAUGACCUUAGUUGAUAUUCGAAUCUGUCCAAGACUCACGUCACUUCACUACGCCACAAGUAGACAUGGUUAGAAGUUCUUGUUGGGCAUAUUCGAAGUACUUGCUGUGUUUUUCAUCCAUCGUUGAGUCCCAAAAACGAUCCAUGAAGACGAUGUCGCAUGUAUCAACCCGACCAAGCCAUGAUACAUCAACAAAGUCAACACCAAUACAUAUUGCAUCCACAUCUACAUCAACAAAACAUCAAAAGACUAAAGUCAUGCAAACUGAACCCAGACAACCUUGCGACUUCUACACGACAUCACUACCAAAGUUAACCUUCCAGAAGCUUGUCCGAGGAAUUGGUAUGCCUAACUAUCAUAUGCAAUGCUUGUAGUUCUCAUUUGGAAAUUCUGUCAAACUUAAGGGGAGUAUCCGGAAGUAUACUCAUGUGAUCUUAAUGUACAUUUUUUUCCUAAGAUUAUGAGCAUUUUUCCCACUAGAUUUUUGCUACCUAACUAGGUUUUAACGAGGCACCCAUCCUGGGCUGAUCAUACCCUUAUGAGCUCUUCUACUUGCGUCAAGAAGACGUAUAGUUUUGACUUAAUGCAAAUUCUCACUUUUCUCUUUAGCCUUUGGGUUUUCUCCCACCUUGGGUUUUACCAUAGCAAGAUUUUGUGAGUUUUACCUUUUUAUGCAUUCUUCCGUUAAUCUAAGACUCGCAUUCACUCAUUGUGCCGACGACUUUAUCAACCAAUCUACUUCAUUGCUGAAGACCUGAUGCACCAUUUUUUUUUAGUAUUGACACACUCAAGGGGAAGUAUUGCAGUCAUAUUAGAUUAGGAAUGUGAUUUUGUAAAUCCUAACAUAUCUAGAGAUAUCUUUUAUAUUCCCUUUAGUAGUUAAAUUCCUAUUAGAGUUGUAAUCCUAAGUAAUUAACCUUCCCUACUACUAUAAAUAAAUGCACAAUGGGGUGGAAUAACACACACCUCACAAUUACACAUCUCUAUCUUCUCUCUAUGUGUCGCAUCCCUCUCUCUCUAUGGCCUCCAUAACUGUUCAGUAAAUUAUGCCUACAACAAAUAUUGCCCUUUGUUUCCUUCACAUUCAAAAAUAAAAAAAAACUCAGCCACUUAAUAUUACGGUCUAGCGGUAUUCCUCUUCAUUUGUAAGUAAGAGAUAUUAGGUUCGACUCUUGUCAAAGAUGAAUUUGAACUACAUUAUUAUUAGCCUAUUAUGAGGCUUAGCCCACCCCUUCCCUUUAGUGUAGAUAAUAUUAGUUGUUCCAAAAAUAAAAAUAAAAAUUCAGAAAAUCAAAACAGUAUGGCAAAACCUACAUGACAAACACAUCAGAAAAAAAAAAGGUACAAAAAAAGAGUAAUGCUAUAUUUUGCCCCAACAGGAUCCUCUCCGGAUCCUUUUGGAGAGGAUCUUGGGGAUCCAUAAAUCGUGUCCAUUCAUCGUAUAUCGUGGGUCAGUUUUUAUCGGGUACUAUUUGUGUUUAAUUUUAAAUAAAAAUAUUUAUAAUGAUUUCUGACCGCAUGAUGUACGAUGAACGGACACGAUUCACAGAUCUCCAGGAUCCUCACAAAGAAGAUCCAGAUUCAUAUUUACCAUCUAUUUGUACCAUCUCUCUAAUAAAGGUAAGACCCACCAACACAUGUGGGCCACAUCUCUAUUAGAUAGAGAUGUUACAAAUGAUACAUGAAACCAAAAUUUUGUACCAUCUUUCUUGAUUUUCCAUAUCUCUGUUGUCUAGGGAUUUUAGCCGUUAUCUUCCGAAUUUUAUGCACAUUGCUAUUGUAAUGACAUAUUUUCAAUUUACAAGAUAUGGUGUGUCAAUGUCACAUGAAUGUUUUGAAAAAGAAAAAAUAUGACACAUGCAAGCAUUCGUUCCGAGUCAACAAUAAGGGGAAGAGAUCCAUUCUAUUGAUUCUCCAUCCUAUGUAAUGAGAACUCCCCUUGCUUUCCUUAAAAGUGUAACUAGCAAAAAAUAGUUUGACUACUGUGAACUACGUCAAAACUUUAUUUCCAAUUGCAGAUAACCUCAGAAAAUUCUCCUUUGCUUAUGUUUGUUCUUGGUUCUCACACGUGUGCGUCUAUUUGUGUGCAUGAAUUUGCAGUCUUGUGAAUUGAUCAUCUGGUUCAAUAGGAAAUUCAUCAUUGGUGGAGAUGAAGAAGAUUCAUCAUCUGGUUCAACAAGAAAUUCGUCCCAUCUACACUCCUUGUGAAUCUGUUCAUGGGUUGGGGGUUCUUGUAGCCACUAAUUUCAUCCUUGUAGCGUUUUUAUCUUGACGAGCCUUUGCUUCAUAUGGCUCCUUUUCCUCCGCUGCAAAAUGGAAAACAUGACAUUAAUUAAGUUAUAAUUCGCAGAAAUUCGUCAUGUUGUGGAAGCACACAAGAUGUAAUUUAGUAGAAUCACACAUACCAGACAUCUUUUUCCAUUUCUCUCCAAGUACUCUCCCCACAUCAGUAAACGCAAUUCCAUGGUUCUCUCUCUUUACAUUCUGCGGUCAACACAAAUUAGGUCAAUAAUUUUCUUCGAAACAUCAAUACUAACUUGAACCAAAAGUUAGAACCAAUAGAUAGAAAUUAAAAAACCCACAUCUCUCUCCAUAUUUGAGAAGAACAUGAAACCAAACAUUGCUCUUCUCGGUACAUUUGGAUCCUUUUUCUUCUUCUGUUUUUUCUUCUUUGAACCAUCUUCACCAUGAAACAUCAUAAAAAAAAAGAGAAGAAUAAUUCAUGAGAUACUUGUUAGGAAUUGCCUCGUCAACGUCAGUGUUCUAUUUUGUUUAGGAUUGUAUUAGAAAAGCAAAGGUGCGCAAAUUCUUGCCCUAAAAGGAUUGGGAAAGAAUUAAGUUUUCUUGUACAAUUAGAUUAGGAAUCCUAGAGACACAAUUGGAAUAGGAAAGAAAGUGUACUUUCCUAUCCAAUAUAGAAUAGGAAACCUAAUCAGAAAAUAGGCAUGUAAACUGCACCCUAUACUUAUAAAUAGAGUGCGACAAGGGUUGAAAAGCUAGAGAGAAAAAUAGAGACAACCAAGAGGAAAGAGAGUUUAGUUCUAGGGUUUGCAAAAGUACUGUGUGCUAUAUUAUUAAUCAAAGAAGCCGUCAUUUCUCUACAGAGAUAGAGAAAUCACAAUUGACUAUAGACAAAGUUAUGUCAAGUCAAUAUAAAUCUUAGGUGUUUCUAGUUAUCCUAUAUUUGCUAAAUUUAUUCUAUCGUCUGAUACAUUAAAGAGAAAAGCAAUACUUUGAGGGAUGUAGGAAGACUGUUCUUCUUUUCUUUGGGAGAGGAAAACUGUUCCUGUCUGAUGAACGUGAAAAGAAAUCACAUGGAGUUGCAUUUAAGCAAACUACCACAGUUGUUGAGAAUACAUGAUUUACCUUGCCCUUUCCUAUUCUACAGGAAAUCACUAUAUCGAGAUGUCCAGCACGCAACAAGCUACAAUUCUGGCAGUGCUCAAACAAGUAAUCUCAUCAUCGAAAGAGACUCAAAUUGGUGGAAUGGCUUAGUUUGGGAAGACGAAGCUGCUCGAAAUGUUUUUCUUCCUUGUUUCAGACCCUUUAAACGAGGACUGAGGAGGGAUGGUUGGGGACCAGUUUGGAUACGUCUUUUAUUCUCACUUUCUUCCAUUUAGUUAGUUUUUCUUUUCAUGCACUUCGUCUUGUAGUUUCAUUCUGUAGCCUGCUGUAAGUUCAAAGGACAUAGCCAGCCUUGAACUUUGGGGUCGGCUGUGACCUUGUGGGAGGGGGUAGGUUGGGUUGGGGUGGAUAGAUGCACCACGUGUUAUGAUACGAGUUGAGAAAAGUUUUUUCCAAGUGUCCUUCACUUGAAAAUAGAAUUAAGGAUAUGUUGACUCAAAGCAGAACUGUAGAAGUAUAAGAGCUGAAACAGAUGCUAGACUAAUUUCUAUAGUUUUUUUCUUUUACCACGAUGCAAAAAAUUCAAACAUAUGAGGAACUUUCAAUUCGCAAAAUGACUACAAAAAAGAGAGAGCAGUAUCACAACACCUCACUUCAUUACGCCACAAGUGAGACAUGGUUAGGAGUUCUUAUUGAGCAUGUUUGAAGUACUUGCAGUGUUUUCAUCCAUCGUUGAGUCCCAACGACGAUUCAUGAAAAGUAUGCCGCAUGUUUCCACCCGACCAAGACAUGGUACAUCAACAAAGUCAACGCCAAGACAUAUUGCGUCUACUUAUACAUCAUCAAAGCAUCAGGAUAUUGAAGUCAUGCAAGCCAAUCCCAGACAACCUUGCCGACCUUUAUACGACGUCAAUGUCGAAGUCAACCUUCCAGAAGCUUGUCCGAGGAAUUGGUAUGUCUAACUAUCAUAUGCAAUGCCUGUAGUUCUCAUUUGGAAGUUAUGUCAAACUCAGGGGGAGUAUCUAGAAGUAUACUCACUUAAUCUUAAUGUACUCUUUUUCCCUACGAUUAUGAGCAUUUUUCCCACUGGGUUUUUUCUACCUAACUAGAUUUUAACGAGGCACCUAUCCUGGGCUGAUCAUACCCUUGUGAGCUCUUCUACUUGCGCCCAAAAGACGUAUAGUUUUGACUUAAUGCAACUUCUCACUUUUCUCCUUAGUCUAUGGGUUUUCUCCCACAUUGGGUUUUACCAUAGCGAGGUUUUGUGAGUUUUACUUUUUAUGCAUUCUUCUGUUGAUUUGAGACUCGCAUUCGCUCAUUGUGCCGACGACUUCAUCAAAUGUACUUACUUCAUCGCUGAAGACCUGAUGCGCCAUUCACUUGAGUAUUUACACACUCAAGGGGGAAUGUUGUAGUCCUAUUAGAUUAGGAAUGUGAUUGUGUAAAUCCUAGUGUAUCUAGGGAUAUCUUUUAUAUUCCCUUUAGUAGUCUAAUUCCUAUUAAAGUUGUAAUCCUAAAAGGGUAAGGAUUUUACCUAUCCUACUAUUAUAAAUAAAGGCACAAUAGAGUGGAAUAUAACACACCCACAAUUACACAUCUAUCUCUUCUCCCUCUAUGAUGCACCCUCUCUCUCUUUCUGACCUCCAUAAUUAUUCAGUAAAUUAUGCCUACGACAAUUUUCAUUUUACUCAUUUUACUAUCUUCAAGUUUUGCAGAAAUCACACUGUUCUAUAGUGACUUUUUUUGUCUCACUUUCAUAACUGAAGUUUGAUUUUUCUUUCACUUUCAUCACUGAAGUUUGAUUUUUCUUUCACUUUCAUACUUCCGUUAGUUUUUUUGUCAAGUGUUCUGAUAAUUGAUGAUGUGGUAUAGCUUUACCUACCAUUUAUUCCACCGUGGCUAAUCAAGUUCCCUCUCUGCCAGAAUUUUCUCAAGUCACUCAUGUGCCCUUUCUUCUCUUCUUAAUGAAGCAGAUCACCUACAUACAAAGAAAGAAAACUAAAAUCGAAUUUUUUAUAUAUGUUGGUGAUCUACUUCAUUGGUGGGAACUAAAAUAUCCUCUCGACUUCCUUUCAUUACAUAUUUUUAGGGGUAAAUUACAUAGUAGCCUCUUAGGUUUGAGGUUUAUUACAACCUCAUACAACAUCUUUAAAAUAUUUCACUUUCAUACCUCACGUACUACUUUAUUUCAAAAUAAUACCUCCGUUACAUUUUCCAUCCAUUAAUCCGUUAAGCGCUGACUUGGCUGCCACAUUUGUGCCAUAUGGCUGCCAAAUGUGUGCCAUGUGGCAAAAAAACAAUUUUUUAUUUUUUUUUAAACCUGAAUCUUCUAAAUAAAUAUUAAAAGAAAAACAAAAACAAAAGCUAAAACAUCUCCACGCAACCCCCACUUCGUCUUCCUUCCCUCCAUCCCCCACCCACCUACAACCCAGAAGAAGAAGAAGAAGAAGAAGAAGAAGGAAAAAAAAACCCAUCUUCAUCUUCCCCGACCCCCUUUCCUUGCAACCCACCCCUUUCUUCCCCCUCCCAUCUUCCCCAAACCCACCGCACCCAUCCUCCGCACCCAUCUUCGCACCUACCCUCCGCACUUACCCUCUUCCCUCAUUUACACACUCCACUCCUUAAAUCCACACCCAUUGGGGAAAACGGGAUCUGGGUUGCAAGGAAAGGGAGAUGGGUUUUUUUUUUUUUUCUUUUCUAGGUUGCAGGUAGUGGGUGCAGAGGAGAAGGUGGAGGAUGGGUGCACAGUGGGUUUGGGGAAGACUAGAGGGAGAAGAAAAUGGUGGGUUGCAGGGAAGAGGAGUUAGGUGGGGGAAUUUUUUUUUUUUUUUUCUAGGUUGCAAGUUGGGCUCGGUAGUAGAGAGGGAGAUGGGAAGAUGGGUGCGUAGAGGAGGUGGAGUAUGGGUGUGGAGGAGGAUGUGGAGGAUGGAUGGGAGUGGUUUUGGAUUUGGGUUGCAAGGAGGGACGACGGAUGGGGAAGAUUAUAAAGGGGAUGGGGUUUCGGCAAGGUGAUAGGAUCUGGGUUUUCUACGUUUUCUAAGUUUUUUUUAUUUUUUUUAUUUUUUUAUUUUAUUUUUUGUUGUUAAAGAUUUAGGUUUUUUCUAAAAAAAAUAAAAAUAAAAAAUUUGCCACGUGGCACACAUUUGGCAGCCACGUCAAUGCUUAAUGGAUCAAUAGAUAGAAAAUGUAACGGAUGUAUUAUUUUGAAAUAAAAUAGUACUUGAGGUCUAAAAUGAAAUGAUUUAAAGAUAUUGUAUGGAGUUGUAAUAGACCUCAAACUUGAGGGGCUACUAUGUAAUUUACCCUAUUUUUAGUUGGUGUAAUUCAUUGGUGCCCUUUUCCCCUCUCAAAGUCGAGGAUAUUUUUCUAAUCUUUUGAAUCCAUAUUUCUUUAGAUUUUAAAGUUAUCAAAGACUUAUUGUGAAUUGCAUUUCUUUUCUUCUACUAGAUUUUGGCUUAGAAUCUCUUAGUAGAGUAAUAUAUGUGAGUUUAUAUUACUAGACUUAGUAUGGGUGGACUACUAGGUUAGAGUUUGAGCGCCGAACACUUGAAAGAAACAAAAUUGCAACAGAAUAUUUUUUUGGCAAUUAGUUGGAAUAAUCUACAUUUGGUUGCAUAAAUGAUAAAGUUUUAAUAAUGACGACAUAUUAAUUAUCUAUAGACAACAUAACAAUAACAUAACGAUAUCUUUUUAUUGCUCUAUCCAAAUGUCAAAAAAGGGUAUUUUUGUAUUUUCACAGAGUUUGGGGGAUAUUUUCCUUUGUAAAAUGGUUUUAGGGUCUUAAAUAGUGUGCCCAAGGGGCCCGCCCCUGUUUUGUGUCCCCGGUUUCCCCUUCCUCGUGGACUCAUCUCUCUCCCUCACUUUUGUCUCUUCUAUCUCUCCCCCGAAACUCUCUCCCUUCUCUACGAUGUCCCCCUCCUCUUUGAAAAUAACACACACACGUUUACAGACAUACACACAGGCAGCCUUCACCACUUUCACACCAUCACCAUCACUCGAAUCCUCUCUUCUCUCCCGCGCCCUUCCAAGCUCACCUUCACUCUUUUUGGCAUUGUGCACAGCCACAGUGCACGUGAUCUCCGACAAGGUAAAUUGAAAACACCCUUCGAUCUUCCUUCCUAGUGGUCUAGAAGGCUUAAUGGUUGUUAAAAUAUGGUUUUUGGUUUUUGGUGAAAACACCUUUCGAUCUUCUUUCCCCAAUUUUCCAACGAGCACCGCCCCUUUAGAGGUAAUUUCCGGUAAAACCACACCGAGUUGGCCAGCGUGCAGGGUAUCAAUCUUUUCAUCUCGUUGAGUACUAUAACUUUCAUGUUUGGAUCACUUGAUUUCGAUAAGUAACGAAUAAGUUAUGAGCCUUGGAAAAUCAACCACCAAACCGGCCAAAGGGUGGCCAAAAAACCACCCUCAACCCAGGCCUUUGGGCCAGGUUACCCAACCCAUUUACCCAAGCCCAAGUCUGAAAUCCAAACCCAAGCCUUUGGGCCAGAUCACUAAGCCCAAACCCUUUAAGACCCAACCCAGUUUCCUUUUAUUUAAUUUUUGUUUAUUUUUAUUUUCAAACCCAAAACUCUUUUGGUUGGGCCGGGCCUUAAGCCCACAUCCCUAAACCUAUUAACCAUAUACCCUUAGGGCCCAAUCUGUCCAACCCUAACCCUAAACCAGGUUUGACCCGACCCGUUGACUUUGACUUUGACCAGUCAACGGCCAACGUUGACUUUAGGGUUGACUUUUUGGGUUUUAGUCCAGGACCCCUUCUAGGCUAAUUUCGACGUCCUGAACUCGUUUAUGAAAUCAAUUUUUCAAAAUCCAAUCGUUUGAGUAGAGUUUGACAAAAUGUACCAUUUAUGUGAUUAGGGGCAAUUAUUGUGGCGUCUGUCUCCGGUAGUUUACACUGCUUUUCGACGGCGAAGUACUGUGAGUGGACCCUUUUUAAAAAUGCAUGUUUUAAAAGUAGAAAUGAAUACAUGAAAAGCAUGAUUUGAUGAUUACGUUUUAUGAAAUGUUUUGUGAGAUAACAUGCUAACUGAGGCUAGAUUGAAUUACUACUAUUUUAUUAUAACCCGUAUUCUUAUAGAAUAUCUGAUGGAUGAUGAUAUGAUAUUUAGAACAUGUUUCGAAUACCUCUUUAUAGUAUAGAUGAUGGAUGACUUUAUACUAUGAAGUUGCUUUUCAAUAUAUAUAUGUUCAAUGGUUUUGUACUUACCUAGUGGUCCUUUCAGCUACAGGACGUGGGGAUAGAUUCCAGUUCGUCCCGGGCGACGGUUUGGUGUUGGCAUAAGGCCUGGAGUGUGUUUUCUCUAGCUAUUAGCAUAGGGACGGGGAGCUGGCAUGAGGCCUGAAGUGUAUUUUCCUCUAACUGUCUGCUCAGAGACGAGGAGUCGGCAUGGGGCCUGGGGGUUAUCAGACAUUCACUAGUGAUUAUUAUAUAUACAAGUUAUGAUUUGAGACAUUGCAUGGUAUGCUAGGUUUCGAAAAACCUAUGUUUAUCAUUAUAUAUGUGUUUUCAUAAAACCUGGGAGUUAGUACGUUGAUAAUUGUUUUACUAUAUAUAUAUAUAUAUCAACUUGGUCUACUUAUGUUUGUUUUGCGCCCUUUUUAGGACUUAGAAUCGAGGCAUACAAUCUCGGCAUCCAGGCACUUCCGCAUCAGCAUCUUUGAGUCCUCUCGGUGUAGGACCCACUCCUUUGUUCAUUUAAUUUUAUAUUAUUUCCUUUAGUGUUCUAGUUAGUUGUAUAGUCUGAACACAUUCUUUAAAUGCAUAUUCAUUAUUCUUUUAUAUUUCUAAGUCUUAUCUAUCCCUUAUUUUCAGUUUUUGCACUCAAUAAAUUGUUUUCGUCACCCUCGGGUGUCAACCAGGACGUGCCUAUCCUAGUAUUAGGGGAAUAUUAGAUCGGGGCGUGUCAGAUUGGUAUCAAAGUGUGGUUUAUUCAGAGCAUACUUAGGAUUAUCUUUUAUUCUCGUAAUGUGUCGAUUUUGACAUCGUUUGGAUGUCAGGACUUCUGGAUUUGGUGCCAUUCGACGCAGUUGUGUGAACCUUUCUCUAUUUGAAUUGUCACAUUCUGGUUGAAAUACAAGAAUUUGUGUCAGGAUUGUGCCUCAGUAGUGAUGAAGUGGAUUGUCGGACGACUUUCAACAUCAGAUCGAUGCUCCGCAACAUGUGUUCCCUAGGAAUUGCGGGUGGAGUCAGAUCUACAUAUGAGCGUUGGGAAAACAGAAAAACCUAAGUGGUUUGAAUUUGGAAGAUCUGAAGUGGUGUGGUACUCUGUGACAUGCACUCCCUAGGAAUGGCAAGCAGAGUUGUAUCUCUUUGGAAAUUACUCGAAACUUUUAAAAUGUGUACUGAGGAAGCUAGUAAGUGCUAGUUGUUACGAAGCUUAGUAAGUUGUAGUUAGUGGGAUCAAAUCAACAUUCUCAGACUCAUUACCACUGAAGAAAUUCAUGUGGAUCUUUAGAACAAAUUCUCGGCGAUUGUCCUAUUGAUAACCUUCUUGCUUACCCCAACGACGAAGUCAAGUUCCUUAACCUUUGACCGUUAGCUUCACACCAAAUCCUUCGAGUGUUGACUUCGUUUACAUUAAUUACUUUUCUUGGGAAACUCCUCAGUAGCAGACAAUAUUCUCAUCAAUUUUCCAAAAGGGGUUACGAUUCUUAUUGUUGUUGUAGUUGGACUUGGAUGAUGAAGAUCUAGUCUUGUUUGGAUAAACAAACUUCUUGAAUUUCACCUGGGUCUCGUACUCGACGGUAAACCCUAGCUCAUUGUCCACAUACAUUUUGGUAUAGGUGAAUUUAGCCUCUUACUUGUAGCCCAACUGACCAAUGCUCUUGUCCAUUAAUUGUUCAACCUUGUAAAUUUUCAGUGUAAUGGCUUGAGAUUCCACCAUAUUCAUCAUUACAUGAAGAUCAAGCUUUACUUUGAACUUCUCUGGACUCAUUGAGCUUUGGUUUGCUCAAGGACAUCACCUUAAGAUAGCCAAUCAUGCCACUACAUGCACUUAAGAUAGCCAAUCAUGCAACUACAUGCAUAUACAAGUUGUUUUGUAUCUUUCUAAUUCGUUAUUCUGUUGAUUCAGAGGUUAUAUGUUUUUGAACUUUGAAUCAGCUCUCACAAAGUAUUGGGAAUUAAGAAAUGUCUUUGGCCUCGUCAAAUCUUAUUAACAGUUCUUAACUAUUCUUGAGCUUAUACAUGUUUUCUUUUGGCUAAGAAAAUAGUCGGUCUUACUGUGAUGAUUAACCAAAUAAUCAUAGACAGUGACUCUUAUUUCUACAUCUUCACCUUCCUUCACUUGUUUAUUUCUCAAUGUAAACUGGAUCAUGCUGAAACAAUACACCGGGAAAAAAAAUGUUUGUUCUCAGCAUGGUUUCUAGUUCAAAUCCUAAUAUCUUGUACUCUAUAUUCUAAUGGACUUGUUUUGACCUUAAAAUUCCUAAGUGUUCUUUCAGCCUUCUCGACAUGGUUUUUCACUCAAUCAGUGAGGAAUUCACGAUCGAUCGAUUUGACGGAAGUAAGCGCCCAAUUCUUUUCAAUUUGGACAGGAUGUUAGGAGCAUAAUCUUUUCACAAGCUUACUAGACUUACUAGAAACAGUGCCAUGUAGGUGUGAAGUUAAGUCGUCUUUUGGUAAGAGAUUGAUGAAGAUUGUAGUGCAAGUGAUCAUCUGAUUGCAUCAUUAUCUUCAUGUUGAAUUGAAUAGUCACCACUCAUUAUCUUGCUACAAUUCAUAACCAUCAUAUCGUACUCUGGUAGACCUUUUCGAUGAUGUUAUAUGUUCCCCUUAACGUAGCUUUCCACUACCUCGCACCAGGAUCCAUCGGUUCGCGAGCACAUGGGCGUGAGGUUUGAGUUGUCUUUUAUAUAAAAGGUCAGCAGAUUGUAUCUCCAUCUUACUAUAAUUCAUAAGCAUCACAUCGGUUCUUUUCCAACGUUAUAUGUUUGUCUCAACGCAUCAUUUCACUGCUUCACUCCAGGACUCUUUUUUUUUUAUGAGUACGUGGUUGUCGAACACUCUGGGAUAGCAUUACAGCAUGGUCGAGGCGAGUAUCGGAUAAUCUUUACACUUCUCUCAAAAGGUGUGUACUCUCUUUUAUUUUUAGGUUAAUCACUUGAGAGUCCUUCAUCUUUCCAUAAACAUUGACCUUGGUUGACUAGAAAUCUACAACUAAGCAAAAAUGGAGAGGUGGAUUGAGCACUACAACAGUUCCCAAGAGAUACUGCUUGUUGAAGAAGGUGACUUAUCGUUUUCUGCUUGCUUGGCUCGAGUUUUUGGGUCUACUACUAACAUGGUAGCCACUUCUUUUAAAUCCCAAAAUACAGUUUUCAAAAGGGUUCUUUACUGGUGAAACACUGGAGUAGUUGGUCACAUUUGGAAGAACUGAGGAGGAUAGAAUGCUUGGUGCUGGAUAGAGUUUUAUGACGACAAUAGUUUCUGUUUUGUUCAGUUUGAGUACGGGACUUUUUGCGACAUGGUACGAAAGUUGCUACAUGUAACACUGGUUGGCAAAGGAGUAUUGCAAACUUGUAUUCGAAGGAUCAAAUUUUUGAUGUGUGAGAUUGUGCACCCUCAGGAAAUCAUUAUUUUCUUAACGAGACAACAAAUGGGUGGUCGAUAUCGCGAUCAGUUGACUAUGAUAUCGAUGGCUUAUUCGUUAGGUUCGUUAGGCAAGUAGGUAGGAAUAUCCGUCUUCAGCAGUUGUUAUAGAAUUGUUAUUCUUAGGAUUCGACCCAAAGACACAUUUGUUCUCGGAGUACGUGAGGUUACAAAUUCUUGGGCGAGACCCAUUCUCAUUUUCAGUUUUGGUUUUCAGUACAAGCAUUUUAACUUCCUUUACUUUAGUUAUUUGUUUUUGUCGUUACAAAUGUUUUGGGGGAAGUAUCUCCGUUUUCAGUUUUAAGUUCAGCACGAAGUUUUUUUAUAUAUAUGUUAUUACAUAUAUAUAUUGACGUUAUCGUGUUUUGCGUACUUACUUUUGACCUUACUUCAAUAUAUGUUUUCAACUUUAUAUCUUAUUAAAAUAUGUUUCUACCUUUACACUAAUGGGGAAGAAAGUAAGAACUUGGAGGCAUGAAAGAGGAUUUGGCAAACUACUCGCAACGGUGUGACAUAUUCUCUUUGAUGCAACCAUUCUGACUUGAUUUCUUCUUUACGUAUACAUAUAUUCUUCUUCCUAUCUUUGAGCUUUUCAGUAUAGCAAAUUAUUUUAAAUUUCAGUACGAAAUUCUUUUUAGGGUAUUUUUGUAUUUUCACUAAGUUUGGGGGAUAUUUUCCUUUGUAAAAUUGUUUUCGGGUCUUAAAAAGGUGUGCCCAAGGGGCCCACCCCUGUUUUGUGUCCCCGGUUUCCCCCUUCCUCGUGGACUCAUAUCUCUACUUCACUUUUAUCUCUUCUCUCUUUCUCUCCCCCGAAACUAUCUCCCUUCUCUGCGAUGUCCCCCUCCUCUUUGAAAACAACACACACACGUUUACAGACAUACACACAGGAAGCCUUCACCACUUUCACACCAUCACCAUCACUCGAAUCCUCCCUUCUCUCCCGCACCUCUCCAAGCUCACUCUCUCUCUUCUUGGCACUGUGCACAAUCACGGUGCACAAGAUUUCCAAUGAGGUAAGUUGAAAAAACCCUUCAAUCUUCCUUCCUAUUAGUCUAGAAGAUUUAGUGGUUGUUAAAAUAUGGUUUUUGGUGAAGGGUUAGACAUGAAAACAGCUCGGGGAGCUUUCCUCAGGUUUUCGGUGAGCACCACCCCUUUCGAGGCAAUUUUCAGUCAAACCAUAGCGAGUUGGCUAGCUUGCAGGGUAUAAAUAUCUUCAUCUCAUCGAGUACUACAACUUUCAUGUUUGGAUCACUUGAUUUGGAUGAGUAACGAAUAAGUUAUGAGCCUUGGAAAAUCAACCACCAAACUGGCCAAAGGGUGGCCUGAAAACCACCCUCAACCUUGGCCUUUGGGCCGGGUUACCCAACCAUUUACCCAAGCCCAAGUCUGAAAUCCAAACCUAGGCCUUUGGGCCAGAUCACUAAGCCCAAACCCUUUAAGACCCAACUCAGUUUCCUUUUAUUUAUUUUUUAUUUAUUUUUAUUUUCAAACCCAAAACCCUUUUGGUUGGGGCAGGCCUUAAGCCCACUUCCCUAAACCUAUUAACCCUAAACCCUUAGGGCCUAAUCUGUUCAACCCUAACCCUAAACCAGGUUUGACCUGACCUGUUGACUUUGACUUUGACCGGUCAACGGUCAACGUUGACUUUAGGGUAGACUUUUCAGGUUUUCGUCCAGAACCCCUUCUAGGCUAAUUUCGACGUCCUAAACUCGUUUACGACGUCCGUUUUCCAAAAUUCAAUCGUUUGACUAAAUUUACCAUUUAUGUGAUUAGGAGCAAUUAUUAUGGCGUUUUGUCUCCAGUAGUUUGCAUGGCUUUUCGAAGGCGAAGUACUAUGAGUGGACCCUUUCUAAAAAUGCAUGUUUUAAUAGUAGAAAUGCAUACAUGAAAAACAUGAUUUGAUGAUUACGUUUUAUGAAAUGUUUUGUGAGAUAACAUGCUUACUAAGGCUAGAUUGAAUUACUACUAUUUUUCCUAUAACCUGUAUUCUUAUAGAUUAUCUGAUGGAUGACGUUAUGAUAUUUAGAACAUGUUUUAAACACCUCUUUCUAGUAUAGAUGAUGGAUGACUUUAUAUUAUGAAUUUUCUUUUUAAUAUAUAUAUGUUCAAUGGUUUUAUACUUACCUAGUGGCCAUUUCCACUACGAGACUUAGGGAUAGAUUCCGGUUCCUCCCAGGCGACGGUUUGGUGUUGGCAUAAGGCCUGGAGUAUGUUUCCUCUUGCUAUUAGCAUAGGGAUGGGGAGCCGACAUGGGGCUUGGGGGUUAUAAGACAUUCACUAGUGAUUAUUAUAUUUACAAGUUAUGAUUUGAGACAUUGCAUGGCAUGCUAGGUUUCGGAAAACCUAUGUUUAUCAUUAUAUAUGUGUUUUCAUAAAAGCUGGGAGUUAGUACAUUGAUAAUUGUUUUACUAUAUAUAUAUAUCAACUUGGUCCACUCAUGUUUGUUUUGCACCCCCUUCAGGACAUAGAAUCGAGGCAUACAAUCUCGGCAUCCAGGCAUUUCCACAUCGGCAUCUUCGAGUAUUCUCAGUGUAGGACCCACUCCUUUGUUCAUUUAAUUUUAUAUUAUUUCCUUUAGUGUUCUAGUUAGUUGUAUGCUCUGAACUAGGCCUGGCAUUUUGGACCCAACCCGUUAACCCGACCCGACCCAACCCAUUAAUAUUUGUAUUUGGGUGGAUGCUUAAUGGAUUGGGUCGCUAACGGGUGAGCUCGUUAACAACCCGUUAAAUAACGGGUCACUUUGGGUCAACCCGUUAGCACCCGUUAGUUGAGGAUAUUUUAGUAAUUUUAGUAAAGUCUUAAUAACAAAAAUAAACUUUAUGCAAAAAAAUAAUAAUAAUAAUAAUUGUUAACGGGUGUUAACGGGUGAAACGGAUGACCCGUUAGCUUAACGGGUCGGGUUCAGGUGACCCGUUAGCUUAACGGGUUGGGUUCGGAUGACCCGUUAACUUAACGGGUCGGGUUGAACCCGACCCAAACCCAAUAAACCCGACUCGUUUACAAGUCUACUCUGAACACGUUCCUUAAAUGCAUAUUCAUUAUUCUUUUAUAUUUAUAAGUCUUAUCUUUCCCUUGUUUUCAACUUUUGCACUCAAUAAAUAACUUUCGUCACCCUCGGGUGUCUGCCAGCAUAUGCCUAUCCUGGUAUUCAGGGAAUAUCGGGAUUGGGGCAUGUCAAUGUAUGAUAACUUUAUACAUAGCUCUAUCUCCUUAAUAUUACUAACUUGAGCAUCACAAUGUCUUCAACUAGGAUUGCACUGGUGCCCAUCAUCCUCGAGACUUGCUCAUCUUGCAUGUUGUGUUAGUAAAUUCCAAAAAGCGGAAAGAUCGUGCUUGAACACAUAUUUCAAACCAUUAAGUCAUGAAAUGAAACACAACAAUCUUAUAGUCGUCGAACAAACUAAUCAAUUUCUUAUCGUAUUAUGUUAUUGGAUCUAACUGUCAAUAUGAUAAUCUCUACUAAUUAAUAAAACACUCUUUGUCAACCAAAAGUAAAUGAAAUUACCAUUUUAACCCUCACAUUAAAACUGAGCAGAAAUUCAAAAUAUGGGCAAUUUAGUAAUUACAUGACUACACAUUUUACUGUUUUUUAGUUGAGCAUCAUAGCCAUGUAAUACUAACAUAUUUUAUUUAAAAUUUCUCUUCGUUCCUAUUUCUCUCUCAUCACCACUACUGACUUCUCUCUGCAACUCUCUCGCCCAAAACAUCCAAAAACCGCUCUCCCACAUUGUCCUCAAGCUCUCUUCGUUCUUGUUUCUCUCUCAUCAACUCUCUUGGACUUCUCUCUGCAGCUCUCUCGCCAAAACCCUCUUCAACCACCCACCUCGUCCCUUCCACGUUCUCCUCAACCGUAAACAUCAUGAUUUCACUUACCUCAAACUCCCACAAGUUGCAGAAACUCCAAAAUUUGGUUCAUACUUUUAAAAUUUUAGAUGCCCAAUUCGUUUUGAUUUAAAAGAAUUCAUUACCGUUCCCACCCCUACUUCUGUAGUUGUUGAUCGCCAUAAGUCAACCAGUUACGUUGGCUGUGGGGGCCUCACCUUCCUGUGGCAGCACCAAGGUUGUUCAGAGUAAUCAUCAUCAUCCAAUCUCAAUGGCUUCCUUCCAAAUUGUGGAGCCCAGGUUUAAUUUUAAUUCUCUGAAUAGCUUUUGGAAUUGGAUCUUCAAUUUUAUUAGUUUCAUUAAGAGAAAGCAUCCUUUCAAUUGUUUAACUUACCAAUUACAUAUUUACAACAAUUGGAAAUAAAAAGGGACAUGGUUAUUUUUAUUACCGUGUUUGUCUUAGUUGUAUUUUCUCAUUUUUGUUUACUGUAUUUUCAAUAUUAAUAACUUAUUUUUUCAAUCACUUUCAUAGAUAUAGCAUUAUAAUUGCAAGUCAGUGCAAUGAGUCCAACAUCUACAGACCUUGGUGAAAUACGUGCAAGGCGACGCAACAGUUACCAAAUCAAAAUGCAAGUAAUGAGUUCAAAGCAACGACAACAUCUAGCACGCUGUCCUUUUAAUUAUCACCUCCGAAAUAUGAUAAUGAAUCAGCCACAAUGUCGACACAAACUACUACAUCAUCUAUUAAUGUAAGGUGGUCUGUUUAUGAACAUGGAGAAUCAAGUCGAGGAACUCAAAUCACGCAGCCUGUUUAUGUACGUGGAGAAUCAAGCCGAGGACCUCAAAUGAGCUAAUAUGUAUAUGAAAAUGGAGAAUCACUUGAGAUGAGACAACCUGUAUAUGAACAUGGACAAUCAACUCGAUCUCAUAAUAGCCAUGUCCAACAAAGGAAUGCCACAAAUGCACAAUAUAAAUGUGCACAGAAUUUUAGUGAAUCUCAUGGGUUUCAGAAGCUUCGGUUACCACCACCAUCAACAUGUCGGCACUGUGCAACAAAACUCUUUCAUCUUGAGUCUAAGAAGUUAUGUUGCUUGAAUGGAAAGACUAAUUUGCCCCUCAUACCAACACCUAUCGAACUUCUUCAGUUAUUCUCAGAUGAAACAUCACAAGGCAGGCAUUUCAGAGAAUAUAUUCGAGCCUACAAUCACGCCUUCUCUUUUACUUCGAUGGGCGUAAAUGUUGAUGAACAAUUUGCAAAUGCUAAAAGUGGAGUGUACACAUUUAGAGCACAAGGUUUAAUCUACCACCAAAUUGGAAGCCUUUUAGCUACUACAGGAACCAAACCAAGGUUUUUACAAAUUUAUAUAUAUGAUACUGAGCAUGAAAUUGACAACUGCAUGCUGGAAAACAAUGGCCUAAAUAGACAAGUUGUAGAGAAAAUAAAGCAUGUCUUAGAUCAGUACAAUCCAUUUGUGCAUAUGUUUCACCAUAUUUCAUAGUUUUAAGAUUUGAAUACUUGCAAGCUUAUAGUCAAGGAGCAAUCGUCAACUCAUCGCCAAUAUAGUCUUCCAACUAUAUCACAAGUUGCGACUGUUUUCAUAGAUGGUGCUACAAUGAUGCAAUUAAUGGAAGAGAUAUUGUUGUUCAAACUACUAGCGGGCAACUUAUCAAUGUUCAAGAUGUUGUUGGGUAUUAUGACUCACUUCAAUAUCCCUUAUUACUUCCUCAUGGGAGUUAUGGGUGAGACAUAAAUAGCCGCAAUGAAAAUGGAACUGCAUGUACAUGUAGAGACUUUUAUGCAUACAUGUUACUGGUAAUUCCACUUCAAUAUCCUUUUUUUUAUAUAGCUUUUCUCCUUUUAAAUUUGUUUAUACAGUUUAAAAUAUUUGUAAGAUAUAGUAACAAAUAACCAUACAUUAUGUGAUAAAUACAUAUUGCCAAACAGGUUCGUCAUUGAUAUUACAUGGUGGUCAAUUAUUACAACAAUAUAUAGUUGACAAUUAUGUCAAGAUUGAAGCGUAGACUUAGGUUCCUGCAAAGCAAUCAAUAAGCUAUUAGAGCAGAGUUAUAUCAAGGAUUGCAAGACUCACUUGCAUCGGGUGAAUUUCAUGCUGGUAUGUACCAAAUCCACACUUUCCAAGUUAAUUUCUAUUAGUUUACAUUCCUAAAGAAUUUUUAUAAAAAUGUAUUUGAAAUGUCAUCUUUAACAACAAAUAGGAAAUGUGGGACGAACAACAAUACACCCCUCAUCUUUUGGUGGAAGCCUCCGUGAUAUCCAUCAAUGUUAUCAAGAUGCCAUGGCAUUGGUUCAAAAGUAUGGGAAGCCAAACAUAUUUCUAACUAUGACGUGUAAUCCAUCAUGGGAGGAGAUAACAAGUGAAUUAUUUCCUUGCCAAACACCACAAGAUAGGCCAGACUUGCUAACUAGAAUUUUCAGAUCCAAAUACGAACAUAUGAAGAAAGAUAUUUACAACACUGGAGUUCUAGGUAAGACAAUCGCUCAUGUGCAUGUAAUUGAAUUUCAAAAAAAGGGUCUGCCACAUUGUCACAUGCUUAUUAUUUUUGAAGAGUCAGACAAGUUAAACACACCUGAUGACUAUGAUCGCCUUAUGAGAGCUGAAAUUCCAUACAGAGAAGAAGAACCUGAGUUAUACAAUAUUGUCCUGAAACAUAUGAUCCAUGGACCAUGUGGGGCUCUUAAUCCAAACUCUCCAUGUAUGAAAAAUGGAAGCUGUAAAAAAGCCUUUCCUAAGCAGUUUUUUGAAGUCAUAAUGCAAGGAAAUGAUUGUUACCCAGUGUACAUGAGGCGCAACAAUGGUAGAUAUGUUGCUUUAGAUCGAAACAUUGAAGUAGAAAUAGAUAAUAGGUGGGUUGUUCCAUAUAACCCAUGGCCAUUAUUGAAGUAUGAUUGUCGUAUAAAUGUUGAGGUCUGUAGCAGCAUAAAGUGUGUCAAGUAUCUGUAUAAAUAUAUGUACAAAGGACCUGAUCGUGUUUCCCUUGAGGUGUGUUUGGGACCAUCUUAUGAUGAAAUAUCAAAAUACUUAGACGCAAGAUGGAUUUGUGCUCCAGAAUCUUUAUGGAAAAAAAAUUUAUUUCCUAUGAAUCGUAUAUAUCCUUCAAUAUAGUGGCUGCAAGUUCAUCUUCCAAAUAGGCAUCAAGUCAGAUAUUACAGUCACAUCUUAAUUAUGGAAGUUUUGUCUAACAUAAGCAACUCAAAUACGAUGCUUACCGAAUUUUUCCGUAUCAACUGCAUUGAUCCAUUUGCAAGACAAUGGUUAUAUAGAGAAUUCCCUAAACAUUAUAGAUGGGUUGCCACUGGAAAAAAAAAGGCAAAUGAGGGUUUCACAACAAAAGGUUAUCGGACAAAUUUAUACAAGAUGUCCAUAUGAAGGUGAACGAUUUUACUUACGUACUCUAUUAAAUCAUAUCAUAGGUCCCAUGUCAUUCGAUCAUCUUCUAAAAUUUAAUGGAGUUGCAUUUCCAACUUUUAAGCAAGCGGCUGAAAGGAAGGGUUUGCUUGAGGAUGACAAUAGCAUUCACCAAUGCCUCCUAGAAGCUGUAACAACUCAAAUGCCAUCAGCUUUGCAUAGGUUAUUUGUCACAAUAUUAGUGUAUUGUGAACCUAUUGGAGUGCGUACUUAUGGGAGGAAUUUCAUUCAUUUAUGGGGCAAGACUACCCAACAUCCAGUAGCUCAAAGAAUAGGGUUAUCAUUAAUCUUUUGUUGCGAGAUCUGAAUGUAUUGUUACAACAACAUGGUAAAAGAAUUUGUGAUUAUGAUCUUCCACAAAUUGAUACGUCUGAUGCGAAAUAUAUAAGCACACAAAUUAAACCCUCUUUUUAUCAAUUGUAGUAAAGAAUGUAACUAGGGAUCGUUCUAGGCCGGGGAUUAGGAGGGAUUGCCAAAUCACUUGAAAACUAACUCAAAACGUAAAAAUAAAGUUUAAACACUAAACUAGACUCAAAGAAUGCAAAACUAAACUAUAAAACACCAAAACAAACCAAAAGACUCAAAACAGCAAAUAAACACUCAAAACUGCCUUAAAAACACUUUCUGGCCAGUUUUGAACACCUAACACUAAAUUGGACGAAAUUGGGUUAUAACUUGACUCAAGACCCUUAAAACACAAACUAAAUUAAUUUCUACUUAAUCUAACACUUUAAAAUAAAUGGGGAAUUGGUUUUGACGAAAAUUGAAAACAAAAACAAAACUUGUAAAUUGAACAGAUUCUAAAACGAAUUUGAUAAAAGUGAAUGGAUGGAAAGCUAGCUAAGGGGUUAUUCUCCACACAUGUCACACUUGCAUACAAAACGAUUUCCAAUUGCUUCUCAAUAAACCAUGAAUUCCCAACACCCCAAGUUAAUUAGAUACGCUUAAAUUAACUUUCAAAUUUCCCUUAAGUCAAUGAAUUGGAUGGAAAAAGCGCAUCGCAACCAAAUUAUUCCUCAAAAGUUCCCUACAUGAAAGCGCAUAAUAGAGAUACAAUUAAAGAUCAUUACGUUCAAUGGAAAUCAUAAGUACUGACGAGGCACUCGUAACUAUGAAAGCGCAUGAUACUUAUGCCAAGAAUUUACUUAACACGAUUGUGAUCAACAACCUUUACUACUUGUGAAUAUAAGUUUGUAACAAUUAGGUGAAAUUCCCUUAUAUCCUAGCAUUAAACUUAUGCAUGAAAAUUAAGCGUGCACUCUCAACCAACACACACAAAUCAGUUUUAAUUCAUGUAGAUAAGCAAAUUGAAUUCACAACUUAUGAAACACAAUUAGAAGUAAUCAAAUCAUAUAGCAAGCAUAAACAUGGUUUCGAAUCCCCCCCCUAGCCAAGGGGGGUUUAGUUCCUCAUAUGCACAAAGCAAAGAUAAAUAAGUUUAGACAUUGAAAUCCAAAGAAAGAGAACACCUAAAACGCUCCAACUUCGCAGUAGGUGCAUCCACGAUUCCUCCUUCCUCCUUGCUGCGGCACAGAGACUUUGGACAGGUUCUUUGGGUUAUUAAAUGGUGUAGAAUGGAUGGGGGAUGUAUGGUGGUGUUUAGGAUGGAUGGGUGGUGCAGCAAGGGUUGAUUUUUGGCAGAAAUUUGAGAGAAUGGUGGUGGAAGGCUGCAACAAAGGUAGGAGAUGAGUUUCUGACGUGAAUGGUUGUGUAUGAGAGGUGGUAAAUCCGGCCAAAGGGGUUUAUGAGUAUAUAUAGGCAUUCAAAACCCUAGGUAAAUCAGAUAUGGACUUGGAUAACCCAAAUCCAUCAAGAAAUAGGUUUAAACAAUCAGAAUUUAAAAGGGAAAAAGCCCAAAGGUUCGGUAGAUAAGGGAUAGGGAGGAUAGGGCUUCUAGAAUGCCUUGCAAGGCAAGGAAAACAGAUUCUACCAAGGGCUAGGUGCGGCAGGUUUUGGGAAAUAAGGAUAGGGCUUCUAGAAAGCUCAAAACUAAGAGGAAAUAGGCCCCAACCCACGACAAGGAUGAGAAAAUAUUCUAAAACCCUUCUUUGUGUCUUCCAAUGCUUAGGAACCUUCUAAUGUUGCUGAAACAUAAGGCCAACUAGGUUUAGGAAAGAUCAACCCAAAGUAGAAACUUUUAGGCUUAACUUUCCUACUUCAAGUAGGAAACCUUGUUUGAGUAGGAAUCUUCAUUCUUCUAGGAAUCCAUCUUCAACUAGGAAUCCCUCGUUGAUUAGGAAUCCUUCUUCAAUUAGGACUCCUUCUUGGACUAGGAAUCCUCAAAUCUUCAAAUCUUCAAUUUCGCCCAAACCUUUUGUUCCAAGCAUGUGCUAUUCACUCUAAGCUCACAUUUGCUCCAAAAAGCUUUAAUUUGCAUCAUUUUGUAUAAUAUGCCCUUAAAACCUGAAAAUACAUAAAACUAGCUUAAAAGACUACUUAAACUAAGAAAACAUAACGAAAAUGCAUAAGAACUAGCUAACUAAGGCGCAUAAAUAUGCUCCUAUCAAAUUCCCCCACACUUAGCUUUUGCUAGUCCUCGAGCAAAACCAAGAACAAACGACAAACGAAACAAAACACACAAAUAAAACAUAACCUAAACCUUCCAACGUUGCCUCAGGGAUUUCCAAUGCACAUGACAUAUUAAAAAUCAUCAUUCCCACAGAGUUUAGUCAUCUUCACACUUAAGCACAUACUUAAUCAUAGUCACCACAUACUAGUUCACAUUUAACCAAUUAAAACGUGGUUUUGAAUGUAGUAACAUGCCUUAGAGAAUUUGCUCAAUUCCUUACAAGAUAUACACUCAAUUUUCACUCAAAUUUUCUAAGUACACACCCUAUACUAGUUAUAUGUGAGAAGAUUGAUGUAGACAUAAAAACGAAUGCUCACAUAUAUAUACAUAACAAAGAAAGCAUUUUCUGGAGUUAAUAAGCAUUUAGAUAUGAUCUCAUGAAUGGAAUGCUACUACUUAGACGCGAGAACCAGUGACACCAUAUGCUCAUACCAAUUCUAAACUCCACAAAUUGAAACACACAACACUCAAGAUUAAAGUCAAGGGUUGUAACGGGGCUUGAGGUAUUGGCUAACAAAGAACGGAUAGGGAUAACAAAGGUUCUUUAAGCAAUAACACGCAAGGCAAUGAAGUCGAAACUUAGAAUUCACUUUAGAAUGCAGAAAUCAACUUUUAAACAAAAGGUAGGAUUCAUGCAAUACUUAGGGUCGAAUUCAAUGUUUUGGACCCUUUCUUCAACAAUCAACACUUAAGAGCUCAUCUCCACAUCUUUUUCAACUUUUUUUCAUAUUUUUCACAACUUUUCUUUUUUUUUCUUGCUAUUUUCCACGAAAUUUAUCUUUUUGUUUUUUUUUUCUUUUCUAACCUGUGCCACAUGAAAGACUUAGGCACUCACAUACAUCCAUUCCCCCAAACUUGUUUUCUGCAAUACAUUGAUCAAAAGGAAUUCAUCUUGAGUCAUGCUUUACUAUGCUUUAAAAACAAGGGUAUGGAUGGUCCUAAUCUAGGCUAGGUGAGGAUAAUGAGGGUUAACAAACAAUAUAGGCUAAACAAGGCUCAACGGGGUUAAAACCUACAAAACAUAUGAACAUGGGGGACACGGCAAUUUGGCUUAAAUGGUGGUCACUACACAACUUCAUCUUGAAUAUGUGUUAUGCAAAUCAAUAGCAUGCUUUGAAUGAAAUGGGCAUGAGUUUUAGUGUUUGGAACUAAAUGAUGAAACGCCUUCUAAGUAGUAACCAAGCAAAGAAUAAUGAGAUCAUGCAACGACUUUAGAAAACAACAAUGCACAAAUUAUUACUCUCCAAAUAAACGUUUAGGCUCAAGUCUCCCAAGGUUGUAGCGUUAAUUUGAGUUCCUUCCUUCAAGCAUGUUACAAAAACUAAUUUUUUUCCUUUGUGAUUACAUGUGAAUUCAUAAGUUAUAACCACAACCAAGCAUAAACCAAAGAGUAAAUCAAACUUCCAUCCAUGUUUACAACUCUCUUUAACAGUCAUGCAAUUAAAAACCGAAUCCUCAUCAUUGUGUUGGAAGGUACCCUAAGACACAAACAACUACACAAAACAGCUUUAAAACGACUCUUUUUGGCUUUUUCAACACAUUUUUUUCAAAUUUUUUUCUGGGAUUUUCGGAUUUUUAUGUAAAACACACUAAAAUGCAUCAAAACAGCCUAAAAACAGCAAGGAACAACAUUGGAAAUUAUGGGUGAUACUGUUGGAAGUAUGCCCACAAAGCCACUCAUUUGAUGUAAUAGCUUUUGGAAUACUUAUUGUAUUAAACUUUUAUAUGUUUAAUGAAGGGCAAAGCUUAUUGUUAAUCACUAUUUAUUGUAUCAUGUGUUUAAGCAAUAAGGGAAUCCAAGGAAUGUAUUUGAUCUAAGAGAUAAGUGAUUUAAGUAAGUUAGAUUAUCGAGACCUUUCUCUUAUGUUCAUUCCUAAAACGUUCCUAGCCAUAGGAUUGCCAAUUGGGCAUUGACAAUCUGCUAAGGUUAGUAUGUGUUAUGUCGACUCAAGCGUGAGUAUGACAAGUCUCAAGUCAUUUAGUGUUGGACACUAAGGCAAACACAUAGGUGCUCGAAAGAGUGAGCGAGUACACUGAACAACGAUCAAAAGAGAGUUCGAACAUACAUGUCAUGUAAGAACUCGAGAAUUGCAAUAUACAAAGUAGUCCUUUGACCUGAGGCAUCAUAGAUGUCUAAUAGUUAGGUCUUUGAUCUUUGAUCAUGUCAAAGGCAUUCCAUUGGAGUGUCCACGGCAUUGUUGUGGUCAAGCUACCUAGUCAUGUAGGCAUAUGAAUGCACAACAAGGAAUCUCUAACCUUCCAUGGUGGAAGGAGAAUACUCUAAGAUAUGAUUCGAGAGUCUUUGGCCAAAGCAUAUGAAUAUGACUUAGGAAGUUUGUUCCAAAUCAUAUUCAACUGAAUCAUAUAGAUAAGUAUCACAUUGGAUAGUAGACAUGAAACAAACUAUCACUUAAAGAAUGUGAUUAAGAGUAUUGUAUUAGAGAAGGACCGUAUUGCAUUGUAGUUGUAACUGGAUAGGUUCUCCAACCACUUCUACUUAGCUUGGGUAACCAUGAUAUGCUGCUAGGUGUCACUCAUGGUUUGUGGAAGCCCUAAAGAUUAGCAAACACUAAUUUUAAGGGAGAAUUGAAAUGUGGUUUCAAUUCACAAUCGAUCGUUAAGAGUAACAAUGGCCCACUACCUCGCUAAAUAGAACCUAAUGGAUCGUACACCGAGUAAGGAUGUUGGUGAAGAAAUUAAAUGAAAUGGAUAAGCAAUUAAAUGGUUUAAUUGAAGAAUGGUCAAGAUUAAUUAAUUAGUUAAUUAAUUAUACGAAAUGUAUGUAUUGGGCUUAUAUGUUGGUUUUGGGUUUCGGGGCCCAAAAGCGUUUUGGUCCAGAAGGCCCAUUAUGUUUAAGUUGUAUGACAACUAAAACAAAAUGGGCAAUUAGCCCAAUCAAUUUGAUAUGGCCGGCAAUUAGGGUCAGAAGUGUCAAACUUGGAUUAAUUACAAGUUUGCCACUCACUUGUGAUGAAGUAUAAAAGCAACUUUAUAGCUUUAUUUUCAUUUAGGGUUUUUCUUGGUGAAAUGAGGUGAAACUUUUUCUCUCAUUUUCUCUAAAGAGGCCGGCCACCUAGGGAAGGAAUAGCUAGCAAUCUCUUCUUCCCUAAGUCAUCCAUUUCAUCUUUACAUCACAUCCUUGGUGAAGAGACUUAGAGACAUCAAGAUUUUGAUGUUUUGGAGAACAAAUCCUUAAGUCCUCAAAGAAGCAAAGGAGCACUAAAAGGAAGAAAAUCACAAGGAAUAUCCAAGGAGCAUGGAGGUGACUUGAAGGCCCUCCACUUGGGUGAAUCCCUUGUGUAAUCAAGGAUGAGCUUCAAGGGUAAAGAAACUCUAAAUAUUUCCUUCUCUUUAUUGUUGUUAAAGAGUUUAUUGGUUCACCAUAUACUAGGCUUUGAAAGUCAUGGGUUUUAUGAAUUGUUUUUGAAUGCAUGUCUACAUUAAUGUGUUAAUAGUUUGCAUAUGUAUUCAAAUGUUCUUACUUGUUCUUAGCUAGGACAAAAAAUUUCCUUCAGAUGCAACCCUACGAAUUUGCAUCAAAACACUUUGGUUACCCCCCCCCCACACUUAAAUCAAACAUUGUCCUCAAUGUUUCAAGCAUAAACUAACACAAUUAACAAAUAAACAAACAAGCAGCAACUAACAUAAUAAACAUGGCAGAAACGAAAUAAACAACAAAGAGAAGGGUUUAGGAACGCAAAUCUGGAAUUGGAGUGAUUCCUUGGUCUUCCUUUGUUGCAUGCAUGGGUUGCCUCCUAAGUAGCGCUUUCUUUAACGUCGUGCAGCCGGACGAAGCACCAAUUCACUCCCCAUUGGAGCCCACGGCAUGCAAGGGGAUGUCAUCCACGGCAUGCUCCACAAAGUUGUCAUAGUAUGGCUUCAAUCGGUGCCCAUUCACCUUGAAUUCUUGUCUAGUUUUCAUGCUUUGGAUUUGGACUGCACCAUGCACAAAAACAUUAGUAAUAACAAACGGGCCAACCCACUUGGAACGUAACUUACCAGGAAACAACCGAAGGCGGGAAUUAAAGAGUAACACUUUCUGCCCGAUUGAGAAUGAUUUGCCACGAAUCAUCUUGUCAUGAAAAGCCUUGGUCUUCUCCUUGUAAAUCCGAGCGUCUCAUAUGCUUCAUAUCUAAUCUCGUCAAACUCAUUUAAUUGGAGCUUCCUAUGUACUCCAGCGGCAUCAAUAUCCAUGUUAAAGGUCUUGACCGCCCAAAAUGCCUUGUGCUCAAGCUCCACGGGCAGAUGGCAUUGCUUGCCAUAGAUAAGCCGAAAAGGUGACAUGCCAAGAGGAGUUUUAUAGGCCGUUCGAUAAGCCCACAGUGCAUUGUCCAAGCGCAUGCUCCAAUCCUUUCUUGUUGGACCCACGGUCUUCUUUAAGACUUGCUUGAUCUCUUGGUUAGAAACCUCGGCUUAGUCAUUUGUUUGAGGAUUGUAAGGUGUAGAAACCUUAUGGGUGACGUUGUACUUCCUCAACAAUGCCUCAAUGGUGCGGUUACAAAAAUGGGAACCGCCAUCACUAAUUAGAACUCGAGGCAUCCCAAACCUAGCAAAAAUGUUAGUUUUCACGAAAUCUGCAACCACCUUAUAAUCAUUAGUACGGGGGGCUUUUGCUUCCACCCAUUUCGAGACAUAAUCCAUAGCGAGUAAUAUGUAAAGGAAACCAUGCGAUGAAGGAAAAGGACCCAUAAAAUCGAUGCCCCAAACAUCAAAAAUUUCAACAGGAAGUAUGACAUUUUGCGGCAUUUGAUCCUUUGCCCCUAUAUUACCCAUUCGUUGGCAACGAUCACAAGACAUACAAAAGGUUCUAGCAUCUUUAAAUAGAGUUGGCCAAUAAAAACCACAUUCUAAAACCUUAAGGGCAGUGCGUUGUGUCCCAAAGUGUCCCCCACAUGCAUAAGUGUGAUAGAAAGUUAAAAUUGAAUUAAACUCCAUAUCAUACACACACUUACGUACAAUAUGAUCCGAACAAUAUUUCCACAAGUAUGGAUCAUCCCAAACAUAAAAUUUAGCAUCCUUUUUUAAUUUAUCAUGUUGGUUUCUGUUUAGGGUGUUUGGAAUGUGUUUUGUCACUAAAAAAUUCACCAAGUCGGCAUACCAAGGCUCACUUACCUUCAUGGACAACAAUUGUUCAUCGGGGAAUGUCUUGGCAAUAGGUAGGGACUCCUCAGUAUGCACCAUUCGGCUUAGGUGGUCAGCCAUCACGUUUUCACUUCCCUUCUUGUCACGAAUCUCAAUAUCGAACUCUUGAAGUAACAACAUCUAACAAAUUAGCCAUGGCUUGGCUUCCUUUUUAGUGAGCAAGUACUUCAAAGCUGCAUGGUCAGUGAAAACAAUUACUUUAGUACCAAUUAGAUAUGAUCUAAACUUAUCUAAAGCAAAAACAACGGCAAGAAGUUCUUUUUCUGUAGUGGAAUAGUUCAAUUGGGCAUCAUUCAACGUCCGUGAGGCAUAGUAUAUCACAUGCGGCCUUUUGUCCUUCCUUUGUCCCAAAACAGCUCCUAACGCAUAAUCGAACGCAUCACACAUAAGCUCGAAGGGUAGGCUCCAAUCCGGUGGGACAAUGAUUGGUGUCGUGGUCAACAACUUCUUGAGUUGGUUGAAUGAUGCCGUGCUCAUUAAACUCAAACGUCACAUCUUUUUGUAAGAGUCGGCAAAGAGGUUGUACCACCUUGGAGAAAUCUUUGAUGAACCUACGAUAGAAACCUGCAUGGCCAAGAAAAGAACGAACCUCUCUAACCGAAGUAGGAGAGGGUAAGUGACGCACAAGAUCUAUCUUUGACUUAUCAACCUCAAUACCAUUUUCAGAGAUAAUAUGACCCAAAACUAUGCCUUGUUUAACCAUGAAAUGACAUUUUUCCCAAUUAAGCACAAGGUUAGUUUCAGCGCAACGUUUUAAGAUCAAGCUAAGAUUAUGCAAACAACCAUCAAACGAAUCACCAAAGACGCUAAAAUCAUCCAUAAAAACCUCAAUUAUUUUCUCAACAUAAUCAGAAAAUAUGCUCAUCAUGCAUCUUUGAAACGUUGCAGGUGGAUUACAUAAACCAAAAGGCAUGUGACGAUAAGCAAAUGUACCAAAAGGGCAUGUAAAAGUGGUAUUUUCUUGGUCCUCGGGUGCUAUGACAAUUUGAUUAUAACCAGAAUAACCAUCAAGAAAACAAUAAAAAGCGUAACUGGCUAACCUCUCAAGCAUUUGAUCAAUGAAUGGCAAGGGAGAGUGAUCCUUCCUUGUAGUGGCGUUUAGCUUCCUAUAGUCGAUACACACUCUCCAACCAGUUUGAAUGUGAGUAGGCACAAGUUCAUUCUCUGCAUUUGCUACCACCGUCACUCCGGAUUUCUUCGGAACGCAUUGAACAGGCGAAACCCACCUACUAUCCGAGAUUGGAUAGAUAACUCCACAAUCUAAAAGCUUGAUGACUUCUUUCUUCACAACUUUCAUCAUAGGUGGGUUGAGUCGGUGUUGAGCCUCUCGAGAUGUUUUAGACCCCUCCUCCAAAAGUAUGUGAUGCAUGUAACUUGUGGGGCUAAUUCCUUUAAUGUCGGCCAACAUCCACCUAAUUGUUGUUUUGUACUCCUUAAGCACCCUCACUAACUUACCUUCUUCUUGUGCCGUGAGCAAAGUGGAAAUGAUAACGGGCAACGUCUCAUUCUCUCCCAAGUAAACGUACUUCAAGUGACUAGGCAAUGGCUUAAGUUCAAGUGUAGGUGCCUGCACAACUGAUGGAAGCAUCUUAUUAGCCGAAACUGAACUUAAAAUAGGGUCCAAAAACUUACCAGAUUGUGAUGGCAAUGACUCAAGGGCAGCCACCAUCUCAAUGACUUCAUCACUAGGGGGUACGGCAAGGGAGAGUUCUUGCAUGCCGUGAGUGUGCAUGGGUGUUGUCUCAACGUCUUGUUUGUCCAUUCCUCGUGCAAUGACCAAUUCAAGUGCAUCGUCAUUCAAUUUGUCAAAAUGGUCCUGCGCCAAAGAGUCAAUUACAUCAAUAGCAAAACAUGAAUGAUUCUCACUAGGAUAUUUCAUAGAAUCAGAAAGAUUGAAAUUAAUAACUUCCCCAUCAAACUCCAUCGUCAAUGUUCCAUUAAACACAUCAAUCUUUGUCCGAUCCGUUUUCAUGAAUGGCCUUCCAAGGAUGAUGGGCAAUGAAAGGGCAUGGUCUGAUUCAUCCAUCUCAAGCACGUAGAAAUCCGCCGGAAAGAUCAAAUGAUUAACUUGCACUAAAACAUCUUCCAAAACUCCCUUUGGAUAGGCAUUAGAUCUAUCGGCUAAUUGUAUAAUCACACCAUCAUUUUUCAACUCUCCUAGGUUCAUAGAUGCAUGACAUUUAUGGAUGCACCUAAGUCUAACAUGGCAGAUUCAAACCUAGUAUUACCAAUGACACAAGGAAUUGUAAAACUACCCGAAUCUUUGCAUUUAGGGGGUAGUUUGCGUUGCAAGAUGGCUGAGACAUUUUCACUUACCUUUACAACCUCCUUGGUCAAAAUCCUCUUCCUAGUGGUGCAAAGUUCUUUCAAAAAUUUACAUACCUUGGUACUUCCUUAAUUGCAUCCAAAAGAGGGAUAUUGACUUGAACUUUCCUAAAUGUCUCUAGAAUGUCCUUUUCAGCUUCCUCUUUUGUUUGCUUGAACCUACUAGGAAAAGGGACAUUCAAAGGAAAAUCAUUAGUAGGAAUGGAAUUGGACACGUUCUUACCUUUAUUGGACAUAUUGGAUGGCUUAGGAGCCAUGGGAACUUGCGGCAAUGGGAGUUCCUUCCUUGCUGUGGGCAUGCUUUGCUCCUCCUCUUUGAUGAUCAACUCUUCCACCUCAUUUGGGGCUGAUUUGGAUGGUUAGGGGGCUGCUCCCACUUGUUUCCCACUUCACAACAUGAUUGCCUUGGCAGAUUCAAAGCCUCAUUUCGGAUUCACAGCGGUUAAACUAGGCAACUUGCCUUGCUCUCGAAAUUGGCCCACAAACUCCGCAAUCUGCCCUACUUGCUUCUCCAACUCGUCCACCUUCUUGUCCUUAAUUUGCAUACUCUGCGCCAUAGAAGUUAGUAAUUGAAAAUUUUGAUCAUUAUCAAUAGACGAACCUGAUUUGUUUUGGGCAGGUUGUGCUUAGGGUUGAGUUGGUGCAAACGGCUUUUGAUAGAAACCCGGGGGUUAUUGCCUAAAUGUGCUUUGGUGUGGGCCUUGUUGGGGUUCUCGCCAUUUGAAAUUUAGAUGAUCCCUCCCACGGCAUUGAGGGUUUCCCACCCUCCAUUCUCUAUCAAUUGUGGGCACUUGUCCGUAAGGUGUCCUUGCUUGGAGCACAUGCCACAAGCACUCAUAUUUUGCACUUUUGGUCGUUCCACAACUUGAGAAAGAAAAGUAGUAAGGUUAGCCAUUUGAUUUUGAAAUUCGGAGAUGGCACUUACCUCAUUCACUUGGUGUUGUCGUGGGGUGCUCCUUUGUCCAACACCUUCGUAUUGUUGAGCGUUCAACGCUCGAUUAGCUAUCAAGGUCUUUACUGUCGUGGGAUCUUGUCCACCAAAGCUCCUUCCGCCGAGGCAUCUAGCAUUUGACGUUCGAUUGGUAGAAGCCCCUCGUAGAAGUAUUGUAGAAGAAGCUCCUCCUUCAUUUAAUGCUAUGGACAAGAAGCAACAAGAGAUUUAAAACGUUCAUAAUAUGUAGGAAAAGACUCACCUUCAUCUUGUUGAAUUCCACUUAUCCUUUUUCGUAAGAGAAUGACUCGAGAAGUUGGGAAAAACUUCUCCAAGAAAGCCCGUUUCAUGCUCUCCCAAGAUGUGACCGUUCUGGGAGCUAAUUCAUAUAACCAAUCUUUCGCCUUUUCCAUGAGAGAAAAGGGAAAAGCCUUCAUCUUCAAUAUACUCCCGUCAACAUUGAUUGGAGUCAUGCUCGAACACACCACCUUGAACACUUUCAAGUGCUUGUUAGGAUCAUCCAUGGACAACCCAUGGUACUUCAGAAUGUGGUGUAGCAAACUUGACUUCAACUCAAAGUCCUCGGUCUUUCCUUGGGCAGCUGCGGGAUAUUGAAUACAUAGAGGUGUGGCAUUGUCCAAUCCCGAAGCCGAAAGCUCCUUGAUUGUACAAUUGUCUUGUGUCAUGGCUUCCUCUACUUCACCCACUCUUGCUGUGGGUUCCUUAACUUCAACCUCAACUUCGGCUUUUGAAUUUGAACUUGAUUCACUAGGCUCUGGAUUCUUUCUUUUUCAUCUCAAUUCUCGCUCAAUUCGUCGUCAAAGUCCAAGAUGUGUUCACGAAUCGGAUGAGAACUCCGAGUCAUAAACUAGUACCUAAAAACAAGAAAACAAAACAGGGUCAGAAUCUGGAAUUAAUUAAAACAACUGAAAUAAAACAAUCCAAGGGAUUAGCAAUGUUGCUAAUCCCCGGCAACGGCGCCAAAAAUUUGAUGCGAAAUAUAUAAGCACACAAAUUAAACCCUCUUUUUAUCAAUUGUAGUAAAGAAUGUAAGUAGAGAUUGUUCUAGGCCGGGGAUUAGGAAGGAUUGCCAAAUCACUUGAAAACUGACUCAAAACGUAAAAACAAAGUUUAAACACUAAACUAGACUCAAGAAUGCAAAACUAAACUAUAAAACACCAAAACAAACCGAAAGACUCAAAACAGCAAAUAAACACUCAAAACUGCCUUAAAAACACUUUCUGGGCAGUUUUGAACACCUAACACUAAAUUGGACGAAAUUGGGUUAUAACUUGACUUAAGACCCUUAAAAACACAAACUAAAUUAAUUUCUACUUAAUCUAACACUUUAAAAUAAAUGGGGAAUUGGUUUUGACGAAAAUUGAAAACAAAAACAAAACUUGUAAAUUGAACAGAUUCUAAAACGAAUUUGAUAAAAGUGAAUGGAUGGAAAGCUAGCUAAGGGGUUAUUCUCCACACAUGUCACACUUGCAUACAAAACGAUUUCUAAUUGCUUCUCAAUAAACCAUGAAUUCCCAACACCCCAAGUUAAUUAGAUACGCUUAAAUUAACUUUCAGAUUUCCCUUAAGUUAAUGAAUUGGAUGGAAAAGCGCAUCGCAACCAAAUUAUUCCUCAAAAGUUCCCUAAAUGAAAGCACAUAAUAGAGAUACAAUUAAAGAUCAUUACGUUCAAUGGAAAUCAUAAGUACUGACGAGGCACUCGUAACUAUGAAAGCGCAUGAUACUUAUGCCAAGAAUUUACUUAACACGAUUGUGAUCAACAACCUUUACUACUUGUGAAUAUAAGUUCGUAACGAUUAGGUGAAAUUCCCUUAUAUCCUAGCAUUAAACUUAUGCAUGAAAAUUAAGCGUGCACUCUUAACCAACACACACAAAUCAGUUUUAAUUCAUGUAGAUAAGCAAAUUGAAUUUACAACUUAUGAAACGCAAUUAGAAGUAAUCAAAUCAUAUACCAAGCAUAAACAUGGUUUCGAAUCCCCCCUAGCCAAGGGGGGUUUAGUUCCUCAUAUGCACAAAGAAAGAUAAAUAAGUUUAGACAUUGAAAUCCAAAGAAAGAGAACACCUAAAAUGCUCCAACUUCGCAGCAGGUGCAUCCACGAUUCCUCCUUCCUCCUUAUUGCGGCACAGAGACUUUGGACAGGUUCUUUGGGUUAUUAAAUGGUGUAGAAUGGAUGGGGGAUGUAUGGUGGUGUUUAGGAUGGAUGGGUGGUGCAGCAAGGGUUGAUUUUUGGCAGAAAUUUGAGAGAAUGGUGGUGGAAGGAUGCGGCAAAGGUAGGAGAUGAGUUUCUGACGUGAAUGGUUGUGUAUGAGAGGUGGUAAAUUUGGCCAAAGGGGUUUAUGAGUAUAUAUAGGCAUUCAAAACCCUAGGUAAAUCAGAUAUGGACUUGGAUAACCCAAAUCCAUCAGGAAAUAGGUUUAAACAAUCAGAAUUUACAAGGAAACAAGCCCAAAGGUGCGGCAAAUAAGGGAUAGGGAGGAUAGGGCUUCUAGAAUGUCUUGCAAGGCAAGGAAAACAGAUUCUAACAAGGGCUAGGUGCGGUAGGUUUUGGGAAAUAAGGAUAGGGCUUCUAGAAAGCCCAAAACCAAGAGGAAAUAUGCCCUAACCCACGGCAAGGAUGAGAAAAUAUUCUAAAACCCUUCUUUGUGUCUUCCAAUGCUUAGGAACCUUUUAAUGUUGCUGAAACAUAAGGCCAACUAGGUUUAGGAAAGAUCAACCCAAAGUAGAAACUUUUAGGCUUAACUUUCCUACUUCAAGUAGGAAACCUUGUUUGAGUAGGAAUCUUCAUUCUUUUAGGAAUCCAUCUUCAACUAGGAAUCCCUAGUUGAUUAGGAAUCCUUCUUCAAUUAGGACUCCUUCUUGGACUAGGAAUCCUCAAAUCUUCAAAUCUUCAAUUUCGCCUAAACCUUUUGUUCCAAGCAUGUGCUAUUCACUCUAAGCUCACAUUUGCUCCAAAAAGCUCCAAUUUGCAUCAUUUUGUAUAAUAUGCCCUUAAAACCUGAAAAUACAUAAAACUAGCUUAAAAGACUACUUAAACUAAGAAAACAUAACGAAAAUGCAUAAGAACUAGCUAACUAAGGCGCAUAAAUAUGCUCUUAUCAAUGUCCAUGAAUAGCUCAGCAACUCUAACAAAUAUACAAGAUAAGCUCACAGUUCAUGUUCCCCCAGAAGACCUGCAAUCAAUUUAGACAUUAAACAAUGAUCAACGCACUGCAUUCGACAUAAUUAUGAGAGCUGUUACAUGUAAUCAAUCAUCAACUUUCUUUGUAGAUGGCCCCAGUUGUACUGGAAAGGCUUACCUUUAUCGUGCAAUUCUUGCUUCGCUAAGGAAUGAUGGCCUCAUAGCUAUUGCAGCAACCACAUCUGGUAUUGCAACUACUAUUUUACCCAGAGGAAGAACAACACAUUCACGAUUUAAGAUUCCUAUCGACUUAUUGUCCACCAACACUUGUUCUAUAAGCAAGCAAGGAAUCAAAUUUGGCGGAGCUUCUAAGGCGUUCAGCUAUGCUUAUAUAGGAUGAAGCCACUAUGACUCAUAGGAAAGCAUUUGAGGCUUUAGAUAGAACCUUACGAGAUAUAACGGGCGUGGAAACACAAUUUGGUGGCAAAGUGAUGAUUCUUGAAGGAGAUUUUCGUCAAUUUCUUCUCGUUAUGCCUUAUGGAACCAAAGUGCAACCGAUAGAUGCAUGCAUUGUAAAAUGCUCAUUAUGGAAUGAGAUUCAAGUUAUCCGGUUGAAACAUAAUAUGAUAGCUCAACAAGACCCUAAUUUUGAAGAAUUCCUACUCCGUAUUGGUGAUGGAAAUGAGUCAUUUGUAAAAGAUGAUAUGAUUAGAAUCCCGAAUUCAGGUGUUAUUCCUUGGCAUGGCGAUGAAUCAAUUGGUGAGCUUAUUGGUUUUUGGUUUUGUAUUUCCAAGAUUAGAGGAGAAUGCUUUCAACUUUUCUUAUAUGGUUGAUAGGGCUAUCAUCACCCCAAGGAAUAAAGGCGUUGACAAGUUAAAUGAAGUGGUGUUAAACUCAUUUCCUAGGGAACAACACAUUUAUUACUCUUUUGAUAGAGUUGACGAUGACCCUCAAAACUUAUAUCAACAAAAGUUUUUGAAUUCUAUAACUCCAAGUGGCUUACCUACUCAUAAGUUGACUUGGAUUUUGCAAUGGCAUAUGAUCUCUUCUUAGCCAACACCUUCUUUAAGAAGAGAGAAGAACAUGUGAUCACCUACAAGAGUGGGUCGUCAAAAACACAAAUAGAUUUUCUUCUAAUGAGGAAAGGGGAUCGUAUAACUUGUAAGGAUUGCAAAGUUAUACCAGGAGAGAGCGUGGCUAAUCAACAUCGCUUGUUGGUGAUGGAUGUACAUAUCAAAAGAGUAAGACAAAAGAACAAGACUUGGAAGUGCCCAAGGACUAGAUGGUGGAAUCUAAAAGAAGAAAAACAAGCCAUUUUCAAAGAGAAGGUAAUCACCCAAUGUGUGUGGGAUAGAGAGGGGGAAGCUAGCCAAAUGUGGGAUUCCAUGGCUAGUUGUAUCCGAAAAGUAGCAAAAGAGGUAUUAGGAGAGUCCAAGGGCUUUGCCCCACACCAAAAGGAAUCUUGGUGGUGGAAUGAGGAGGUACAAACAAAGGUGAAGGCUAAGAAGGAAUGUUGUAAAGCCUUAUACAAGGAGAGGACUGAUGAAAAUGGUGAAAGGUAUAGAAAAGCGAAGCAAGAGGCGAAGAAAGCUGUCAGAGAAGCUAAGUUAGCGGCUUACGACGAUAUGUAUAAACGACUAGAUACCAAAGAAGGAGAGUUGGAUAUCUAUAAACUAUCUAGAGCAAGGGAAAAGAAGACAAGGGACCUAAACCAAGUGAGGUGCAUCAAGGAUGAGGAUGGAAAGGUUCUUGCUACAGAGAACGCGGUUAAAGACAGAUGGAGAGGUUAUUUUCAUAAUCUUUUCAAUGAAGGACAUGAAGUGAGUGCUUCUUUAGGGGAGUUGAGUAACUCAGAAGAGUGUAGAAACUACUCUUUUUAUCGUCGAAUCCAGAAGGAAGAAGUGGUUGUAGCUUUGAAGAAGAUGAAGCAUAAAAAAGCAAUAGGCCCAGACGAUAUACCAAUCGAAGUGUGGAAACUUUUGGGAGAGACAGGUAUAACAUGGCUCACUGACCUUUUCAAUAGGAUUUUGAAAACGAAGAAGAUGCCAAAUGAGUGGCGAAUGAGCACUUUGGUGCCUAUCUACAAGAAUAAGGGCGACGUACAAAAUUGCAUGAACUAUAGGGGUAUUAAGCUAAUGAGUCAUACAAUGAAGCUCUGGGAGAGAGUCAUUGAGCAUAGAUUGAGGCAAGAGACACGGGUUUCGGACAACCAAUUCGGGUUCAUGCCAGGGCGCUCAACCAUGGAGGCAAUCUAUCUCUUACGAAGAUUGAUGGAAAGAUAUAGAGAUGGGAAAAAGGAUUUACACAUGGUCUUUAUAGAUUUGGAAAAAGCGUAUGAUAGGGUCCCAAGAGACAUUCUUUGGAGGAUUUUAGAGAAGAAAGGAGUACGAGUAGCAUAUAUCCAAGCUAUAAAGGAUAUGUAUGAAGGAGCAAAGACUGCCGUAAGAACUCAUGAAGGACAAACCGAAAGCUUUCCCAUAACUGUAGGAUUACAUCAAGGCUCAUCCUUAAGUCCUUACCUUUUUGCGUUGGUAAUGGAUGAGUUAACACGACAUAUUCAAGAUGAUAUUCCUUGGUGUAUGCUUUUCGCAGACGAUAUAGUGUUGAUAGAUGAAACUCAGGAAGGGGUAAAUGCAAAGCUUAACCUUUGGAGAGAAGUGUUGGAAUCUAAAGGUCUUCGCCUAAGCCGAUCAAAGACAGAAUAUAUGGAGUGCAAGUUCAGUGCAAAUGGAGGCCAAAACGAGUUAGGGGUGAGGAUCGGAGAUCAAGAAAUACCAAAGAGCGACCGUUUUCGUUACCUAGGAUCUAUCUUGCAAAAGAACGGAGAAUUAGAUGGAGAUCUCAACCAUAGAAUACAAGCUGGAUGGAUGAAGUGGAAGAGUGCAUCCGGUGUGUUGUGUGACCGCCGUAUGCCACUGAAGCUCAAGGGAAAAUUUUAUAGGACGGCAAUAAGGCCGGCGAUGCUGUAUGGCACAGAAUGUUGGGCGGGUGAAACAUCAACACGUACACAAAAUGGGUGUAGCGGAGAUGAGGAUGCUUCGUUGGAUGUGUGGGCACACGAGAAAGGAUAAGAUUAGGAAUGAGGAUAUCCGGGGUAAAGUAGGAGUAGCCGAAAUUGAAGGAAAGAUGAGAGAAAAUCGGUUACGGUGGUUUGGACAUGUGCAAAGAAGGCCUACUGACGUUCCGAUUAGAAGAUGCGACUAUGGGACAGAGGUUCAGGGCCGAAGGGGUAGAGGAAGACCUAGGAAAACUUUGGAAGAGACUCUAAGAAAAGACUUAGAGUACUUGGAUCUAACGAAGGACAUGACACAGGAUCGAGCACAAUGGCGUUCUAAGAUUCAUAUAUAGCCGAUCCCACUCAGUGACUUGGAUUUUCCAAGUCUCCAACCGAGAAGUUUUCCUCACUCGGGAAAUUAAGGGAACACUACCCCAACCUACAUGCUCCACUCAGAAAGCUUCAACAUACAAGCUUUAACAAAAGAAAAUUCAAAGAACUUAGCGAAGAAGGCUUUGGUGUAUUUAACACAAUACGUUGAAAUGAAGGAAAGCUUAUUUAUUGAUAUCCCCGAUAAGCUACAAAUAUGUACAUAUACAUGAGUCAAAAUAAGCACACAAGAGGGAGCCUUCACAAAGGUUGCUUAGGAGAAGUCUCAGCAGUCGGUAGAGCCCCAGAAAGAGAAGGCACCGGAGGGGGAUCAUUUGGAGCCUCAGUACUGGACAGAACCCUAGAAGGAGGAGGCAUCAGAGGUUGAUCAUUUGGAGCUUCAUUACGCGGUACAGCCCCAGAAGACGAAGGCAAUAAAUGCCUUUGGAACAAACCCACAAAUCUCUGAUGAUCAAGUAAAACCUGACCAUCAGUUUCCUUCAUCUGGUCAAGCUUCCUCUUCAUGUUUGUAGCAUAGUCAUGUGCGAGCCGGUGCAACUGUUUAUUCUCAUGCUUGAGCCCUCUAAUCUCCUGUUUGAGACUCAUCACUUCAGCCGCCAAUGAUUCAACUUGGCGGGUUCGAGCAAAUAGGCGUUGUGCCAUAUUAGACACAGAACCUGCACACUGAACACUGAGAGCCAGCGAAUCCUUAACAGCUAACUCAUCAGACCGUUUGGAAAGUAGUCUGUUAUCUUUGGGAGUGAGAAGGUUCCUGGCCACCACCGCAGCGGUCAUAUCAUUCUUCAUCACGGAAUCCCCAACGGUAAGAGGACCAGUAGGGGAGACGAAGGAUGGGCGCCAUAUGUUGUCUGGAGAAGGCGGGGCUGCCUCUUCAACAAGGUUCAAGUCAAAACGACGGUCGGAGGGGCCAGACAUUUUCAAAGGUGUUGAAAGAGAGAAGAGGUCGGACAAAUCAAGAUCUUAGAAGUGCAAGAAUGAAGCUUCUACUGGUGGAGAUUCAAGUGUGCUUUGGAACUUAAUGCCAGCCCCUAUAAAAAUCUGCACUCGACGAAGCUUCAGAAAUCGAAGAGGCGCCUGCUCAGAAAUCGAAGAGGCGUUUGCUUUCUCAAAAGCUGGGCUGCUUAGAGAUCACGAGGGUUGAUCUCAGAAAUCGAAGAGGCGUUUGCUUUCUCAAAAGUUGGGCUGCUCAAAUACCACGAAGGCCGAUCUCAAAAAUCGAAGAGGCGCUCGCUUUCUCAAAAGCUGGGCUCCCCAGAGACCACGAGGGCCGAUCUUAGAAAUCGAAGAGGCACCUACUUUUCCAGCCUUUUCCAGCCUUGUCAGCACCUGUCACACGCACACUCAGUUUUGCGGAAAUUAUGGGCAUUCUGUCAAAGACUUCUGGGGAAGUAGAAAACACAUGAAUCUUACUGUUCAAUCACCCACUUCCCAUACGCAACAAUAGCUCAUGGGUACCACAAAUAACUUUGCCAAAGUUCUCUGCCAAAGUUGAGCACGUGAAGCUUGCAGCUCCCACUACAUCGCUCUGACCAAGAAGGGUAAAAGAAUAGCAAAAGAAACAGCACUAACAAAGUUUAGACCCAUAAAUUUUUGAACGGUCUAGCUACCAUAUUAUUACCCACAAGGGUAAAGGAACAGUACCACUGCUGGAUAAUUGGAAAGUCCCUGUGUGUCAACCUCUGUGCUUCGUGGCAAGGUAGACUAGCAAACAUGCCCAACCUUUACUCACAUUCGAGAAAACACUCCCAAUAAGAUUGCUUGCUCAAAAUCGAAGAGGCACCGUCCUCCGAAUCUCGAGAGCCAGACUCCCAACAUGACUACUUUCUUAAAAAAUCGAAGAGAGGGUAAAGGAACAGUACCAUUGCUGGAUAAUUGGAAAGUCCCUGUGUGUCAACCUCUGUGCUUCGUGGCAAGGUAGACUAGCAAACAUGCCCAACCUUUACUCACAUUCGAGAAAACACUCCCAACAAGAUUGCUUGCUCCAAAAUCGAAGAGGCACCGCCUUCCGAAUCUCGAGAGCCAGACUCCCAACAUGAUUACUUUCUCAAAAAUCGAAGAGACACUGCUCCCCGAAUCUCGAGAGCCAGACCCCCAGCAUGAUUGCUUUCUCAAAAAUCGAUGAGGCAUCGUUUCUCCGAAUCAAUCGAAGAGGCGCUCGCUUUCUCAAAAGCUGGGCUGCUCAGAGACCACGAGGGCCGAUCUCAGAAAUCAAAGAGGCACCUACUUUUCUAGCCUUGUCAGCACCUGUCACACGCACACUCAGCUUUGCAGAAAUUAUGGGCAUUCUGUCGAAGACUUCUGGUGAAGUAGAAAGCACAUGAAUCUUACUGUUCAAUCACCCACUUCCCACACGCAACAAUAGCUCAUGGGUACCACAAAAUAACUUUGCCAAAGUUCUCUGCCAAAGUUGAGCACGUGAAGCUUGCAGCUCCCACUACAUCGCUCUGACCAAGAAAGGUAAAAGAAUAGCAAAGAAACAGCACUAACAAAAGUUUAGACACAUAAAUUUUGAAGGUCUAGCUACCAUAUUAUUACCCACAACUGUAAAGGAACAGUACCACUGCUGGGAUAAUUGGAAAGUCCCUGUGUGUCAACCUCUGUGCUUCGUGGCAAGGUAGACUAGCAAACAUGCCCAACCUUUACUCACAUUCGAGAAAACACUCCCAAUAAGAUUGCUUGCUCCAAAAUCGAAGAGGCACCGUCCUCCGAAUCUCGAAUCUCGAGAGCCAGACUCCCAACAUGACUACUUUCUCAAAAUCGAAGAGAGGGUAAAGGAACAGUACCAUUGCUGGAUAAUUGGAAAGUCCCUGUGUGUCAACCUUUGUGCUUCGUGGCAAGGUAGACUAGCAAACAUGCCCAACCUUUACUCACAUUCGAGACAACACUCCCAACAAGAUUGCUUGCUCCAAUCGAAGCCAAAAUCGAAGAGGCACCGUCCUCCGAAUCUCGAGAGCCAGACUCCCAACAUGAUUACUUCCUCAAAAAUCGAAGAGACACUGCUCUCCGAAUCUCGAGAGUCAUACCCCCAUCAUGAUUGCUUUCUCAAAAAUCGAAGAGGCAUCGUUCUCCGUCUCGAUCUCGAAUCUCGAGAGCCAGAUACCACAGACCACUUUUUCAAAGUGCUCUGACAGAGUUAAAACAUGUGAAACAGGCAGCUCCCACUACCGUGCUAUGACCAAGCAGGGUAAAGGAAUAGCAUUACUACUUGUUGUUAGGGAGACUCCUAUAUAUGUCGACCUCCAUCCCCAACGGACAGGCAGACCUGCAAAAAUGCUCAACCCUUCAUCAUAUCUGAGAGGGCACUCCCAACGAAGCCUUUCGAAAUAUUCAGCUUUCUUUCCCCCCGAUAAUACCUCUGCAAACAAGCUAUACUAGAGCAAGAAUAUCUCAUAUCAUCAGGGUUAAAAGCAAGAGUAUCCCAUAUCAUGCUUUUUCCCUGUCUUUUCUUUUGGCCUUGUUUUUACCUGCAAGACAAGGAGAAAGAGAGCAAUCAGUCAGCACUUGGAAUCAAGCUUCCAGCCAGGAACUGACUGCCUGGAACCCCUUACCUGAUUACUUACCUGGCAUUGCUCUCGAGUACUCAUCUUCAACAUCUUAUGUUUCCAGGGAAGAUUCCGCAUCUGCUUGAGGAACAGAUAGGGCAAGUGCGAAGGAUACAAGGAAGCAUGUGGAGACAAGCGUAACAGCACACGUGCCGAUACAUUCAUUACUCUGUCAAAAGCAAAAGUAUCCCAUAUCAGCAGGGUGGAACGUACUCUAGAUUUGAUGGACUUGUUUUGACCCUCAAAUUCUUCAGUCGGCCUUAUACUCUGAAGGAAACCAGAAAACCCUCCAGCUCAGUUCAAGAAUAAGCCUGUGGAAAGUUACUUCUUCAAAAGCAAAAGUAUCUCAUAUCAUCUCUUCUCAUUUUUCUUCUCUUUUAUCCUUCAUGCUGCUGCAAGAUGGGGAGAAGGUGAACAAUCAGUCGGAGCUCUGAUUGCUUACCUUGUCUGUCACCUCUUUCAGCAGACCCCCUAGCUCGGCGACUUGGGGGACUCCUACUACAUGGUUUGUAUCGCGCUUGACCAAGCCUGAAACUACAAGUAAGCUUCAAGUGAAAUUGAUACAUUACCUUGUGCAUCUCCACCAGUUAAAGAUACCACCCCUGGAUGGAGGAAGAGUACUUCCAGAGAAGAUGCCACAUCUACCUAUGAGACAGAUAAGGCAAGUCAAGACGACACACCACACUCCGAUAUACUUAGAAGUUUCGUGAUUACGAGAUCAUUCUCCCACAAUAUUUCCUAAUGUCAUUUGUACUAAAUCAUUCACUUGUACUCACUAAAUGAGAGCUUGAACCUAUGUACUUGUGUAAACCCUUCACAAUUAAUGAGAACUCUUCUAUUCCGUGGACGUAGCCAAUCUGGGUGAACCACGUACAUCUUGUGUUUGCUUUCCUAUCUCUAUCCAUUUAUAUACUUAUCCACACUAAUGACCGGAGCAAUCUAGCGAAGAUCACAAAAAGCGAUCGUUUUCGCUACCUAGGAUCUAUCUUGCAAGAGAACGGAGAAUUAGAUGGAGAUCUCAACCAUAGAAUACGAGCUGGAUGGAAAGAGUGCAUCCGGCGUGUUGUGUGACCGUCGUAGGCCACUGAAGCUCAAGGGAAAAUUUUAUAGGACGGCAAUAAGGCUAGCGAUGUUGUAUGGCACAGAAUGUUGGGUGGGUGAAGCAUCAACACGUACACAAAAUGGGUGUAGCGGAGAUGAGGAUGCUUCGUGGGAUGUGUGGGCACACGAGAAAGGAUAAGAUUGGGAAUGAGGAUAUCCGAGGUAAAGUAGGAGUAGCCGAAAUUGUAGGAAAUAUGAGAGAAAAUCGGCUCCGGUGAUUUUGAACAUGUGCAAAGAAGGCCGACUGACGCUCCGGUUCGAAGAUGUGACUACGGGACAGAGGUUCAGGGCCGAAGGGGUAGAGGAAGACCUAGGACAACUUUGGAAGAGACUCUAAGAAAAGACUUAGAGUACUUGGAUCUAACGGAGGACAUGACACAAAACCGAGCGCAAUGGCGUUCUAGGAUUCAUAUAGCCGACCCCACUUAGUGGGAAAAGGCUUUGUUGUUGUUGUUGUUGUUGUUGUUGCUAUUUUUCAUUCAGACUUGAGUAUAAAAUUUGGUUCUCUUUAAUCUAUUUAUGAAUGAAAGAACUACUUGGUCUAUUUCUAAAGCUUGAUAAAAUAGUUGAGGCCCCUAAUUCUUUUCUUUAAUUUUGAAUGCAUAGGGGUUGUUGUAUAGGAUAUGCUAAUCUUUGAAAAUGCAAUAUGAAAACUAUUAUGUAAUUCUAGGAGAGCUGAGUUAUUCAUGAUACAUAUAUAAGGUUAUGUCUUCUCUAUAUGCAAUUAAAUUCCUUUCCUUUUAUUAAUAUUUUUAAGAAAUAAGAGACUAUUUUGAGAUUGUGUAUUCACAUUAGCUUUGAUUUGUUGACUCUAAUGUUCUUUUCACUCUUUGUUGCAGGCCUUGCUCUCAUCUUUAGUAAUGUUCAAAAUUCAACCUUUGCUUGAAAGUUGGAAGUGGUACCAAAAUUCUGAAAUUAGUAAAGUUCCAUGUCAAAUCAUCAUUGGAAAUUAUUUCAAAAUGCGUUGUAGCCCAACUCAUGUGUACUCAGCAACUUCUAAUUUAUUCAAAUUUGGAGUGUUUAUGUAUUAUGUCUAUUGUAUUUUUAUCUGCAUUCUGGAAGUUAUGUAGAAUCUGCCACAUCCUAUACUCUACUUUUGGAUGUUUCAAUUAUGCCGAAACAAUAAAAAAAGAAAAUAAUCAAAAGUAAAUUUGAUUGCACACGUAUAUCGUGUGUGCCUAUUGCUAGUUGUAUUAAAUAUAUGUAAAUUUUGUAGCUAGUUCUUAUUUUAUGAAAUUUGGCUACAAUCAUCAGUUUAACAAUCUGAACUUUUUAUCUGCUUAGUGAUCUUAACCAUUCAACUCGUACGAAGCCAUAAGAAAACCACUAUAAAGUCUCCAACACUCUAAUCAUAUCAAGCACCAAAUAUAAACACUGAGGGUGCAUUUACUAAUCCGUAAUCAAACUAAGAGGAAUUGAAAUGAGGUGGAAUCAGAAUCAGAUUCAUGUUGAAGUUGUUUACUAAAAUUGUCUGGAAUCGGAGUAGGAAUGAUGUCGAGUCCAUAUAAGUUGUUUACUAAUUCACUUCAAUCGGAAUGAAAACUAGGUUGGUUACUAUAUUGCCCUUACAUAAAUAAAUUAUUUUGAUACUAAUUAAUUAAAUUAAAUUCUUAAUUAAAUUUAUAUAAUAAAAUUCAUCUAUAUAAACAUUUAUAAAUAGAUUUUAUUUAUUUAUUAAAAGAUGGCAUGAAUAAUGUUGAGUUCAUAUAAGUUGUUUACUAAUUCAUUUCAAUCGAAAUGAAAACUAGGUUGAUUACUAAAUUGCCCCUACAUAAAUAAAUUAUUUUGACACUAAUUAAUUUAAUUAAAUUUAUAUAAUAAAAUUAUCUAUAUAAAAAUAUAUAAAUAUGUUUUAUUUAUUUAUUAAAAGAUGGCAUAAUGAGUGUCAAAUGAAGGGCAAUGUUAGGAUAAUAAAAAACAAGUGAGGGCAUAAUAGAAAUAAAAGAUGCAUUCCCGAUUCCCCUACCCUUAGGGAAUUCAAAUACCUCACAAAAUUAAGGAAUCUCGUUCCUCCAAUUUCAGGAAUUGGAUUCCUUGUUUCGUGUAGGCUCCACCAUUUUUUUUAUUCCUUAAUAUUUAGUAAACACCAGAAUACUCCGUAAUCGGAAUUCAAUUAUGUUUCUUUAUUCCGUUUACCCUUACGUAAACAUGCCAUGAAAUUACUGGGAAUUAAAAAUAUUCUCAUUCAUUACAACAAGUAAAGUAAAGAAGGAUUAAUUAAUGGUAGCUCACUUGAAGAAAAAAAAUUUCUCUAAUGCUCCCCAUAGUAACGUAGAAACUGUAACCAGAGACCACUCACUCUUCAGAACGUAGAAAGUAGAAACUAGCCGAGCUGAUGCGCGUAAUGUUUUUCACUGUAAUCAUAAUCCGAGAUUUCGCUUAAAAUCUUCACUCUGGGACCUCCCCAUCUCACUAAAUUCUCAAAUUUACAUCUGGGUUUUCUUGUUUCUCUGGAUUCUGACUCAUUCAUUGCAAAUUUUUUUAAUGUUCAAGCACAAUGCGUCUCAUUCCUUCACUGACACCCACUGAUUUCUUCUGAUACAGCAUCUGGGUUUUUCUUAAGCUUCAGCUCCAACCAUUUCCCGGAAAUAAUUUUCUUCUUCUGGGUUUUUUGGCAUUUCAUCAAACAGUUGGAGUGCAACUGGGUCGCAAGUUACAUACCAACAUGAGUACUCCAUUGCCUACUCGCCAAUUUUUUGCUCAAUAUCUUGAAUCCGGUGACAACGGGCGUCAGAUAAAACAUCAAAUUCCUACUGAGGAGAAAGAAAUCGAAGCUCAAUCUGACAUCAAGGCCCAAGCCUUCAAGAAACCCAGAACUUCUGAAGCCGUAUCGAACUUGAAUGCGGCCUCGGGGCAGAACAAAAUGUUGCCUAGCUAUUACAAGACCCAACUGUGCCGUAAAUUCCAAAUGCGUUGUUGCUCUUCUGGGCAGAGAUGUUCCUUUGCUCAUGGCAUCAGUGAUCUCCGCAGGACUUUGCGUGAUGCGCAAGGAAUGGAAACUGAGAAGGGAAACUUGGCCAGGAGGACUUGGAAUGGUGAUCAUGGAAGUUCUAAUGGAGUGAGAAUAUGCAGGUCGUUCUUUAGAUGGGGAACAUGCAGUUACGGAGACAAAUGCCGCUUUCGUCAUGUCAAUCCUGAAAAUAUCAGAGAUAGUUCGUUCAUAAGCAUUUCAACUGCUGGUGGUUCUGCUCAAUUUGACUGCAAGAAGUCUCUGGGUAUGGAUUUUGACACUACUUAGUUUAAUAUGUUCAAAUGAUGAAUUUUUCGGGUCCAAUGUAAAUUACAAUUUUCGAUAGGAUACCUGUAUUGCAUAGCUUUGCUAAUUUUUCCUUUUGCGUGUACACGUGUGUUGAUCGUAUGAACGGUUUAGAUGGUCUACUCUUUGUUAGAGUAUCGGUUGAUUUCUCAUGUGCUCUAGAUUCGUUUAACUUGCACUACAAGAAAAGUUGUCAUAAGUAAAACCCAAUUGGUUCCGUAUCAGAAAAUUAAGAAACCACACUCGACCUUAUGAGCUUUUUCCGUUAAGAAGGUAUUGAAUCAUGCCAAUAGGUUGGACUGCUGAAGGACUUGAACAUUAGAAGAGGCACCCGGGACAUUCAUCUAAUGAACUAGGUAUUUAUAUUGCAUAAUGCUGAAUCACUGAUUGCAAUUUCCUCAGUUGUUAUUUCGAAAGGGGCCAGUCUUCUCCAAGUAUGAAAGAAAGCAAAAAAGACCAGACCUUUUCCAAUUUGAUUAAUUCAAAUUGAUAUUCGAUGCAUAUAAUUUCAUAGUGGCAUCAGACUUUCAUUUUCGUCUUGCUGCAGAUUUGGUAUAUAGGUUUAUUCUGAGAUUGUUUCUUUCUGUCUGGUUGUCUUGGCUUGUAAUUAAAGUGGGCCAACUUUUUCAUAUGCUUUUAUAAAAGUUGUGCAUUAGUCGUUCAUACAAUUUAACCACCAUCUUUUUCUAUUUAGUUUUACCUGGCAUUUCAAAUUGUGGCACAAAUUCAUCUGUAGCCAUCUCCAAUGAUAAACGAGAGAAGUUGAUGACCCUGUAGAACCGAUCUUGAUUCAAGAAUUGCUCACUAUUGACUGAUGUGCAAUGAUUUUAAAAGAACAAAUUUUGAGAUGCAUUGUUGUUAAUUUUGCAGAACUAAGGAAGCUUUGUGGCUAUACGACACUGGAAAGUGGAAGUGUCCAGGCUAACAGUUUAACUACUUAUACGAGGGGCAACAAUGCAUCAAAUCGUAGGAUGGGGGUUGCAACUGCUUAUAAACAAGGGCAGAGUACGCAUUGCAACUUAGAGUGGAACGAACUUGAGAAAAUGAGUCGCAUCUAUGCUGAUUGGAUUGAAGAUAUGCCUCUUCUACAUGGCCCACCAAGCAAAGUGGAGUUCUAGUCGAGUUUACUAUGACGUGUAAGGGAAUAGAUUACUUCUCUAUCCAUAGUAGAUAUAAGAAGCUUCUUGUAAUUUCCCCUAACACCUUCCUUUUGUUAUAUGAGUGUGGGAUUGACUUUGAGUGCGACCUGUAGUCUAGUAAACAGGAGAUGCUUCAUACCCAAGACCCUACAAAGCCAGAUUUUAAAUAUCUUGAUUUUCCGUAUCUCUCUUGUCUAGGGAUUUUAGCCGUUAUCUUUUGAAUUUUAUGCACGUUGUUAUUGUAAAGACAUAUUUUCAGUUUACAAGAUAUGGUGCGGCACUGUCACAUGAAUGUUUGGCUAGUGUGAACUAAGUCAAAAUCUUAUGUUCAAGUGCAGAUAACCUCAGAAAAUUCUCCUUUGCCUAUUUGAGUUCUUGAUUCUCACACGUGUGCGUCUGUUUGCGUGCAUGAAUUUGCAGUCUUCUUGCAAACUAAAACUAUAGUGGCACGACAAGGACUUAAACCCCUGUCGUGUUUGGGGCCAGGACGGCCUCAAGCCACCAGGAUAGCCCCUUCUGGAUACCUUUGGUUUCAGAUUUAGUACAAUAGGUCUUAAUCUUCACAUGCAGAAACAGUAAAAGAAAUAGACUUACUCUAACAUUUGAUGAACAUCAGAAUAUACAACGGUAGGCCAGUGGCCAUGCUAUUGGUAAUAGGUAUUCCAUGUUCGUCUCUUUGGAACUGGCGCUGGUAAAGCUCCAGACGAAUUUCUGUCUUUACUCUUUUGAUGAACUGCACUCGAACUCUACACCUCUAGGACGGAAAGAAUCACUCAAACGUUGUAGAUAUAUCAUCUCUGAAGAAUAUGAAACAUGUUCAUAUCCUUCACAUUCUGGAAUAUCCUAAUUUGGACGAAUUUGCAAUUUAUUGUGCAGAACUAGCACGUAAGGUUCCUCAGAUGUCAAUGAUGACAAUUCAUGUGUGCUUCCUUGGCCUUCAGUUUGUACAAGAUGCCAAAAUCUUCGGAGAAGAAUGUCCAGCGCUGAAGAAGCUGCCACUUAAAAGAGGACUGAAGCAUUCUACGACACUUGGCCGACAAUGGUGACCGGAGAGUCUGCUGUGAAUUGUAUAAUAGUAGAAUGCAUGAUUUUCUUAGAACCCAAUGUGAGGUUCAACAAUAACAAUAUACAGGAGCGUAGAGUGAAUGAAAAGAAUCACAUAACAUGGAAUUUCGAGGUUUUGAAUAUCCAAACAACAGCACAAUAUUGAAUAUAUUAUGGUAUGCACCUGUAUACAAGCAGAAUCAUCCUCCUUGUUCUUACGUAAGGCCCUCUCGCUGCCUCACUUAGUUGUCGUAUGUUGGAAGCAGGGAAGAAAAACUUUUCAAGCAUCUUCGUCCUCCCACUCUAAGAAAGACCACCAUGCCUCAUGUCCUCUGAUUACAAUAUUGCUCCCCUCAGCACUUGUGGAGUUGAGUGGAAGCUUUCUCAGCGUUGGAGAUGCAGUUACCUUGAUUUCUUUCAGGUACGGAAAGGGCAGGGGACUAUCAUGUAUGCUACUCAGCCGUGGAAGCAAACUCAAAAUCAGAACGGUAAGUUUUCCAAAAGGGUUAAGUUCUUGUACCACAUUUCCAACUCCACCCAUCUUUCCAGAUUGAUUAUUUUCUCAAUAUCACAGCAGGCUUCUACACGUAAAUGGCAGAGAUUCGGGGCAAAAAUGAGCCAAGUCAAGUCCGUUAGAUUUGGGCAUUGUGAUACUUCUAUACACUGAAGGCAAAGGAAGCAAUUUUGUUUUAUCAUCAUUAAAUCCCGGGGAUCAUUGGGUGCUCGUCCUGCCCAAUAAACUUCCAAUUGUUGAAUUGUGGCCAAGUGGCCAAGUGGACAACAAAAUAAAACAACUUUCGACUAAUAAACAAACCAUAAUAAAAAAAGGUGAAAGACAUCAUGAUGAGGAGGCAUCAUGAUUAUGUUUGUUGAAAAGAAAAAUUGAUGGUCAUGAUGAUGUUUUUGAGUUUUUUAUUGGGUGCUUUUGUAUUGAUGAAGUGAGGAUACGGAAGUGAGAAUGAUAGAGGAAGUGUGCACCAUUUUUCUGUUUUAGUAGCCCAUCUUUGAGAGAGCAGAGCUGCAGAGAGCAGAAAAGAAGAAGAAGGUGCUCUUCUUUUUGGUUAGCAAUCAUCCAUCAUAAUUAUUGUUGUAAUAGCUUUGAGCUACAUGUAUAGAGAAGAAAUUAUUCAUUAUAUUUCUUUCUCUAUUUGUUUAUGUGGUGUGUGAGAGCUAUUGGGUGUAUUGGGUUAUUUGGGUUGUGAGAUUGCCAACACUUUGUAAACUCCCAUUUGGUUGAUAGUGGAUUAUUAGGUGAGCUCCUACUGCUCCGAGGACGUACUCCAGUUACACUGACUGUUGAGGAACCUCGUUAAAUCUUGGUGUCUUUAAUAUUUUGUUCUUGCAUUUUCAUUUGAUAUAUUUCUUGUGGGUUAGCUUGAGUUGGUUCCAAAAAGGUUUGGUGCUAUCCUAGCACAACACCAAUUGUUUCCAAUUACGAGUAUCCCGAAUAUAAAGGGUAUCAAGAUGUUUCAUAUCCACCAAAGAUGAUAUGUCUAGAAAGCUUGCUUGGUUCUCGCCAUCUGAGAGCUGUAGAGUCCGAAUACGGGUCACCAAUUUGUGGUAGCUGAACAAUUUUUUGAAACAAGAGCUACUUCGUACACUUAACGUCAAGACUUCAAGGUAUUCCAAACCCUGAAUUUCCUCUAUCAGGGCACCCUCACCAUAAAAAAGAAUUCUAUCUGAAGAACCGCAUGCUAAAGUUCUCAAAACUUUUAGCACUGGAAAACUUGAUAUUAGAUUCUGUGGAACAAAAUCAAGCUCAUCCAUAUGCUCCAAGUCCAAAUACUUUAGCCUUACACAUUCCUUUAACUGAAUUGGCAACUUUCUUAAACCAGUUCUUGACAAAUUGAGAUGUUGUAAUGAAAUCAGGUUGGAAACGCCAGAUGGCAAUUUGGUUAUGUUCAGAUUUUGAGACAAAUCCAAAACUCGUAGAGUAGGCAUAUGAUCGAAAAAACCAUCAACAAUCAUAUUCAAAGGACCUCCUCCACCUCUAAGUAAUAGGGUCAACAGAUUUGGAGAUUUUGGUGUUUCAACCAGACUUUUAAAAUCACUACCAACCAAUGAUACCCUUUUUGUGUUCUUCCAUUUCUCCACAUUUGGCGUUCCCGGGAGACCUGUGUGCACGAGGAUACUCUCGUUUUUUUUCCCAGAGUCACAAGCUAACCACAAUGCCAUGUCACGAAUUACGUCAUGCAUUUUUACAAAAUUUCCUUCCUCUUCCAACAAACAUGCAGAAAGGAGAGUUCCUAUGAUAUGGUAAGUCUCAUUUUUUGUUUCAUCUACGUUAACAUACUCUUCAAACAUCUCCUCACACAUCCAAAAAUAUAGUAAAUCAUCUUUACUUAUCAGGAAAUCUUCGGGAAAUAGAGCACAAUAUAAGAAGCAUGAUUUGACUUUCUCACUUGGUAGAUUAUCGUAACUAAAUUUUAAGAGAGGAAAUACCUUGUCUCCCAUAAUGGAAAACUCUGAGGCAGAUUCCUUUAGAACACGAAUUGCAUGCUUCCAUUCGUGGGGUGUUUUCUUGCACGUCAUGGCUCGACCAACUGUAAUUAUUGCAAGUGGCAAACCGUCACACUCAUUUGCCACUACUUGCGCAAGUUUGGGGAUAUCUGGAUGACUUUGAAGAGUUUCUUUGCCCACCUUCUCCUGAAACAAGGUCCAUGCUUGGUUCGUCAUUAGACAAGUGACUUUCAUCUUUAUUUGAGCAUCCAUACAACUACAUAUAUGCUCCAAGCGAGUUGUGAAUAUUAUCUUCGACUUCUUAUUGUUAGCUGGACCAGGAAUCACUGGAUUAGGAAUCGCUGGAUUAGGAAUCCCAACUUUAAUCAUUUCAAUCGACUCCCAUAUAUCAUCCAACAAUAGCACAAAUUUCUUCUCACUCAAGAAGUUGAAGAUGUGUUGAGCUUUUUCAUGCGGCUCUUUGUGCUUCCAUUUGUCAUUAAGAAUCCCAAGCUUUUCACCAAUCUUAUCUUGGAGGAUUCCAAGUGUGUGGUCUUUUGAGACCACGAUCCAAAUCACAGGAUCAAAAUGGUAAGUAUUAAAGGCGAAGUUGUUAUGGAUUUUGGUAAGGAGGGUGGUCUUACCCACCCCUCCCAUUCCAUAUAACCCGAUUGUUCCCACCUGUUCAUCUUCAACAUGUCUCCAGACCUCAUCAAACAUCGACUCCAUCCCCACUGUUUGUUCAGUAGGCAUUUCAUAGACUACCCCUACCCGCUGUAAGCUUUCUGUUGCCACCUCUUCAAAGCUUCCCUUGCUUUUCAAGGCAUCCACUUCCACCAACAAUUUAAACACUUUUUUUCCGUACUUGUAGCUGGGAAAGUAGUUCUUGGAGCAGUAAACUCCGCCACAUGAUUUCUGAAUUUCUCGAUCUGCACAACUUUGAACUUCUCUGACUCGUGUCUCAAUAGUUUCCGCCUUUUUAAUCCACAGUUGUACCUGGUGCAAGCGCAUCAUGGAUGUCUGAAGCUCGGCAACCUCAACCCUUCUCACGAGAUCAUUCUUUAAAGCGGUCAGUUCUUGCAAAGAUCGAUCCAGAGCUUCAAGGUUUUCUCCGAGCUUGCUGAUGUAGUU
RNAcentral lists this long non-coding RNA (95690 nucleotides) under Malus domestica (apple). RNAcentral describes it as "long non-coding RNA (MDOM_LNC017631)". The record is from RNAcentral. Lineage: Eukaryota; Viridiplantae; Streptophyta; Magnoliopsida; Rosales; Rosaceae.